CUCCAUACAAGGUUUGAUCAACAACUUCUUCAUUGAUUUUCUGGUCUCUCUCCGGUGUAUCAUAGAGCAUUUUUGACAUGUUUCUGCAAGAUACACUUGUUAACUUUAAGCGACAUAAGUGCAAAAAAAUAAGAUCAUGUUGUAUUGCCUGUGCUUCCACUCUGCCUUGUUUAGUACUAUUAUGGAGCAGUACUUCCAUAUAGAACCAGUGAUCUCCAGUUCAUUAUGUUGCCUUCUUUAAACUAACUUUAAUUAUCUAUACAUAUAAAACAAAGUGGUCCCAUCAAGGGGCUAAAUCAAGAAUCAAGUGGGGCGAACAGGAAACAGUGGCAUCAAUUUUUAAGUCCAUAAGCUUUAAUAAAAGGAAUAAAACCAAGGAUAUGAAUAUGUUAUUUUUUCAUUUGUUCAUGCACUGGAAGAUCUUUCCUCUUCAAGCAUUGAACCAGCAUCCUUCUGUGCAAGUUGCUGUCGGAACCUUCUAUAAUUGUCAGAAGUCUGUUUCUGAAAUAUACAGAUAAAACUUUUAGCAAGUCUUGACAUUGCUCAUCACUAGGACAUUGUACUAGGAUACCAAUUCAUCUAAUUAGGGUUAAGUUGGCAUCUCGUACACUAUUUUUUAUUUUUCCUUCAUCUUUUGUUCCCAUUUGCAGUGGAAGUGGCACUUAGAAUAUCUGAUCAUGAAGAAUUAGCUUUCGGUGAGAUGAUACUAGGUCAAUUGCCAUUAUCUUUUUGAGUUACUGUGCGAGCAAUCUUGAAAAUAUUUUGGGAUAAAUAGAAUUUGUGCUUAUCAUAAACAUGCUAAACAUCCAAAUCAAGUGCUUUUACUAUUGAUAUCAAAUCAGUAAUUGAUUUUAACCUUUAUGCUUAUCUUUCAGAUUCUCAAUUAUGUAUCUUGAAUAAUGAUAUUAAGCAGAAAUCAUGAAUUGAAUUGCUUUAAUUAACUGUGCCUUAUCAAGCUUGUCAGCAGUGCUAUUGCUACCGCGAAUCAAAUUCGCUGUGCUUCCCGCCUUCUCCAAAUAAGCCACAAGCCCAAUUAUAUCCGCCCUCCUCCCAUCUCCAAGGGAUCAAAAAAUAAAAUGACUUCAAUCAAUUUUCAAGUUUUCCAUCUUGAUCAGUAGACCACCCGGCAUGAAUGUUACCCUCAGUUUAGGAAUAGGAAUUCCUUUUACUAAUCAUUUGGCACUAAAAACUAUGACCCCUAGCAAUUCAUUCCCUCCAUUAGAUAUCUGGGGGCAUCUUGGCUCAGCCAAAAAUGAUAAGUCAUUGCAUUUCACAUUGCAUUCAUUUGUAUUAAUGAGCUAAUUUUUUUUCACAGAAUGUGAUGUGAAUCGAAUUACUUCCAACCAUGUGUCUCUAUAAGGGUUUAACAAAUGUAAUUUGCAUUGUCUGUACACUUUUUUUUCGGUUUCUUUUCUUUUUUAUGCAUGAUUCAUUAGUCCACGGAUCUUCUAUGCAAAGUGUGCAGGCCAAACACCUCCUUCAAUGCAUUAUUCUAGAAGUUAAGACUCAGUUUACUCCUUAAUUGAUCUGUUCCAUUUACUUCAAAUCAUUUGAUUACAUUAAAUGAAUCUUGAAAUUCAAAAAUGCAUCAAAGUUAAAAGACCUUCCAAUGCAUUAAGAAAUCAUCUGAUACAAAUAUAUGUGAACCUGCAACAACAAUAAUGUCAAAAUGGAAAACUUAGGUAGAAAAUAUUAGAACGGAAACUUACGACGAACUCAAUUUUUGGCGCCUUUCUUCUUCUCAUCUUCUGAUCCAAGAAGCUCUUCCAACACCGUGUCAUCCAAACACUCGAACUCAAUGACUUGCUUUUCUUGCCCAGAAGAGGAACCUCCCAUCUCUAAACUCCUACAAGGCCCAGAAGAUGACGAGGAAGACGAUGAGGAUGGUGAUGGUGGGGGGCGAUGGGAGCCCAUGAUUUCAGAAUAGUACUCAUUAGGAAAGUUAAGAAUGGCAAGAUGACCCCUUAAGUUAAAGGCCGCUCGAUCAUAGGCGCGAGCUGCAUCCUCCGCCCUGUCAAAUGUGCCUAGCCAUAGACGAGCACCUUGCCUAGACGGAUCCCUAAUCUCGGCUGCAAACUUCCCCCAUGGCCUCCUCCUCACCCCUCGGUAUCGAACUUCUUCCUUUUCCUUCCCUUCCUGCUCCUGCUUCUCAUUCCCUUUCGAAUGAUCUUCCAUGCUAAACGUGUCGAUUUGCUAGGCGCAAUUUUUUUGGUUUCAAAUGUGCUGGUUUACGAGAGGCAUGGAUGCUUAUGUAUAUAUAUGGUUGCCACAGUCAGGUCUGACGUCACCGCUCAAUGUAUGUUCCACAGCGUGGGUUGACGAGCUUUCUGAGGGGGUUUCCUCGAAUUCAAAGCAAGUAUAAAAAUUCGAUUCUCCGACCUUUCCAAUGAGGAUCGAACAGGCCUUUUAUUAGAACCGUAUGAUAACUCCACACUGUUUUCAAAUAGUCAAUGUGAUCUAGAUUCUUCGUUAAUUUUUUCCACCUGACUGAUUGUUUACAAUUUUAUUUUUCACCGUCCCAAAUUUAAACCAUUUACGCGAUUCCCUGGAUUGCAUUUUUCUUUAAUGUUGACUUUACGAGGCAAUAGGACCCCCCAGCAACCCCACUAGGGCGACUUCAUGGGAACCAGAUUACUUUUGGAUCCAGAUAUGGUCCAGAAGAAAUAAGACAAAUCAAUUAAUGUCCACUAAAGUUUUGAUGGAACCCUUAGUCCGUGUUUCCUGUGGAUGUAUGUAUUGUAUGCACCUCAAUUUUCACCAAUCCCUGCUACGAGUCCCUUUAAUUUUGACGUUAUAAAUGUUUUUCCUGACAUUAGCAGAGUGUUUUUCUGCCGUCUUUGAGGACCUUCCACGGCCCAUAAACUAAUAAGGAUCGUCCAGUGAAUUUAGUCUUCCCCAGUUAAUUAUCCUGCGAGGGAAACUUGGGCAGUAAGUUGCCUACAUGAGUGGCUCCCGCCUACAUGAGUCAAGGGACCAUACGUCAGGACGACAACCAGUGUGGUCACACCAAAGUGGGUUGCCUGGACUCCAGGGUGGUCGCUUCAAAGUUGUCAAAUGAAGGCUAGCUUGGCAAGUUUUGGAAAACAAUUAUUGAAAAACAUUUUUCAUGAAUAACAGUUUCUAUGAACAGAUUUUAAGAAAGUUUAUUUUGUGAUUUUUAGGAAUAUUUUUAAUUUAAAUUUUUAUAUUUUUAAUUUUUUAUUAAUUUAUUGAUUAUUUAAUAUUAGCUUAAUUAAUGGAUUUUUCUUGGUCCCAAAUUAUUAAUUUAUCAAGAUUUAAUCGCAUCCAUAAUUAGUCUAAUUUCUUUUGGAGUGAGUGUGACAAAGUGCAAAUUUCUAGAGUUUUAUUAAUGUUAUUCAAUGUCAUAAUUUAACUAAUUAUAUUAAUUAUUUAUUAAUCAAAAUAAAUCAUUCACUUGAAAUAUGAUAAUUUAAAUUAAAAGUUUCAAUUAUUUAUUAAUUAGCAAAGUAUGAACUUUUCUUCUUGUUUUAUUAUUGUUAUUCCAUGUAUAUAAUUUAAUUAACUGUUUCCAAUAUUAAUCAAUAAAAAUAGAAUAUAAGCAUGAGAAGAAUUAGUAAAAUUCAUUGAUUUGGAAUUAGAUAGCUAGAGGAAGAACUUCAUCAUCUUCCCAUUACUUAAAUUUGUAUAAAUUCUAAAUAUUUAAACCCCCCCCCCCCCCCCCCCCCCCAAAAAAAAAAAAAAUGGUAAAGAAAGACUCCCCAAGCUUUCUUGGUUGGUGUUACCCUAAAAUUUGUACAAUAAGAUGAACCAUUUGGCUUAAAGCUUGGUGCGAAACCCCUUAUCAAUUGAAAAUAUCAAUGAAGUUGUUGAAUGGUUUUAGAGGACUAUUCUUAUGCAGAGUGGCAUAAGAAGCGAGGAGAUGAAGAGCGGAGAGACGUUAACAUCGGAUGCUGCUACGAAGGUGGGAAUACGGUUAAUUAAUUAGAUUUUGUGAUGGCUUUGAGUUUGAAGGAGUUAGUUUAAUGGGUAUUAUUAGUGAACUGAUAAUUGGAUUUGAUGUAAAGAAGGUUGGUCCAUUGGAUUAGCAAUUGGUUUGGCCUUUUGGGGGCCCCAUUUCCAAAUGCAUUGCCUUUUACAAGCAUUCAACAUCGCUGGACGUAACCAGGCUUGGUUCACCUAAAAGUAUCGCAUGGAUUGAAUUGACUAAGUUUUCAUUGUAGACUAGCCUUGAUUUUCCCUUGACCUGCCCACCAAAUCCUGAUGCCCACGCGAGGGAAUACCUCAAUUUUCUAAUAAUUUAUGCAGUUUCUCUUCAAAGCUCGUGUGAUCACUUGGGUCGGUAAAAUAAUGCAUUCCUCUACUUUUUCUCCCUUCCUAGAUGCAUGUUAUACCAUUAAUUCAAAUGUGAACAUGGGCUUGGCUUUGAAACUUGGUUCAAGGCCCAACAUGUUGACCCACAAUUGAGGUGUAAUUGAAUUUGUACACUUUUCGACUUUGAUACCAUUUGUCAUUACCAUUGACAUUGGGUCAUUGUUGAUUUUGAGUCCACAACUUUUAAGGUUGUUAUUACAAUUUUAAAUUGCGCCCACCCAAUUUAUAUGCAUUAUCCCUUAUAAAUACCGAUAACCUCUCUUUCUUCGAUAAUAUAAAAUGUCACAUAUAUUAUAUAUCUCAAUGUUUUCUUUUACUUUUUUUUUUUUUAUCGAUCGACAUUCUCUCUCAGAUGAUAUGAGAUGUCACAUAUAUUAUAUGUUUCAAUGUUUCUUUUACUUUUUCUCUUUUUCCUCAUGAUUGACAUUGUCUUUCUCAAAUGAUAUGAGUUGUCACAUAUAUUUUAUGUCUCAAUGUUUUCUUUAACUUUUUUUCUCUCUUCUUUAAUGAUCGACGUUCCUUUUCUCAGAUGAUAUGAAAUGUCAUAUAUAUUAUAUGGCUUAAUGUUUUCUUUUACUUAUUCUUUCUUUAUUAAUAAUCGACAUUUUAAGCAAUAUGUGAAUAUAAAGCAUUAAAAUUAUCUCCAUCGUUUUUGGAUGUGGUAUAAAUACACAAUUCUUAUUUUUGUUUUAAAUAUUUCUAUUGCUAUCUAUUGAAAUUUUAUGCAUGAAGCUACCAAGUUAAUUAUACAUAUAUCUUAAGAUUUUUUUUUUUUUUUUUUAUAGGAUAUAUUGUCCAUGAAUAUUUUCUGCAAUGGUAUCUUGUUUGAUUACUAUAAGAAAUAAUAUAUAUAUAUAUAUAUAUAUAUAUAUAUAUAUAUAUAUAUAUAUAUAUAUAUAUUAUAUUUCAAUGUUUCAUAUUUGCUUAAAAUAAAAAUUAUAUUUUAUCACAAUAUUUGGUAUUAAAAAAAAUGAAAUCUCUCUCAUUUAUUAUUACAAAAAAAUUAUAAUUUAUAAUUUUCUAAAUAAGUUUUAUUUAUUUGCUAACUAUAUUCAUGAUUAAAAGAUUUAAAAUUUAUAAAUAAAAAAUAUUAUGUCAUGUCAUUAAAUAAAUAAAAAUAUAUGUAUAUAUUAAAAUUAUGUUUUAUUGUAGCUUUUAAUAUUUUUUUUUUUAUUCUUUUCUUUUUUGAACUACAAUUUUAAUUUUUUUUAAUCAAAAUUUUUUAAUUUACAAAACGAGUAACAUAAAACUUGCCUUUGAACUUUAUUGGAAUGUUAUAUACUACCAUUUGGCUUUCAAGACAUUAGAAAAGGCAUAAGUGUCCCUUUUAUUUUUCCGAAAGGCAUAUUAGACUAUAGUAGGAAGUGUUGUAUAGAGGCAACUAAAAGUUGCCUUUAACUUUAUGAAGUCAUAUACUCCUCUUUGGCUUUGAUGACAUCAACUAGCAAAUUGGAUUUUGUUUCCUUUGCAACAUUUUUCCAUCCAUUAGCCAGUUUUUUUAUACUGUUUGGUGCUUGCCAACAUGGCACACACUAUGGUUCUUAAAAAGUAUUUUUUUUUUUAAGAUACUACGAAAUAAAAUACACGAUUGAAAGAUGAGUCACAAUAAUUUUCAAAACUAAAUUUUUUAAUAUUGUUAAGAAAAUUUGACCACCAAAUGAUUGAUUUUAAAUUACAAAUACUUUUGUUAGCUAAGAAAUUUGUUGUUCUAUUUGUUUCCCUAUAAAUAUGACAACAAUCAUAAAUAUUUUCAUUUUAAGAUAAUUUUCAAAUAUCUUCCAUUAAUAAUAUAAUAGAAUUAGGAAUUUUUUUUUUAGUUAUAACAAUCUAUAAUUAUUUAAGAGUCUUCCUCAAUCUCUAGGUUUAAGAACUUAUUGUUCUUAACAACUAACAUGUCAUCUCUUAAAAUAAUACAUUCUGCAAUAAUUAUUGAAAUAUGAUAUAAUAUAUAUAUCUACUUACAACCAUUUUUGUAGUACCAUUAGAAUUUUUAAUUACCCAUUCUAAAGUAUUUUUAUUCUCUAUUCUUAAACCAUCAAAAUUUAAUUUAAAUCUUUCAUUAAUUGGAUAAAUCCAAUGAAUCUAACAAGUUAAAGGAUUAUGAAUCCGACAAAACAGUUGAUAAUAAAUUAAUAAUGCCAUUAAUAUGAUUUUAAUGUGAAACACAAUUAUCACAUUUAAUACAGUUAGUCCUUGUAUGAUUAAUGUUUUGGAAGCUAAAAUCAAUCUUUUGACUAUAAUAAGAGUUUCUACUAUUUCUAUUUUUGGAUGAUUUUAUAUUUUUCUUAUUGUUUUAGUUUAAUACAAAAAAUAAAAAUAAAAUUACAUUAGUAGAAUUUUUUUAACUUACUCAAAAACCUAUUUUAGUUGAAUGAUUUUUUUAAAAAAAAUAUAAAUAUUUUGUUAAAAGGGAUAAAAUAACCUUACCUUGUGAAAAAGACCUCUUCACCCAAGAUUACUUGUUCAUAAUCCUUUUAAGACGAAAAUGCCCCCUUCCUAAAAAAUAUUUCAUCUUAAACUUAUUUUUCUUUUUAUUGCCCUUUGUUCCAUCCUUCCGGCUUGGGAGAGAAAUUCAUUCUUCUUUUGCGAAGAAAAAUUCCUAUUGCGAUUUUUCAUUUCAAGUGGAAAAAAAAAUUCUUAUUUCAUUUUAAAGAAAUUGUACAUUUUCAAUCUUUCUCUUUGUUCCUAGUUGAGGGUUUUUUUUGUAAUUUUAUCUUAACACUACAAAUUUAAAGGUGAGAUUAAAUCUUAAUGGUUAUUAGUUAAAUCACAUAUCUAACUUUGUUUUUGUCAGGACCUAUAAUAUGAUUGGAACCACCAUCCAAACUUCAUUAGGUGGGAUACUCCCCACCCUCCCCCUCCCCCCGCGAAAUCCUUGGAUUUUAGUUUUGACUUGGAUUUCAAUUGCCCGUAUCAAUUUUUCUUUAUUUAUUAAUUUAUUAAUUUUCAACUUUAACAAAAGCCUUGAAUCAUAUUUAAAUUCAAAUAACUUAAUCCUAAUUAAGUUCUUUUUAAAUAAAAAUUAAUCAUUGAAAAGUUCAUGUGACUAUUAUAAUUGAGAAUUUAUCCCAAGUUGGGUUUUUUGCAAAUAAAAUUUUAUUAUAGGACAUCAUGAUGCAACAUAACAUAAGGUUGUUACUUAAGUUUGUUUUGACCUUGUAAUAUGUUAAAAUGAAAAUGAAGCCAUUGUAACAGGAGAGAAUGAUGAAGCUGUGGAGAGAGCUUAACAAAGCUUGGGUUGGAGAGACUUCACAGGAAGAGAGAGAGAGAAAUAAAGGGUAAAAUUAUCAAAAGAGAAAAGAAAAAAAAAAAAAAAAAAGAAGGUUAUGUCUUCAAAUAAUCAAUAAGAGAUGUCAUUUUUCUAAUUUUCAAAGUUCUUUUGGUCCUUCUCUACAAAUAUCCCUAUAAAAAUAUUAUAAUAUCAAGUUAAUUUGUCAAUACCAAAAUUUAUAUUUUAUAUUAGGGCGACUAAAUAACAUAUAGAAAGAAUUUUAAAUGAGUAAAUCAAAUCAAUUUUGAAACCAAAACUUAAUAAUUACCAAACUUGUAAUCUUAGUCAUUAAAAGUGUACGAUGAAAUCUAAAUUAUUAAGCAAUGAAACAAAAAAUUAAGAUUAAAAUACAAAACGUUAAAAUCAAGAUACAAACUAUUAAAAUGUAAGUGGGAUAUGAGAUGAUAUUAUAAAAAAUAGUGUGAUCCAACAAAAAGUCUAGUACAUCAUUAUCUUCACUUCCAACCAUGUUUAAAAGGUCACAAGUUCUAGCGGUUUCCAAGGACAAUGUUAAAAAUAAUAAAAAUAAAUCCAAUUAAAUAUUAAUUAAUUUAUUUGAAUUUGAGUCCGACAAAAUAGUUGGUAAUAAGUUAAUAAUGCCAUUAAUAUGAUUUUAAUGUGAAACACAAUUAUCACAUUUAAUACCCGUUAGUCCUUGUAUGAUUAACUUUUUAGAAAUUAAUAUCAAUCUUUUGAUUAUAAUAAGAGUUUCUACUAUUUAUAUUUUUGGAUGAUUUUAUAUUUUUCUUAUUGUUUUAGUUUAAUACAAAAAAAUAAAAAUAAAAUUACAUUAGUAGAAUUUUUUUUAACUUAUUCAAAAAACCUAUUGUAAGGUGAAUGGUUUUUUUAUUUUUUUUUUAAAUAUAAAUAUUUUCUUAAAAGGGAUAAAAUAACCUUACCUUGUGAAAAAAGGCCUCUUCACCCAAAUUUACUUGUGCAUAAUCCUUUUCAGACGAAAAUGCCCCCUUCCUAAAAAAUAUUUCAUCUUAAACUUAUUUUUCAUUUUUAUAACCCUUUGUUCCAUCCUUAUGAUUUGGGAGAGGAAGUCAUUCUUCUCUUGUGAAGAAAAAAUUCCUACUGCCAUUUUUCAUUUCAAGUGAAGAAAAAUAUUUAUAUUUCAUUUUAAACAAAUUGUACAUUUUCAAUCUCUCUUUGUUCCUAGUUGAGGUUUUUUUUUUUUUUUUUUUUUUUUGUAAUUUUAUCUUAAUUGUACAAAUUCGAAGAUGAGAUUAAAUCUAUAAUGGUUAUUGGUUAAAUCACUUAUCUAACUUUGUUCUUGACAGAUCGUAUAAUAUGAUUGGAACCACCAUCCUAACUUUAUUAGGUGGGAUCCCUUUUUUUUUUUCCCCAAACCCUUGGAUUUUAGUUUUGACUUAUAUUUCAAUUGUCUGUAUCACUUUUUCUUUAUUUAUUAAUUUUCAACAAGUUCUUUAACAAAAGCCUUGAAUCAUAUUUAAAUUCAAAUAACUUAAUCCCCAUUAAGUUCUUUUUAAAUGAAACUUAAUCAUGUGAAAGUUCAUGUGACUAUUAUAAUUGAGAAUUUAUUCUUAGUUGGGUUUUUUGUAAAUAAAAUUUAGUUAUAGGACUGUGAUGAUCCGUUCUCAACCGUAUAAAUAUUGUUCGUUUUGAAUUCAAAAUAACUUUUACGGCUUUAAAACAUGUUUACAAGAUUAAGAGGAGUCCAUAUUUAUAUAGCUUCACGAACUUUCCCCCCUAUUCGAUGUGGGAUGUCACAAGGACAUCAUGAUGCAACGUAUAACAUAAGAUUGUUUCUUAAGUUUGUCUAACCUUGUAAUGUGUUAAAAUGAAGAUGAAGCCAUUAUAACAGAAGAGAAUGAUGAAGUUGUAGAGAGAGCUUAACAAAGCUUGGGUUGGAGAGACUUCAUAGGAAGAGAGAGAGAGAGAGAGAGAGAAAUAAAGGGUAAAAUUAUCAAAAAAGAAAAAAGAAAAAAAAGAGGGUGAUGUCUCCAAAUAAUCAAUAAGAGAUGUCAUUUUUCUAAUUUCAAAGUUCUUCUGGCCCUUCUCUACAAAUAUCCCUAUAAAAACAUUAUAAUAUCAAGUUAAUUUGUUGAUACCAAAAUUUAUAUAUUAUAUUAGGAUGACUAAAUAACAUAUAGAAAGAAUUUUAAAUGAGUAAAUCAAAUCAAUUUUGAAAUCAAAACUUAAUACCUACCAAACUUGUAAUCUUAGUCAUUUAAAGUGUUCCAUGAAAUCUAAAUUAUUAAGCAGUGAAACAAAAAAUAUAAGAUUAAAAUACAAAACGUUGAAAUCAAGAUUCAAACUAUUAAAACGUAAGUGGAGACGUAAGAUGAUGUCAUAAAAAAUAGUGGGAUCCAACAAAAAGUCUAUUAAUCAUUAUCUUCACUUCCAAUCAUGUUUAAAAGGUCACAAGUUCUAGCGGCUUUCAAGGACGAUGUUAAAAAUAAUAAAAAUAAAUCCAAUUAAAUAUUAAUUAAUUUAUUUGAACAAUAGAUAGGACCAAAAUAAUAUUCUAAAAGGAAUCAUAGGGAAGUCCUUGGACAACCUACGACAUUGAACAAAGGUACAGUGAGACAAUGCACUUAGCCCUUCCUUGUCAUUGCGAUGAAUAUAAAAAGACACCCUGAUUGAGGGUGCCCCACUAAGCCAAGAGUGAUUCUUUUGUAUUGUAUAACGUGAAUAUUUUUGAACUUUGAAUGACCCUUCCUAUAGUCAUCAUUGUCAAAACUAGAAAAUCAGAAAGAUGCGAUGUACGAAGGCACCAUUGAAUAAGAGGCUUAAUUCUCUUUGGCAAUUAGGAUAAAGUUUCAAAAUAGAAAAAUUAAACAAAUGUACAGUGUACGGACACUUGGGCAUUGCCUAUUUGUUUUGUUCUUCUAGAGUUGUAUAUGGUAAAGGUCAUAUUGGGUUGGUUCUAUUUGGUUAUUGAAGUCGGCUAGAAUAUUAGAUUUGGUUUCAAUCUAAUCCCAUAUGAUAUUAGAAUACCAGCCCAUACAGAAUUUUUGACCAAAUAUAAUAUUUCUUUUAAAUAUAAAUAUAGUAAUUAAUUUUAGUCUAAGAUUAAUUAUGUAGUUUCCUAAAGAGACCACUUCCUAAACGGUAGCUAUGUGGAAGUUGGGCCAGGUCCUGCCGAGAAGGUUUCCACGAGCUGAGCCCAAAACUGAGUAGCUGUGAUGGGAUCAUUCUAGCAUUCAGCCUGAAACUUGUAACAUAACGGAUCGAGAGGCCUGAACUCCAAGACCAUGGUUCGUCAGCCCAUUAACUUCAACAGCACGCAUUUUAGAGGACUGGGCUUGCAAGGGGUGAGGUUUCCGGGCCGCGACCCCAAAUAUGAACAGCCUCAGAAGUGAUAUUGCUUACUGGCACGUGAAGAGCGCAAGCGUAACUAGAAGAUUUGUAAUGCCGCUUUAAUUGUUUGAUUAUAGAAUCCCACGCAUUACGCAUGGAAAGUGUAAAAGAUAAAAGAUGUAGAAUUUUUUCUUAGAGAAAAGUUCGUUUGGAUAUAGUUAUUGUUUUUUUUUUAAAUAAUAAUUGUUUUUUUUAUAAAUUAUAGAUAAUCUUAGAAAUUUAUCUUUAAAAAAAUAGUUUUUAAAAAUAUUUAAGGAGAAUAAAAGUGAUAAAAAAAAACUUUACAAUUUCAAAUUUUUAAAAAAUGAAAAUUAUUUUUAAGAAUAUAAGUUAAUCUCCUGCAUUUAAAUCUUAGGUGGUUUUUGUUUUUUUUACUUUUCGCUGAAAACAAUUUGUUUUCAAAAUUUAGGUCAUUUGUUUUUUCUAUUUUUUCAUGAUUUAUUAUAAAUUUUUUACUAAAUAAAAAAAAUCAAAAUAUGUAACUUUUUCUAAAUAAAAAAAAUAACGUAUUGAUUUUUCUUUACUUUUUAAUACUUAAUAGAUAUAAAAUACUACAAAAACAAAAAAUCUAAUAUUUAACACUAUUAAGCAUUAAAGUUCUAUUUAGAAUUAAGUAAAAAAACAAACACCACCUUAUAUUUUAUAUAAAAGUUACUUAUAUUUUGGUUUUUGGAAAUAAAAAAUAUAAAGCAUAUCCAAACAUGAGCUUAGCUAUUUUAAAUCAUAUCAAAAUAAUAAUCCCAAUAAGGUAAAUGGACUUUUAUACGGAGAAUAAUCUUUAAGGUUUUCAUUUUUAUUGGAUUUUUUUUUUGUGGUGUUUUUUCAAUCCAUCUUCUCAAUUAAUUCCUUAAAAUUAUUUUACUGUUUUUUUUUUUUUCAGUUUCUAAAUAUUUGAUUUUUCCAAAAUGCUUAAAUGGAAGACACUAAUUUUUCAAGAUAUUUGGUAUUACAAUUUUCCCUGUUCUCCCUAUUAUCUAUCAGAUUCAUGGCCCUUUUGUUUUUUCAUUGGUUUUCAAUUUAAUUUUCCAAAUAUUACAUUGUUGUGUUUUGAAUUUGUGAAACCAAUUUUAUAUAUAUAUAUAGUAUGUAAGUCUACUUUGGGUAACAUGUACAGAGAGGUUUUCAUGUGUUUGAAACCUUUUACCUCAAAAAUUAAUUAUUUUUAAUUUUAUAAUAAAUCUUUUUUUAUUUUUUAUUUUAUUUAGGAAAGCCUAUAUUUAAACUACAUGUUUGCAACGCAACACCAUACAUACUCCUAGUGGAACUUACCUUAGUGCUUGAGGGGGAUGCAGAUCUUCUUCUAAACCUAACUAAUAAGCAUAAAAUUGUUCACUAAUUAGCAUAUCUAGUAAAUCAUACAAAUUGGCAAUAUUUCAUGUUUUUCAUGUUUUGUCAAUAAAAGGCGUCUUGACCAUUUUGUGAGUUUUGUAAUAAAUAAAAAAAAAAAAAAAAAAAGGGCAAAAGGUGACUAAAAUGAGGCACUUUGGAAAGGUUAAUAACCUAAAAGGAAGAUGAAUUAAUACCCCCUUAUUCCUCUUCAAAAACCAUUGAGAAAAUGCAAGAAAUGCUCUUAGUUGUAUGCUAGGCUAACAGCCUAGCAACCAUAAUACCCUUCUUUGCAAUUGUAAGCAUUUUUUUUUUUUUUUUGAAGGCCAAACAACGUUGCAAACUUCCCAAAUCCCUUCUUUAUUUUUUAUUUUUUUAUUUUUGUUUUUAGAAGGAGAAUGAAUUUGAUGACAAACUCCUUGUCAAUCUUAUCCAAACCACGAUCGAACAGAACUCCUUGUCAAUCUUAUCCAAACCGUGUUCCACCUCAAAAACAUGUGUAGGACUUAAGGCAGCAACUGGCAAGCAUGACUGAUAGGGCCAAGUGCCCUUGUCUCUACAAUCCAUUAAGUUAACCAAGGGCAGUGAACCAUCAUUCUUUUCAAAAGCUUCAUUCCGUGUUGAAAAUGUGAGACUGAAGCAUGGUGCCCCCAAAAAUAACGAUCUAUUUACUAGCAGCAUGCCUGGACCCAUUAAAAAUACUCUACUUUAGGAAUAGAAAAAAUUACAUCUUUAUCCAAUAAUUUUAUAACAAUUCAGACGUUUCAGUCUAUAAAUAAUUGUACAUAGUUGCCAACGUUUAGCUAGUUUCAAAUGAAUAGCCUAGGUUCAUGCACCAGUUUGGCUGGUGGAGGAAAGGGAUUCGAGACAUUGAACCCUCUUUUUAGUGUGCCAAAUAUUCCACAAAAAUCACUACCUUCUCUUUGUGUUUGUUCACUUUUAGUUUAUAUUUAAUAAAUCUAUGUUUUCGAGUAGAGGUUGGGUUCAGGUGCGACCCACGUCACCUCUCGGACGGUCUUGAAAAAGGAGACCGGACCACGUAAUUUCAAAUGUAGUGACCAUCUCACUUUUACCUCCAUCCUUGAAGAUGGUUUCCCAAAUCAAUAUUAAUCUUUUGUUUACGACAAUAUCGAUCACUUUAUGUCUAUAUCGUUGUUAAUUUACCUUUUUUUUUUAGCCACAUUAUUUGAAAAUUGAUGCAAACUUUACCAACAUCUUGGUACCAUUUUAAAAUAUUAGAGUUAUUUGAUUAAAAAAAUAAAAUAAUCUCGAUAACUUGUUUAUAAAAUAAAUAUCUUUUAACAUUUAGACUAUUCUCACGCAUGCUUUAAAAUUGUAAAGAUAUUCAUAAAGUGGAACUUUAGACUUAAUCAAUAUCGAUCACUUUAUGUCUCUAUUGUUGUUAUAUUUUUUUUUUACAACAUUAUUUGAAAAUUGAUGCAAACUUUACCAACAUCCUAAUACCAUUUUAAAAUAUUAGAGUUAUUUGAUUAAAAAAAUAAAAUAAUCCCGACAACUUGUUUAUAAAAUAAAUAUCUUUUAAUAUUUAGACUAUUUUCACCAUGCUUUAAAAUCAUAAAGAUAUUUAUAUUCAUAAAGUGGAACUUUAGACUUAAACAUGAUAAUAGUUUUUUUACAAUAUUAUAAUUAUUUUAUCGUUUUAAUUAAGCCCUUUAUCAUACAUAUAAAUGUAAAUUAAUGCUAAAUUUUUAAAGCAACGUAUAACCUUUUACAUCUUUUUUUAAGAUGGUGCGAAAAUCCUAUGAAAAAUAAUAAAAGUCGAUGCAUAAGAAGAUUGUUUUGAUAAUUCAAUAGAAAAAUUCUUUUAAAAUGAUAUUAAAAAAUACCCAUAGAGCCUUUAUUAAAAAAAUCAAUUAUUUUCAUAAUAAAAAUUAUAAUUUUUUAUUAUGUAUUAUUAUUUUUAAGUAUCUUUAUUACAAAUACUUUUUUUGAGUUUAUGAGAGGAAUCAACAGGUUGGUACAAGCUUAGGCGUCCUCGUACAUGUUCCCGCUGUGCAAGGUUUUUGUCUUGUUUCGAGCUAGUCGGAAUUUACGUGUUUGAUAACGUUUUGUCCUAUUUUUGUAACGCUUUAAAGGGCGGCCCACCGUUGGAACAGUUCAAGCCAUCCAAAUCAGCCCGGAGGGUUAUGGCGACGUGGCAUGACGCCUACCACCUUAGUUCACAUGAACCCUAUGAUCGUACUACCCUCACAUGACAUCUGUGAUUCUUCACCUCCAAACCCUCUUUAACUUGGUAAUGUAUUCAAAGCUUCAUCAAAUCAUAGCGAUUAGCGACCCUCUUCCACCCUAAUUUUAUAAUAAAAAAUAAAUCUUAGUGGACAUUAAAGUAGUAUUUUGUGGGGGGAAAGAAAAACUCUAUGGGCGUAUCCACUAAAUACGAGCCAAGUAUAAGAGUUAUCACCAUGGAAUCAAAUUAUGAAGCAUUGACAUUUUAAUUGUAUUCAGAUUUGAGGAGGGCACCGCGGCACCAGCUGGCCCAGUGUAGUCUGCUAGCCUACCCGCCAUAAUGACCAAAUUAAUAAAGUAAAAAGGAUUACAGGGAUAUUCCCAACUUUAUUCUGGGUCUGAGCUGGAACUUGGGAGUUAUCACGAUCAACGGGAAAGAUGGUGGGUAGGGGACGAGGAUUGAGGGCUCCAUAUUCACAUCAGUGAAAAACGAAAUGUAUUGAGACAAGUCUUCUAAGGAUUUUCUAGCGUAUUAUAUGGUUUAAAUGAUUAUAAAUCUGUAGUUACUGGUAAAGAGUAGAGAGUGAAGACGAAAGACGUUGAGUGAAAAGGAAGGAGGAGAGGGGAUGGGGCCAUCUUACCGUGUCGGGGAGGAUCCAUAAAAGGACUACGUUCCCUGAAUCUGUAGGCAUCAUGCCUCGCCUAACGGGUUAGUCAAAAUACAGUGAUGUGUGUGAGUUGGGGGCCUCACUCCUCAUUUCUUUCCUUCUUUUCACCCCCACCCCCACUUUUUUUUUUUUUUUUUCGAAUUUUUCUUUGUCCUUUUCUCUCACUUGCGCACGCGGGAGAAGGACCACAAACUAGACAAUUCCUCUGCUCACGUGACCCCGAGUUUUUAAAUAUUUGCCUAUUUGGAAAAUAGUCAUGAAUCAUGAUCGUUAACAAACAAUCUUCACUUUAUUUAUUUAAGAUCUAUUUUUUGGAGCUCUAGUUUAGUUUAUUAUUAUUAUUAUUAUUAUUAUUAUUAUUAUUAUUAUUAUUUAGUAACUCCUCUUAUAUUAAUGAAAAAGAGAGGAGGAAUCCAAACUUGUUUAUUCUUCCUCUUUUAAGGUGUUUGUUUUUUUUAUUUUAUUUUUAUGCUUCAUAUGUCUUCAAUUUCUUAGCAUUUGUCUUAUAUUUCUUCUUAUCCGAUUCAUUAUUGCAUCCUUGGUCAAUCUUUCACGAGGAGUGCCUACUUUUUUCCUUUUUAUUAUUUAAUUCACUUUAUCUUUAUAUUUUCCUUUUACACUUUAUUUCCAAUUCAAAACGUGUCAAAAAAAAAAAUUGGUAACAAAAAAAAAAAAAAAAAUCAAUUGUAAUGAUUCUUAUAUAAUUUUAUUUAAUUUUUAUUAAACAAUAAAGAAAUUAAAAAUAUAUAAAUUUUUAAAUAAUUAUUAUAGUCUUUCAUUUUUGUGUAUAAUUUCUUUUGCAAGAAAUAGUGUAGGCUUUCCACGGUCUAAAGGAAAUGGAAUAUCAAAUGAGAAGGUAAUAAUAAUAAAGUGAGUUAUAGAUACUAAUCAAACUAAUCCACUAAUGAAUUAUUUAUUUUUAUUUCACAUGGACAAAUCCUAAAAGUUGGAGUUCUAAUUUACUUUUAUGUUAAGCUUUUUUAAGUAAAAAUCUUUUAUUAUUAUAAUUUAUAGACAAAAAGAAACCCAUUAAUGUGAUGGAUAAAAAAUUUCAAUUUAAAAAAAAAAAAAUUAAAGUUGCUAAAUUUUUGUAUUUAUUAUUUCAAACUCAUUUAAAUAAUUUAAAAAUAUGUCUUCAAUUAAUUUUAAUGAAACAAAGCAUGAUUUUUUUUUAAUUUUUUUUUCUUUACCAAAUAAAGCAUUAUUAUAAUACGUUGAUUAAAUUUUCAUCAUGUCUCUCAAGAUUUGGAUUAAAUAUACUUAGUUGUCAUAAAUUUGAAAUUUUAUUUAAUGUAUUUUUUAUUUUAAAUUAAAAAGAUGAAUGCAAAUAAAAAAAAUAUGUAUAUUUUAUAAAAUUUUAAAUUAAACGAAGGAUACGUGUAUUUAACCAAGGUGAAUGAAAUUAAUCCAAAUACUUUUUGGUAACUUGCAAAAUAUCUUGACGAAAUCAUUAUGGCAGGCAUCGUACAAGCUCAACCCUUGUCGCCUUGCUAGAAAUAGAGAAACAAAAAGACCCCCAAAUUGGGUUGCAUCCUAAAUAUGAAGAAGUGGUAACAAAGGAAGAAAAAAUGCUGUGUUAUUGAAUAGUUAAUACAUUGAACAUGAUAUGUUACAUAGAGAGCCAGAUUAAUCCUAGUGGAAUUCCACUGUCACGAUGGUAACCUAGGGUUAUGUUUGGUUAUUGAAAAUACCAAGAAAAGAAAAAAAAAUAUAAAGGAAAAUAAUUUUUUCAUUUUUGAUUGUCUUAUAAAAGAUAUAAAAAAAAAACAAAUAUAAUUAAAACUAAUUAAAAAUUUAGGUAUUUUUAAAUUAUUUAAUUUUUAUAUUAAUGAGCGAAAAUAAAUAAAAUAAGUUUAAAAUAACAAAAAAAAUAAUUUACCGAUUUUUAAUCUAUAUUUUAUUUUACUUUUUCUUUGUAUUUUUUUUUUCUUAUAUUUUCCCUCAAAUUUUCUGAAUCAAACAUAGCAAAAAAGGAGCUACCCCUUUCGAAAGAAACUCCCAAGAAUUUCAAAGAAACCUGCUGAGAUAAUGAAUGAGGGAUCACUGUCGGUAAACAGUAUCCAUUCUUUUGGGAGGACUUUCAAACUGAGAAGUUGUUUUCAUGACUUGGAAACAAAAUUUUGAGCUCUAAGGGGGUCUGUAUUUGGGCCCUAAAAUUCAAUCCAUCAAUCUGAAAAAUGCUUAGGAUAAUGAUUUGAUUUAGCCACAAUCACUAAACAAAUUCCAGAGGAAAAUUUCGCUACUCAUAGGUGGCUGAUUCUCAUAAAAAGACAUCGUGGUAGGGUGUCUCAAGUGCAGGCUCACCAUCAACUUGCUGCCCUUUUUAGAUUAUUGUAAAAUGAUUUCACAUGAAGCCCAAUGCAAAACUUUGAAAGAAAAGGUUGGUGGAGACGUGAAGAAUAUGUAACCCAUAGGCCAUAACUAGUACCGAAGAUUAUUGAACAAACAUUCAAGGUUUUUGUAUAGACGAAACUGAAAAGAAUGUGUACCAGACUCAGGCGUUCAGAUCAGAUGAUGCCGUAAUGUGGAUUGUGGAGGAGCAUUGUGCAGACAGAUAAUGAGAUUCUGAAAGCGAGGCCACUGAUGGGCCCUUGGAAGGGGGGCGUGCCUUCAAAAUUAUAUAUAUAUAUAUAUAUAUGUCAUUGAAAAUUGGAAGCAACUUUUCUUCUUAAGUUAUUUUAAUCGAAGAAGAAACAAAAAGUUAAAAACAUACAUUAUUCUUCCUUCUUACGAGGUUUCCGGGUCUAAAUUACUAUGGUCUCUGCAACUGGCGUCGUUUUCUCUCCCCUCUCUCUAUUUUCCCUUUAUUUUUUCACUUUUAGAAAGAAGCAUCCCAUCAAGAAUCUACUACAACCCUACGCUUCCAUUUUGAUUUAGAAAGUUAAAAAUAAGUUUAAGUUAAAAAAAAAUAUUUUCUUAUAUAAUUAUUUAAACUUAUUUCUUUUCCUUUUUAUAUAAAGAAACAAAUAUUUUGCAAAUAAAUAAAUUUCUAAUUAUUUUCAUUAACAUAAUAAUAAUAUUUUUCAUAUGACUUUAAUCACAAUUUUUUUUACCACUUGUCCAAGGCGGUGAGAGGUGAUAAAAUGUAUUAAAAAAACGAUUAAAUUGCAUUAGGUAUAGAAGUUUUGUGCUUCAAUUAUCACUUAUAAAAAUAAAAUAAAAAUAGUCAAAUUUGAGUGUGCAAGUUGGUAUUCGUAUGUAGAAGGAAUUGGGGGAUUUGGGGGUCCUAACAAAUUUGAUAUGAUUGAUGGAAGGAAAUGAUUAUUAUAGGAUAAAGUCCGAAUGAAACGCUGACGAGGGGGGAAAAACAACAGUGGCAAUGCACUAUCCACAGAUCCAUGAUUGAUUUAUGUUAGCAAUAAUGAAUUAUUUUGACUUUGAUAACCUUGGUUAAGAGAAUUUGGUCUUGUUAUUAUCAUUUUUUCAAAAAAAAAAAGUGUAGGUAACUAGGUAGUUGAUUUAUUAGAAUUUAGAAAUGAGGAUCCCCUCCUCCUGCAAGAGCCGUGACAGACAUGCCUGCUUUCUUGCCAGAUUAUACCAAUGUGCCCAAAUAAUCCCCCAUCUAUCAUCUCUGCACCCUGGAACACGUCACUCCCUCCUUUGAGCAAUAAAAUAUCUCUUUUAUUUUCUUUUGAACCACUCUUCUAUUUCUUUGUACCAGACUGGACCCAUUUAAAUUCUUCGCUACGCUGUUCCCAAGGACUACGAGAAUCAAAAUAGCAAAAUUCUUGAAUCAUUUUAAUGGGUUCAGAAACCACAUGUUUCUCUAGAUCAUAAGAGGAAAAUCUUUUUGGAUGGUGUUUGUGUUGUGUUGUGUUCAAUAUUAAAUACUCAAUUAAAUAAGCUAAAUCAAAUAUCACAUGAAAAAUAAUCAAAUUAAAAAUAGGGAGAAUUAUGUUUUGAGGGUAGAUGGACCCCAAAUUAACAAAAGGUUCAUGUAACUCUUCAAAUUGAGCCCAGACCCAAUGAAAAUAUGGAAAUUGAGUUGAAGUAUAUCAUCAUUCAGUAUUUCCAAAAAUGUCCUUUGUUGAUUUUGAGAAAAAAAUUAAUAUUUUUGAAAAAUAUUUUUAUGUAAUUUAAUAUUUUUUUAAAUACUUUUAUUUAAUUUAAUAUUUUUAAAAAAUAAAUUUAUUUAAUUUAAUAUUUUAAAAAAUAUUUAAUUUAAUAUAUUUUUUAAAUACUUUAAUUUAAUUUAAUAUUUUUGAAAAAAAUUUUAAUUUAAUAUUUUUGAAAAAAAAAUUAUUUAAUUUAAUAUUUUUUAAAACUAUUUUUAUUUAAUUUAGUAUUUUUGAAAAAAAAUUAUUUAACUUAAUUUUAUAAAAUAUUUUAUAUGUGUUCUUAAAGGGUAUAUUUGUCCGUUACUAUUUCAUAUCCUUCAACUCAAUUUAAAGAGUUAUAUGGACCUUUUGUUAAUUUGGGGACCCAUCUACCCUCAAAAGAUAAUUCUCCCUUAAAAAUAUAAAUUUAAAUAUGACAUAAUUAUUAAAUAUGUUAGAUCUUGUAUGAGUUUAUAAGAUUUAUGUUUCAAAAUAACAUGUUUAUAAUUCAUCUAUUGAUUUAUAAUCAAAUUUUAAAUAAAUUAAAGUUAUUCAAGUUAAUAAAUAUGAUUUAUGUUAUAAAGACUAACUAAAAAAUAAUUUAUUAAUUAAACGGAUCCUGGUCAAUAAAAAUUUGAUUUAAAUACGAUCAUACUUAAUCAAAACUUAGGUCAAAUUGUAUUGAUAAAUUACAUCAAAACCUUGUUGUGUUCAAUAUUUUAUAUUAAACUAUUUUUUAAUAAAAUUAUUUUUAUAAAUAUAAUAUUACAUCAUUUGGAGAAACAAAAUAGUAUUAUAUUGAUUUUACAUAUAAAGCAACCAGUUAACCCCUCAUUAUUUUGAUCCAUUUCACAUCCAUAUCAUUCUCAUAAUUUUUUUAUAAUAUAUUAACAUGAUGGACGGUAAUUGAGGGUAGAAAAAAAAGAUGAGAAGAAUAAAAUAAUGUGAAUCCUCUCUAAAUGUUACAUCUUCUGACAAAUGAAGUCUAUAGAAAUGUGUAAAAAAAAAAAAAACACUUAAUUGUGAGGUUCACUUGAUUUAGCAAAAAAUUAAUAUUUUAUUUGUUGUGUGAUUUAAAAAUAAUAUUUUAUUUUUAAAAAUAAAAAAUUAUUUUUAAAGUUUUUUAACACUAUUUUACUAUUGUUCUUUGAAAUAAUUUUUAAAAUUAAAAUGAAAUAACUAAUAAUUUUUAGAUAAUAAAUUAAAGUUGUUUUUAUUAGAUUUUAAAAAUAAAAGAAAAAUAUAAAACCAUUUGAUCAAAUUUUUUUAAACUUAUUUUUAAAAGGUUUUUUUUUUUUUUUUUUUUUUUCUAUCCUAAGUUAAAAGAUAAAAAAUAAUUUUUAAAGAUAGGUUACGAGCAAAUGCCACAAACUUUUUUCUUCUCUUUCCCUUGUUCGGAUAGAAGUGAAAAAUAUCCUCCCAUGGAUCGACAUUACGUGAGCCAUCACCAUUCCCCAACUGCAAUUCAACCGCCAAAGCUGAGGUGUCAUUAUUAGUUUGAACAAAAGUCAGCAUUGUCCACGUGGUGACAAGCGGAACUGACCCAACUUGCAAGGCAAAAAAAUAAAUAAAAUAAAAUGAAAAAAUCAGAUCACCAUUAUGACGUCAGUCCAAUUGCUGACCUGGCCGCCGUCCCCCAUUUGACCCACGUGUUCAUUUAACCCAUUCGCCGUAUGCCGUGGCUCCCCACCCAUAUGGCCAUAUCUGCCAUUUAUUUUAUCCGUUGCCUCCAUUCGGUUUUUGGAUUUUACCCAUUCGCCCUCGUCUAUUCCCAUUUCCGUAUUUGCCCACCAAGGAAAUUCAAUUCCCAUGCUUUUGUUUUACAUUCAAAUCCUCCCCCCUCUAUAUAAAGGAGGGAGUAGGGCUUGAAAGUUUCUCAAGCCAACAUGGACUGUUGAGAGUGAAAGACAGAGGAGCCACAAACAAAUAUCACUCACUCAAACCAAAGCCAAAACCAAUACCGAAUUCAAUUCAAAUGACUUCUUUCUCUCUCAUCAAUUCCCUGAAUUCCGAUUCCGAUUUCAAUUUGUUAUCGGAUUCUUUUUCCUGGGAAAACUCCCUACCUUUCAAUGAAAACGACUCCCAGGAGAUGCUCCUCCUGGGCAUGCUGGCCAGCUCCACUCAGGAAACCUCAGAAACAGUUUCUUUGAAUCGAGUGAAGGAGGAAGAAGUGACUUCCCAGGAAAAUCCCGAGAAGGAGAAGUCAUACAGAGGCGUUAGGAGGCGGCCAUGGGGGAAAUUCGCAGCAGAAAUAAGGGACUCGACCAGGCAUGGCAUAAGGGUGUGGCUGGGAACAUUUGACAGUGCAGAGGCAGCUGCUCUGGCCUAUGAUCAAGCUGCUUUUGCGAUGCGGGGCCCUGCGGCAGUCCUCAAUUUCCCGGUGGAAAGAGUGAAGGAAUCGAUGCAGGAGAUCAAGUGCAUCUUGGAGGAGGGGGGCUCACCAGUGGUGGCCCUCAAGAAGAGGCACUCUAUGCGGAGAAAAAGUCCUUGCAAGAAACAUAAAAGUGAAGAGGUGAGGUUAGAAAAUGUGGUAGUGCUGGAGGAUUUGGGUACUGAAUACUUGGAACAGCUCCUCACUUUCUCUGAGACCUCUAGUCCUUGAUCAUCAUCAUCCAUCACCUGGAUAGCUUCUUCUCUUUGCUCUGUUUCUUACUUUUCUCUCUCUCUCUCUCUCUCUCUCUCUUUUUUUUUUAUGUAAUUUUUCUUAAUGUAUUUUUGGAGAUGGCGGGGGUGUAGUGGUGGCAAUUAUCCAUCUAGAAUUUUUCAAAAGAUAUGUUCUUUUGUUUCUUUGUAUAAAGUUGAAAAGUGGGGAUCAAUUGUGAUGGUGCUCUAUGUUCAUCCACCCAAUUUAUAUAAUCAAGGUGAUUAAUGUUUUUUGAUAUCAACAAUUUGUGAAUGACAUAGAGAGAGAGAGAGAGAGAGACCUUAUUUUCUACACUCAUUACGGUGGUUUCCAUUUGGGGAAGGAAAAGGAAAUGGCUAAGAAUGUUACCAAAAGAAGUGGGGUGGCUUUCAUAUGCGUGGUGGCAUACUUGCAUACAAACUUUUCAAUUGUGUUCUGCAUGCCACUCGGGUCAAUUUCAUUUCUUUUACUCCUAGUAGCCUAAUUGGAUUUCCUUUUUCUCAUGAGACAUCAAAUAAAUUUCAUUUUUUUAUAUUUAAAUAGUUAGGUAAGUUUGAUAGUGAGUUAUAUUUUAUACAUUAAUUCAUCUUUUAGAAUGUUGUCUACAAUAUAAACAGUGUAAUUAAUUUCAUCAUUACAGAACAGUCAUCUUAUAAAAUAACAUAAAAAUUAUUGGAUCACUUGUAUGGCACCACUGAUUUGGACUUGGUAUGGCUCUGUUUGGCUUCAUAGAAAAAAUUUGGACCCAAUUUGAAUGUCUUGCAUAAAAAGAGAUACGUCCCACUUUGAAUGAUAUUGAAGAAAAAAAUUUCUGAUGAAGAAUAUAUUGUUGGCAGGGUCAUGCAGGCCAAUAGGGAAACGAUAAAUUCAGAAGAAUGAGUCCAAACCAGUGGGCUUGAAAAUUAAGAAGAGAAUUGCUGUAUAAAACAAUCAUUUCUUAAUCGAGUUCACUUUCUGAAUAAUCGUCACUUUGAGAAUGCAUACUUAGGAAGAUGAUGAUCCUUAAUGGGAAUAAUCAAAGGCAUCAAAAAAUUGUUCUGGAACAAUUCUUGAUUGUCUCCAGUAAAAUUCAAAGUCAAAAGUCAAAAGUCCAGUCGGUCAACACCAAACCAGGCCAGUCCAAAAGACAUUAAUUUGCAAUCUAGAAUCUAUGAUGAGGUGGCGAAAUCAAACCUUGGCUUUUCACCAGGGAAUGGUACUCUGAAUUUGGUCAGUUCACUGUUUCGAGUGAAUAGGGUGUAGUAAUUAGUAAAUCAUAUUUUAGAUUUGUGUCACAAGUUACAAGGGAUAUGGGCUGACGUUCAAUUUUGGCGACAAUUUGUGGGCCCGUAUAUUUGUUGAGAUGUGGAAAUUGGGUGUGUGCUUUUUUCUGCUACCACAUAAAUAUAUUUCUUUGAAUUGAAGAGUGUUUCAGACCAUUUUUUUUCAAGUCACAAAUGGACAACUGAUUGAGAUUGUAUUGGUGAGAGUAGGAGUUUAUUUUGGGCUGGUUGAGCGAAGUUGAAAGUCGAGUUGGACCUAACCCUUGAAUUCAGCAGACUACAGUCCGAUCCUGUAUUUUGGAUUUAGGGAACCUUCUUUCCCAGAAGCUUCGUCUGGGUUUUAAAGUCUAAAUGUGGCUACUCUUAAACAUUGGAGAAAGGAUGAGCGUUCACAAGCAAAUGGGUAAUUGUGGAUGGUUCAAGGACCUGGCCAGCUGGUCUUCAAGUUUGGAUGCCGGUUUGGGCCUGAGAGAGUCUUUGCAAAGUGACUUCACUUCAGCCUAUGAGAUCAAGAUAUCAUGGUGAUGUCCGAUCACUUAGGUUUCAUUUUCACCUCGGAUUACCGUUACCAUGUUCAUGAAUAAAAAUAAAUAAAUAAAUGAAGCCUUAUAGAGAAAUUAAUGAAGUGAGCUAUACAAGCAACUGGGCCAGGAGCCUACAAGGCAGAAAUUCCCUGCCCUAGACUAGGCCGAAUAAAUUAGAUGAAUGAAUUGGGGAAACCUGGGCCAGCCACACAUCCUCCUGAAGGCUGAUGUCGAACUCGCUUACGAGGAAUGGACAUGGGAGAUUGGGCUGGGACCAAAUAACCAAUUGACAGCCCUAUCCUUGUGGCAAGACGUCAGUAAAAUGGUUCAUUCUGAUUUUACGCUGCCAUUCAAUUUAAUUUUAAUUUUUGUUUAAAGCGAUGUACAAAUUGAAUGGUGUCUAGUCACUUAAAGAGUGGUUCAUAAUACACUUAAUUUAAACAAAAAAGAAAUUAUUAGAUAGGGGAUUCUCCAAUAAAAACCACCCCAUCUUGUCAGCAAGUCCGGAAACUUCCUUCACUUAGGGCGUAUUUGUUUUUUUAACUUUAAUAUUAAAGAAAGUUGGUUAAACCUUAUGACACUUUUAUAUUAUUUUAUGAAUUUUUUUUAAUUUUUAUUUUAAUGGAAUUUUAACUUUAAUACAAGUUGGAGUAAUUCUUAUCUUAAAAACAAAUCAAAAUUACUUUAAUUUUAUAUAGAAAUAAACUUACAGUAAAUUUACCAUGAAAAUUUCUAAGUCAAAUACACCAUAAGUGCUAGUAUUUUAUAAUAUUUAGAAACAUGUUAAAUUAUUAUUAUUAUUUUUUAAAAUUAUUAGUUUUCAUAUUAGUUUUAGGGAAACUUGUGCUUUAGGUCUUUUAUUUGCAAAUAAUAUGGUUUUCAAAUCCUAAGAAUAGAAAAUAUGAGAAUCAACUGUUAAUGUGGAAAAUAAUAUCAAUUUUGUGCAAUCUCUAUUGACUCAUUUUUUUGUGCCUAGAUUGCCUUCACCCACUUCCAUGUCAACAACCACAUUAAUAGAUUGUUUUUUUUUUAUAAAACAAAUAAUUAUUAUGUUUAAAAUUUUGGGGAAACUCUCUAUCUCUCUUACUUCUUCACUACAUCCGAGACCCAUCUUCCUUAAACGUUUGCCUCUCAUUUUGCCCUAACCCCAAAUCUCAUAAAUUUCUCAUUUUCUUGCCUCAUUUGAAAUAUGAAGAUGACCGAUUCUCAAACAUCUCUGUCUCUCUCUUCACGUUUUGACCAGUCUAAUUGGAAACCCAUUUUCCAAAAACCUUCUUUCUUUCAUUUUGCCCUAACCCCACUAUCUCCCUCUUCAAGACCUAAUCACCCAAACUCGAUAUCUAUCUUCCCAAAACCUUCAAGCAAACUGAACUAGACCCAUAUCUUCUUUUUUCAUCAUCAAAGGUGAAAUUUUUUUAAGGCUUUUGGAAACCGAAUUGGAGCUUUCCCUUCUUCUGGGAUUAAUCAUUCGCAAGUGAGUUUUCCAUUUAAGGCUUUGUUUGGCUGUUGAAAUCUUGGGAUCAAAGGUCUUUUAUUUUCAGGUUUCUUGUAUUUUGCUUUAUUUUCUUGUAUAUAACAAUAAUCAUUGUAACAUAUGCUAGUAGUUACCCUUGGUGCAACUUUACAUUUCCAAAUACCCUAAAGUCCAAAGCUUUUAAUUCCCUUUUCAAAGCUUUCAACUUUGAAAGCAGACUAAACCAUAAGAACUAUGAAACUUAUAUCUCUAUCACCACUAAUUAAGCAUGUCUAUGAAUCCUUCCACUUUAAGUCACUUAUUCUCAAACCAAGAAGGGCUCCUCUCAUUCUCACCCCACCUCAUCUAAAUGAGGGAAAUGAUCAAUUGCAGCCAUGCUUUGCACCAAAUUAGAGAAGUGAUCCUCCCAAUCAUCCAUUACCAAAAAUUGAUCAUGCUGAUGAGAUCAUAAGAGUCUAUUCGGAACUCCCAGUUUACUUGCCUCUUAUCUCAGGAUCCUCCAUUACCCCCUGUCUUUCCAACAUCAAAUCAACUUGCAAACAAUUCCUUUGUAGAUAAAAUGUUUUUAAUAUUGCAAAAGGGGACUUAUCAUAAUGGUUGAAUCGAUUUAUUUGAUAUAAUCACUCAAAUUCAAGCUUAAAAUUGAUCAUAAUAAAAUGUUUUUAAUAUUGUUAAAAGGAGAUUAUAAUGGUUUUAUUUGAUAUCAUUACUAAAAUUCAAGCUUUCAAACAUGCUCUACAAAGAAGUUCUAAAAGACUACAAGAAAGAGUUUCCACUAAAGAAAAACAAUGAAACCAUUUCUACUAAAGACAAACAAUGAAACCACAGAUGCUUUGUGAAAUAUGUACCCGCACAAUCCAACAAACUUUAGAAAUUCACAAACACUACCUAGAAUUUUUGCUGACCAGCAAAAAAUUUAUGCAAUUUAAUUCUUAUUGUUAUUAUUAUUUUCAAUGUGAACAAAUAUGAUUGAAUUAUGAAGUAUUUGGCCAGAAGAGGAUCUUGCCUAAUUAUAGUCAUUAAACAACCAUUUAUACCAUAGCCUCUAGACUUUAAAAAGUUUAUAAAACUCAAGGGCUUCCACCCAAUUUCUAGAUAUCUCCAUAACAUUCUUCUGACUAUUAGAAAGCAAUUACCACUUUAAUUUUUCAUUUCAUGAGUGUUCAAUUCAGAAAAAGACCAGGAUCGAACUUGCGAUCAUGCAGUCGAAAAUCCACCUGUGCAUGAAACUAUUGCCUCACGAUUGCAAACUCAAGUUGGAGUCCAGUAACAACUCUAGGUUUGCUGAUGUGCUCCAUUUGAAAUAAAGGAACUAAAGAAUACUUUAUAAAGAUUAAUUACCUUCAUAUUUUAGGUUGGGGUUAAGGCAAAAUGUGAUAGAUUGAGAGGAAGAAAAUAUAUCUUGUUCAGGAAGCCAAUAUUUUGGAGUUCACCUUUCCAUUCGAGUCCACUCUGCUAUAGCAAAAUCAGAGUCACAACUAUGCCUCUUUAAGCUAUCCUUUAAUUGGAUGAAUUGCAGAUUUGGUUGCUGAGAAAGUGGAUAAGAAAGAAAAAUGCAUACUGUAGCUUGAGAUUAAGAGUUUGUUUUCUAAAAUGAGAGAAAGGGAAAGAGAAAAAAUGCAUAUUGUAGCUUGAGAUUAAGGGUUUGUUUUCUAAAAUGAGAGAAAGGGGAAGAGAAAUGUUCGACAACUUUGAGAUGACAAAUUUUUAGAUUUGGAAAAUUUGAGAUGAGUCUCAGGUUUUUUUUUUUUUUUUUUUGUCUUUGUCUUUGUUUUUUUUUUUUUUUUUUGUUUUUUUCCCAAAAACAACCUGUUAAUGUGGUUGUUGACAUAGAAGUGGGUGAGGGCAAAAUGGGCAUAGAAAAAAGAGUCAACACAAAGUGCACAAAACCCAUAUUAUUUUCCACAUUAAUGACUGAUUCUCAUAUUUCUUGUUCUUGGGAUUUGAAAACCAUAUUAUUUGCAAAUGGACCUCCCAAAGCACAGGUUUCCCUUAGUUUUAUGUCUCCAUCUACAUUUUACAUAUAAAUAGAUUAUUUUAUAAAAUUUGUUUUGUAGAUAUAUUAGUUAAUAAUUAUAUAAUUAAUGAUAUAGAAAACAUAUAAAAAUCAUAUUUAAAAAAGAUAAUUACAUAUUCCUCAACAAUCCAUCCCAAGAAUUCGAGGUUGAGUUGAAAACAUGUAGAGUCUUUGAUGUUAUUAUAAUCAUAUCCAACACAUAUGAUUAUUGUUUAUGAGAUAUUAUUAGAAAGUUUGUCUUAAAAUAAUUGAUUUAUUACCCACCUUUAGCAAAUGCCCAUUUUUGCGUCUUUCAAAAUUUUCAUUUUUUUUUUGUUUAAAAGAAGUAUUGUAAAGAAUGAUGAAAUAAGAAAUUUGUUGAGAAAGUGUGAGUAAAUAAUUUUACAUAAAAAGAGAUUUAAUACUUGAUAAAUAAAAUAAUAAAAUCAUGAUUUCUAGUUGUAUAGGGCCGGGUGGAUGGAGUGGCUAAGAUGUAAUUCUUGAAAUAGAGGAGACAACAUCAAUGUAUAAAAGUUUAACAGAGAAGGAAAGUGUGUUUGAAUGACUUUAUUUUCUUCAUUUAAAGUUUUGACGAUGAGUGUUUAUACAAGAUAAAUUUUCAAAUGAUAGGACUCCUAUUUACAUGGAGUUUGUGAUAUACUAUGAUUAUACAAAUUUAAAAUUCAAACAGAUUCAUGAGUUGAUAGGAGUCUGCUCAAUACGCCCCUUCAAAAUGGUGGGAGAUAGCACACCAAUCUUGACUCGAAGGGCCUAAACUCGUGCAGAAGAUGAGGGCUUUGUUAGAGCAUCGACAAGUUGAUCCGUGGUUGACAUAUGGGACACCUUGAGCUCACCUGAUUAAACCUUGUUUCAAACAAAAUGAAAAUCAAUCGCCGAUGUGUUUCAUGGAGAGUGAAACAUGGGAUUUGCACAAAGAUAUGUUGCACCCACGUUAUCACAAGAGAUAGGAGGUGGUGAUAAAUUUGAAACACUAAGUUUUGAGAGAAGAGAAUUAACCCAAAGAACCUUUGAGGCUGUAGAGGCCACGACGUGAUAUUUCGCUUCAGUGGAAGAGCGUGCUAUGAACUUUUGUUUCCUCGAUGACCAAUACACAAGAUUGUGACCAAGAAAAACAAUGGGAGCAUUGGUGGAGGAUCUGACAUAAGGAUUCCUUGCCCAUUCAACAUUCGAAUAUGCAUGUAGAUUGAUGGGCGAUUUCUUAUGCAAGAACAGACCAUGCACCAUUGUGCCGACUAAGUAUCUAAGCAAUCUUUUAACACAAGACCAAUGUGUUGAUGUUGGAUGGUGCAUAAAUUGAGAUAAUUUAUUCAUCAAGAAGGUGAUGUCAGGGCUAGUAAGAGAGAAGUAUUGAAGGCUUCCAACAAUUGACAUAUAUUUAGUGGGACCAGGAAAAGAGGUGUCAUCACACAGAUUUGGAACAUUGUUGAGGAACAUCAAUGAUUGAACUGGUUUGGUAGCCACCAUUUGUGUUUUCUUAAGAAGCUCUCGAAUGUACUUGAGAUAAAAAUAAUCCUUUGGAAGUAUGUAUCAUUUCAACACCAAGAAUAAAAGAUGAAGUCCUGAGAUCCUUAAUGGAGAAUUUGACUGCUAAUUGAGAGAUCACGCGAGCACGAAAAACAUUAUUGUUACUUGUUAAAAUAAGAUCAUCAAUAUAAAUAAGUAGGUAAACAAUGAGACCACUCUUUUUAAAAAUGAAGAGGGAUGUCUCGGUUUAGGAGUUGACGAAGGCUAUUGAGAGGAGAAAUUGGCAAAGUUCAUGAUACCAUGAUCGUGGAGCUUGUUUAAAGCCAUAAAAAGCCUUACAAAGUUGGCAAAUGUGAUGAUGUGUGUAUUCGUGAACCCAGGAGGUUGAAUCAUGUAAACAUCUUCAUGAAGUGUCCUAUGCUAGAAUGCAUUAUUAAUGUCCAAUUCAUGAGUUGAUAGGAGUCUGCUCAAUACAAUGUGGGAGUGUGAUUUCAAAAUUAGGGUAAUUUCGAAAUGGAUUUUGUAUUCACAAGUUGAAUUUCAAAAUUAUUUUGAAAUGGUCUUUUAACUUUAAGCAGUUGUGUUCAAAAGGUCAUAACUUCUUCGUUUCAAUUUUGAUUUACACAUUGUUUAAAACAUUGGACUCUUUACUUCCCGAGCUUCAAAACGAUAUAUAGUAUGCUCAAAAAUGACAUCAGGAUUGGUUCAAAUUUCAUCUUGAUAUUAGAGUACAUGUUGUGAUUAGAUUUUGAGUUCCAAAUUUCCAUGUAAACUUGAUUGCAUUUGCUUCAAACCUCCUUCAUUAUGGUUGCUUGCCCUCUAUCUCACUUUGCAACAUUUGUUACUAGUAUUUUAUGUCCAUGACUUACUCAUUUCAACCUUUCUUGGAUUCUUCAUGGUUCACAAAUUAUGGAUUCUUCAUGGUUCACAAAUUGAGUCUUUCAAUUAUGCAUGUUUAACUCCUAUUUCCUUGGUUGAUAAUGACUUUUACACUUAUCAUUUUCUUUUAUUCUUUAAACCUGAAUUUAGACUUACAAAAAAAAGUUAGAUCCAUAACUAGGGUCUUAGCAUCAAUUUGAGUUAAGUUGGAUGAUUUGAAAAUUUUAUAUUACAUAAAUCAUAUCAUACAUGUGCCAUUGGAGUGCACAUUUUGGCUCUAAUCAUGUUCCAACCCAUUGUUUUACUCUUGCAUGAAGUAUGUGGCCAUUGAUUUUAAUUUUAUUUGCGAUUAGGUUCAAAAUGGUGCUUUUGUGUUGCUCAUGUGUCAUCAGAAGAUCAACUAAUGGAUUCUCUAACAAAACUACUACAUCAUAGUCAUUUUUUUUUUUCUUAAGACCAAGAUUGAGAUCUCCAAUCGGAGCCAACUCCAUCUUGGGGGCAUGUUAGUGAAAGAUAAAAUUUAUCUUUAAUUUAAAUAUUAAUAUUUAUCAGUUAUUAGUUUUAAUUAGAGUAAAAGAUAGAGUUUAAAUUGGAGUAGGAGAUAAACUUGUGUUUGAACUAGAAUAGAAGAUAAAGUAUAAAGAUUUAUGUUUGAAUUAGAAUAAAAUAUAAAGUUUGAAUUAGAGUAGAAGAUAAACUUGUUCUUUAUUUGUAUAUAAAUAUUCAUCAAUUCUUGAGAAGAAGAUUAUUUCAUAGUUUUUCUAUCUUCUUUUUUCUUCAUACAUAUCUGCAAGAAAUUGAAGAUUUCAAGUAAAAUAUUUUCUGUUUUAAAUAGUGAAAAAAGCUAGAAAUUCACUUUGUUAUCUCUUGGGGUAAAUUGACAAGGUUUAACGUUAAGAAGGUGAAUUAUUUUUUCAGAAAAACUGAAGUAGCUAGGAUAUCUGGCCAGUUGUGAUCGAUAAAAAAGUUGUAAAAUCUCUCAUAUACUAAACAGGUUUUGGAUGUUGGUAUGGUAAAUCCAUCUGCAGUCAUUCGUCAUCUCAUCUAGUGAGAUGUUUGGGAGGUGGUGACCGCCGGAUUGGGUUUCAUUUGGUUAAAUCUGUCAGUGGGUUGGCUACUACCCGAGCCUCUUGCUUUGGGGGAGGUGGGUUCUAGAUAUAAUGUUCAAACCAUUUUAGUUAUCAUAUGCAUGACAUGUAAGCAUAAUCUCUUUAUCACUUCUUCAAUGGGAGUUCAUGGUUAGGAAUUGACUUCUUUUCUUCUGGGAUGCUUGGCAUGUAAUGGACAAAGUUACUUUUAUAUCGAUCGAAUUUCUAGUAUUAUAGUGAAGACUUACCCUUUUGACAUUUUAUAUCGAAUUAUAGAAGAUGAAAGGGACAUACAUGCAAUCGACUGACGCUUUAGUGAAUAUGCUGAAAAUAUGCUGAUGCUGUGGAGAUCGUAUGAGGACAGAGGAAAAAGAUAGAAAUGGAUAUAUAAUUAGACCUAGGUUUUUAUUAAAUGAGAUGGGGAACAUAGAGUGAGGGAAAAUCAAAAUUUUUGGCUGCAGUUCACAUUGGUGAUAUUUUGGAUUGACAAAGACUAACGACUUUUCUAUUUUUCUUUUCGGCCUGACUGGAUAGUUGGACAUGGACAAUACAGAAUCCACAGAAGGAUUGUUGGGACCGCUGAAAAUUAGCUAGAAGAAGCUGAGGAAGUAGUCUACGUAGUCAAAUACCAAACACAAAGAAAGAAAGAAAUGGAUAUCAUGGAUGCCUAGAGUUAUACUCCUAAUACCGUCACAGGUAUUUUUCUUUCCUCCUUUUUUUUUCUACGAUAAUUAGAGCAUUUCUCCUCCUCCUCCUCCUCCUCCCCCCACCCCACCACCAAAAAAUAAAAAAAUAAAUUAUUGCAAGUAACACUUCAAAUAUUAAUUUAUACAUUCUAAAGUAUAUAUUCAUGAAAUAACUUGAGUAUCAUACAUUAGUUCUCAAAAAAAAAAAAAAAAAAAAAAAAAAAUUACUGGAAGAGAAAAGUUUAAGAAAACAUAAAAAUAUUCAACUACUAUUUUAAAGAGAAAAUUUAAUUUUUACACUAUAAAUUUGAAGAGAACUUUUACAUGCAUCUUAUAUAAACUACCAUUUUUUGCUAAAAGGCUUAAAUUUGUCAAAAAUACCCCUUAGGUGCUUAACGUUCUGGUCAUAAUAUAAUUGGCAUCUUUUCUCAAACAUAAGGCCUGUGUGUGGGAACAAGAUUUAAUGUUAAUGAGCUUCGCCACCGACAUUUAGUUCCAGAAAUCAUUAUUUUAAUAGAGUGGGCUCAAUUUACAACUUUAAUUAAACUCUAACCAACUGCAUUGUGAAAUGAAUAUGUUUCUUUCGUGGUGAAUCCAAUGAGUUGGGAGUCAAACUUUGCUUCAUUGUGUAUAGAUGAAAUGUUAAGACUCCAUGUAACCUCAAACAUUUCCGCAAUNNNNNNNNNNNNNNNNNNNNNNNNNNNNNNNNNNNNNNNNNNNNNNNNNNNNNNNNNNNNNNNNNNNNNNNNNNNNNNNNNNNNNNNNNNNNNNNNNNNNUUCUUUCGUGGUGAAUCCAAUGAGUUGGAGUCAAACUUGCUUCAUUGUGUAUAGAUGAAAUGUUAAGACUCCAUGUAACUCAAACAUUUCCGCAAUGAGCGGGAGUUCUAAAUUUAAUAAUUGAAAUUGUCAGUGGAACCAGUGGACAAGAGUUGGUUUGUGGUUGACAAACUUAUCCGUUUGAUCUUUACUUGAACAGUUCCAGUGUGUGGAUGGGUACUGAUGAAGUGUGCGCAUUUAUUUUGAGAAGCCUGCUUGUUCGCAUAGAUUUUAACGACAUGAACAUUGUGGUAAGGUUAGAGAGUAAUGCGAAUGUAGGAGCUUAUAUUAGAAAUGACACAAACACGUAAAUAGAAGUAAUCUAUAUAUGAUAUUACUCAUGGACUACAAGCAAAGAAGUACAAUACAUGGAGUAAGUGAUGAAAUGAGCAUUCCUCACUACUACUGCUUGACUGAUGGAACAUGAUGCACGAGAUAGCAUAAGUAGUAGUAGGAAGCAGCUCUUAUUUGUGGCGUCGGUAUACAUCAUACUAGGUAGAUGGUUCAAUUGGCAUGGAUGGGUGGUGGAGCCUUGAAGUGCUUGUGAUGGGGAGCCCACGGCUUCUUCUCAGGAGUUGGUGGCUUCUUGUAUGGAGUUGAUGGAGGUGUUUCUACUGGAGGGUGGCCAGGGUAGUGACCCUGGGGUGGUGAAGGUUCUUUUGUCGGUGGUGGCCUCACUAUUAUUGGCGGUAGAGUUGGUGGCUUGGGCGUUGGCGGUGGUCUCACUACUCUUGGGGGUAGAGUUGGUGUCUUGUGUUUUGGUGGUGGAGGUGGCUUAACAGGAGUUGGUGGCUUGUAUUCUGGGGGUGGUUUCUCCACCGGAGGUGGCUUAUAAACUGGAGUUGGUGGCUUGUAUUCUGGGGGUGGCUUCUCCACUGGUGGUGGCCUGUAAACAGGGGUUGGUGGCUUAUAUUCUGGGGGAGGCUUCUCCACUGGAGGCGACUUAUAAACAGGGGUUGGUGGCUUGUAUUCCGGGGGUGGCUUCUCUACGGGAGGUGGCCUGUAAACAGGGGUUGGUGGCUUCUCCACCGGAGGUGGCUUAUAAACGGGGGUUGGUGGCUUGUAUUCUGGGGGUGGUUUCCCCAGUGGUGGAGACUUGUAAACAGGAAGAGGUGGUUUGUGCUCAUAUGGGGGUGGCUUGUGGUCAUUAGCAAGUGAGGGAGUGGUGAGGACCACCAAUCCAAGGAACAACACGAGUGAGCAAGCAGAAGACAUGUUUGGGCUCUGGUGAUGCACAAGUAGAAGAAAUGGGAACCAUUUAUAAUGCUUCGAGACCUUGGUUAGCACCAAAAUAUGUCAAAAUCUUGAUUACUUCAUUUCAUACAUAGAUUUAAAAUUAUUUCAAUCAACCAUGAUCCUUAAUUUUCUGGGUGGUCCAUAAAUGUAAUGGGGUCAAUUUGGGACCUAACAAGCUGAGAAGUUUGACAAUGCUGCAAGGCUUCAUCCGAAAGUCCGGGGAAGAAUAUUAGGAGUUACACUCCGUUUCCUUUUUUGGGUGCAUUUUUCUCCUUUAACAUUCUAUUCCCUUUUACAUUAGCAUUUGAUCUUAGCUCAUUUCAAGUACAAGUUUCUUGAACCCUAUACCAUUGUCAAAGUUGAGUAACCAUCUCUACUUUGCUCAAGAAACAUAAAAGACAAUGACAAUAAAGAAAAAGGAGAGAGACCAUACGUGACUUGGUUUAUAGGUGGCUUUGUGUUGACAUUUGAGUAUGGAAGCCGACAUGCAUCUUAGCUUCGAUUUUAAUUAAAUUUGUACAUUAGUGUCUGUGUCAUUCAUUUUGGUAUAAAAGGUCUCUUGAUUUCGUAAGUUUGGUAAGAACCGUUGAAAAUAGCAGUAGCAGCACAUGGUCCACUUUCUUUCACAAAAUAAUUUUAAAAGUUUAGAAGCAUAGGAGGUAACAUUAGUGGCCUUGUGGCUCAGCCACGAGUACUAUGUGGUGCUCGAGAAAUUGAGUUUAAUUUCCUUCCGAUAGUUCAUGAUAAGGUCCGUCACUGUCCUGAGACAGAUUGCGUUUUUUCUUUUUUCCUUUUUUAGUGUUUUAUUGACUAGCUAGGUGUGACUUUUCCUACUUUAAGGCACGAGGCAGAAAAGAAACUGGGAUUUAGUGCUUAAGAAGGCAAAUUUAAUUCGAUUUGGAUCUAAAAUUUGCCAGCAACAUGAGAUUUUCCAGCCUAUCGUUGCUCCACAUAUAGACAAGGCACUUGUAGAAGUGGCUUGUUUGUAGCCAUUCCCGAUAUUUGGACUCACUUGAUUCACCGGACACUUUGAUAAAAUUUAAUAUUUAUUAUUUAAUAAUUUAAAUUGAUUUAAAAUUAAAUUAUACCGAAGUUGUGAUUUAAAAAUUAUUAUUUAAUUCUUACUUUUAAAUAUGAAGAUUAUUUGAUAAAAAUAAUUUAAAAUUUAUUAUAAAUUAUCAAAUUAACAUAUUUAUCCUUAUAAAUUAUAAUUAAAACAGAAAAGGUCAAAUGAUUUGAGUAUCCAUAGAUGUGGUAAAAUAAUAAAAAAGAUUAUAAAAACAAUUAUGAUAAAUAAAGAUAAAAAGUAAAAUGAAUAUGUGAAUUUAAAGAAUAAAUUAAUUAUUUUUAUUUAUUACUUAAAAUUAUUUUUGACUUUAAAUUAUAUUAUUAAAUUAUUUUACCAAACAUACUUAAUUUAGUUAAUAAUUUAAAUUUAAUUUAAGUUAUUAAAUUGAUUCACCAAAUACCCACUUAAUCAAAGACUGAAGUAUACAUUAUUUGGCCAAAUGCAGCUAUUGAAAUUUAACUUUUUCCAAACUUAUUCAUUUUGUGGAAAUAUUUUUAGAAAUGAUUUUAAAAAUGCACUAUUCUGUGUGUUGAUUUUAUAUUUUGGCAUUAAUCCAACAUAGAAAACGGUUCUUAUUUUCGCUGUUAAAUAGGUACCAGAUCCUUAAUUAGUGCCGUGAAUCCGGCAGCUUCCAAUGAGUAAUUUGGACUUGGGUAUUGACAAUGUGUGGCCAUGCUUCUACUAUUUUAUUAUUCUUGAAACAUAUAUGAUAUAUUGGACUUUAUACAGGGAAAAAAAAAAAAAAAAGUCUUCACCAAAAAUGAUUCCUCCUAAAAAAUAGACUCCACAAACUAGGUUUAACAGGAAAAUGAUUCUAAUCUAGUAGUUUCCAGCCACAUGAGCAUUUACGUAACAAUAGUAUAGUUGAUAACGACUUUUAUUUUAUUUAUUUUUAAAUAGUUAAAGGGAUAAUUUUUGAGCUUAAAUUUUAUUUUUUUAUUUAGAAACAUUUUACUUUAUUUUUUAAUCAUAAUUCUAUUAUAUUAAUGUUUUAUUUUCUAUUUUUUAAUAUAUAAGGAGAUACUAAAUUUAUGUGAUUAUUUUUUAAAAAUUUAGUAUAUGAAAUUAAAUAAUUGGAUAUAUAUACAUAUAUCAUAUAAUGUUUUUUAAGUGUGAUUUUUGAACUUUUUAGUCAUUUUAUAAGUUUAAGCUUUUGAUUUUUUUUUUUAAACUUUGGUAUUUUUUAUUUUAUAUAAAACUAUUUUGAUUUAAUUUUAUUAAAAAAUAUUGGUAUUAUAAAUUAUUGUAUUAAUUAUUUUUUUAUAUUAUAAUGUAACUGGUAUAUACUAAAAAAUGUAUGCAAGUUCAAUUUAAGUUUCAAAUUAAAAAAUUUCAUUUAAAUAUUUAAUAACUUGUUCAUAAUAAAAAAUUAAACAACAUAAUACAAAUGAAAAGAAACAUAAAAGAAAAAGGAAAAAAUGGUCCUCUCUGUGUGUCACAUUACUAGGUCAUCCUCUUUUUCUAUGACCCUUACAAUAGAAUGGCAUAUUUGUCAAAUCUACUUAUGAAAGUUGGAAUGUUUCUACAUGUGUAGGGUCCAUUGGAACUAAUGGAGGAAAGGCUUAACGUCUAUGUAAAUCACAACGUUGCCUAGGUGGGCAUAGAUCUAGUUGUGUAACAUGAGAUGGUGUGAGAGUACAAUAUAUGCAUUGUAGUCUCUAUGGGAAGAGAGAUAGGUAAUGGUAGGGUGGUAGACGGUAGGGUGAUCUCUAAUAUAAUGACAUUUGAUGUGGUGGCUUCUAAGAGAGGAGAUAUAAGAGAUGGUAGAAUGACAUUUGGUGUAAUGGUCUCUAGUGCAAUGACAUGUGAUAUGGUGACCUAUAAAGAAGAGAUAUAGGUGAUGGUGAAGUGGUAUGUGGUGUAGUGACCUUUGAGAUAGAAAAUAGAGGUAAUGGUAGGUUGGCAGGUGGAGUGGUCUUUGGUGUAGUGACAUCAAUUAUAAAUGUCUCCAAGGGAGGAAAUAAAGGUGAUGGUAGGUAGUAAAUGUUGAGGUGGUCUUUGAUAUGUUAUGCUCUAAGAGAGAAGGUAUAGGUAAUGAUAAUAGGGAAUUUGACAUAGUGGUGUUGGAAAUAAAAAGUGAAAGUGACCGUAGAGGUGAAAGGGCAAGUGUAAAAGCCUCAAGUACGAAUGGAGUAAUUAAUGUGGAUGGUGCUAACAUAGUCUUAGGUGGAUACACAAAUAGUCAUAGUCAUCAACUAGCUUGCCCACCAUCUGUCUUUCUGCUAGUGAUAGGUUACAUCUUAAUAGUAAUGGCCAACAUAAGUGGUGUGGAUCCGAUUUUUUUACGUGUGUCCCCACUCAAUCGACAAGACUUAUUUUUUAUUAGUGAAAAAUUAAUUUUGGAAAAGUUGGAGUCACCACUUAUUUUAUUUUAUUUUAAAAAGGAAAGUAAAACAAGAAAGAGAACUCUAAAGAAGUGACUUCAUAGUUUUGGAAAAGUUAGUCUUAAAAAAUCCAAGUCUUGGUCCGGAGAUCAGGUUACUUAUUGGGAAGAUACCUCUAAGAGGUAAUACCCCUCUAAACCCUAAAGAAGUCUCUAAUGACUAAGUUGAGGAGAAUGUGGUAAUUAAUUAAUUGAUUGAGGGUACCUAGGUAGACUAAGGUGAUUUCAGAAUUAACAUACCAAGCUAGAAAGUCCAAUCAUGAUCAUAAAAGAGAGUCAAAGUAUGUACCUGAACUGCUUCUCAAACGCUAUCAUAAAACAUCAAAGUUAGUAUAGAAAUAUAACACAUAAUAUUUGUUUUAUCCAAGCAAAUAAAGCAUACAUCUAAGCACCCAAGAAUCACAUCAAGUAUGGAUAUAGUCAUCAAUAGCAUACGUGUCCAUAGAACUAUCGAAAGUAAAUGUGGAGGAGCGUAUCUGGACAACAUAGAUAACUUAUAAUGUGCUUCCACAAGACAUGGGGGUUAGAUAAAAGUUAUAAUAAUAAUUAGUAAAUGAAAGAAUUCUAGCAUGUUUGGUAUCUAAAUAACAUAGCAAAAAUGAACAAGAGUACACGAAAACAUCAAUUAUCACACGAGUCAUAUUGGCUAGUAUUUAAUCAAUAAACCAACAAUAAAUGACUAUAAACAUAUAAAAUGACAUAUUCAAAGAGACCCAAACAUAAAGAGCCUAGAACACAAGCUUACACUAAAUUUAGAAAACUAAAACAUGGAAUUUUAAAAGCAUAAAUUAGCAAACAAAUUGAUGGAAACUAAAUUUAGAUAACUUAAGAAUAUUUUUCUUAUCCUUCAAUUUAAAUCAGUAAGCCAACAAUAAAAAAUUAUAGAAACAUGGAAUAUCAAGAUCAAUGGGAUACCUAAACUAUAAUUUUUAAAAGAAAAUAAACUAAGCAUAAUAUCUACAAAGCAACUAAACUAACAUUUUUUUAAAAAUAAAUUAAACAUGACAUUAAUGGAGUAACCAAACUAAAUUAAAGUAAACUAAAAACAUUUAUGAAUUUUCAAACAUGGAAUCAGCUUUCUUAGUAAAUUAAAAUUAUUAAAAUAAAAUCUAAGCUUAAAAAUGAAUUAAAUACUAACUAAAGCAAAUCUAAAACCAAAUAUUUAACACAUAGGAUCAAUUAUAUUAACAAACUAAAAUUUUAUAAGAACACUUAAACCUAAAGUUGAAUUAAAAACUAACCAAUUUUUAAAACUAGAUCUUUAACCCAUAGGAUCAAUUAUAUUAACAAAUAAAUAAUAAAUAAUAAAUAAAUAAAACUCAAACCUAAAGAUGAACUAGAAAUGUACCAAAGUAAAUUCAAAACAAGAUCUUUAACACAUUAGAUCAAUUAUAUUGACUAACUAAAAAAAAAAAAAAAAAACACUCAAACCUGAAACGAUGUAUUAGAAACUAACCAAAGCAAAUUUAAAAUAGAGUCUUUAACACAUAGGAUCAAUUAUAAUCACUAACUUAAAUUACAAUUUUUGAAACAUGAACUAAUUAGUGUUGGAUUAAUUAAACUAAUUAACUAAAAAAAACUAUAAACUAGAAUACGGUGAAUCAAGAAUUCAAAUCAACAAACAUAAAAUAUGGGUACAAUGAAAUGAAAAUCUAUUAAACUAAUAAGACGGAAAUAUGACAAACUCAUGAACCCACAUUUUGAUCAACUAGGAAAUAGAAAUUAAUAGACCUGUAGCAUGGAUACAAUGAAAUGAGAUCAGUUAAAUUUAUUUGCCGAAAUUCUAAAAAACACAUACACUCAAAUAAGAUCUAAAUCUAAGACCAAGCAAAACUCAAACUUUCUCAAUCUAAUGCAAUGAAUCAAAACUAAAAUUAAAUAGAAAUCAAACCAUUUUUUUUUUAUCUAAUAUAAUAAAUCAAAGCUAAAACUAAACAAAAUCGAAUUUUCUUAAUUUAAUAUGAUGAGUCAAAGCUAAAAUUGAACAAAGUUCAAACCUUUAUAUAAUGGAUCAAAGUUAAAUCUAAAUGAAAUCCAUACUUCCACAAUUUGAUAUAACAAAUCAAAAAUAAAACUAGAUAAAAAAAAAGUCAAAGCCUUUCAACUUGACAUAGUGAAUCCAAACUGAAACGAAACAAAAUUUUAACUUUUCCAAUGAAACCCAAUAUAGAAAAAAUUAGCUUACCUUCUUUAGAAUAUAUGUAUGGGCCAUAAAGAAGUCACCUUGGUGCAUGUGUUCCUCACUUUGACGCCAAUGGACGACUUUCUAUGGUAGCAAAUGGAGAUCCUUUUUGGUGGUAACUUGCGUGUGGAAACCUAUGGUACAACCAAUGUCAUCUUUUAUUGUGCGUGUGGACCAAUUUCUUCUCGAGAACUCAUGUGUGUUGUGCUCAAAAUAUGUUGCCUGUGAGAAUCUAUUGGUAUACCCCACAUAUGGUUUCCUUGAGAGAAUCUGUGGUUGUGUGUGGGCGUUUUCUUCAUGACAGCAUGUGGAUGUUCCCAUCUAUGGUAGAUUGGUUGUGAUGCUUUAGUGCAUGGUCUCCAUAGGAAUAGUGUGUUAUGGAAAUUUGGUUUUUUUAUUGGUGCAUGUUGUCUAGACUUUCCCAUAUGCGUGGACUGUGUGUUCAUGCUUUUCUUUUCGGAUGGUCGCCUGUGUUAAUGUGUGGCGGUGUCUACAAUGAAAGAUACAACCCUUUCUCUCCUUCUGCGUGAUAGAAAAGUCAAUCCCCCAUGGUGCGACUAUGUUCCCUCGUCCUUUUUGAAAAAUUUUGGUGUUUUCCCCCCAAAAAAUCCCCUCCAAAAAUCUAAUUAUAAAUGUCUGCUUUGGCCUAAUGUGUGUGCUACUUUUUUUUUCCUUCUUUUUAUGGUUGUGCGUGCUUUUCUUGAUACGUGGCUUAUUUCUUAAGGAUAUGAUUCGCUCCCAAUUGGUGUCUCAGCUGAUUCAUGUCCUUUCAAUGGUCCCUGACAGUGGUGCCAUUUGAUUCGUGUCCAGCUGGUGUCCCUUGAUUGUGGUCCUCAGAAGGGAGUAAUCAAUAAAAUUUAUAACCUAUUACACCAUGUAUUAGGAUAGCCUUAGCUAGCAUAGCAUAGUGGCUCUAGGGUCGUUUAUUGGGAUGAGUUUUCACUUCACAAUUGAUAUUAAUUCAAGAGCUGAAUUGGUGCCUUUUCAUUUCAAGGUUAGCUUUAAAAGAAAACAUAAUCUUUGGUGGAAAAAGGUUUGGUUUUAAACUAACCAAAAAUAGUAACUGAUUUUACUUACAAAGAAAAGUGUUCUUUGGAGUUUAGAUCACUAGGCUCAGGUUCCUCAUACAAAAAGGAGAGUUCCGAUCAUUUGUUUCUUUUCCUCGCAUUAGAGAAUUAACAUAUAGUUAAUUCUCUAACCGGUGCGGUACAUAUGCUUCCCAUUAAUGGGUUCAAACACUAAAUACCUCUCACUGAUGCACCUUGCAAUGGCUCGUGCCUCUCACCUAGCAUUUAUCAUUCAAGGUGAUCUUUAACCUUGGAUUACCCAUCAAAAGCUCGCAAGAGAUAACUAAAGGAUGUCUCCUUAGAGUCCAAAAGCUUACCAAGUGUUGGUUAUUCUAGAAAAUCCUACCUUCAAACCACCUCCCAAAGGCUCGCAAGAGAUAAACAAGUGCAUCUCAAUGGAUGAAGAUCACUUGCCUUACCAAGUUUUGGCCCAGAUGAUUUAAUGACAUUUUAAGUUAACUAAAAAGAUAAAAACCAUUAACGGGUCACACUUUCUCUUCAUUAAAAACUAAAACAACAAAACUUCCAAUUUAUGCAUGAGGAAACUUACCUGGCUUUCUUCACUUCAAGAGAUGAAGAGCCUAGCCACUCAUCAUUUGAGGAAAAAUCCUCAGAGUUUGAUUUGCUAGAAAUAAAAAUAAUGAGAAAACAAAAAUAUAUAUAUGAAAAACAGAGCAAGUUCUCUGUAAUAUAUUUUUCUUCCUUAUACAAAAGGUUGUCUCUAAGAACAAGUUCCCGAGAUCUAUCUGAUUGUAAAUAAAAUUACAACUAUAUAUAAGAGGUUAUUCACCCCUUUGUUCUUUCUUAAAGACUAAGGAAUCCUAUGAUAGGUGGGUUACAAGGAGAGUUUGGGGAUUUAGACAUCAAAUAUCUAAAGCAAAAUAUCUCAAGAUGUUAGUCGGAAAUAUCAGGAAGCUUCAGGAGAACACCGCGACACUGUAUACUGAGAGAAAAACUCUCCGGGUAAGCUCUAUCAAAGGAUCCAGACAUGUCUGACUGGGAAAGUUGAAACGUCCUUCUCUCCCAUCCGGAUGUGAGAUAUCCGGAGAAAGUGAAAUGUCGGUCGGACAGAAUUCUUUCCCCGGGUGGAAUGAGUUGUGUUGCGCGUCGCAAGGGGGACCGUCUGCGUGUACAAGUUGUAGGGACCCCUCUCCCGGAUGACACCGAGCGCGUAAGGCUAUCCGGAUCAACUCCAUUCGGAUUCCCCAAGAGGACAUGUGGCGUGCUCCCCUAUCAGGACUCCCUUAGGGAGAAGCACACGACACUCGUGAACAUCAUACCCGGACGAUAGCAUGUCCUAUCCGGAUGUGUUGUCCGGAUCAUUGACUAAAGUGAGCAAGCCUUGCUACGUCAUUCGGACAGCUUGCCACAUACCAUGUUCCGUCGCCAUCUGAUGGUGUGUCCGAACGCCUUGUCCGGACAUCUUUUGCUCCUUGCAUUCCGGAUUUGCUUAUGACAAAGGACUUCAAAGCUUCGGUUCUUCAUGUUUCUGAGCUUUCCAUUGCUUUGCCAUGGAUUCCAAAGAACUCUCCUUAAUCACGGAUUGCUUUGGUGAUCAAAAAGUUAUCAAAACACAAAAACUUAACAUAGUUUGAUUAGAAUUGAUUGCAAGGGUUCUUAAUAUGUUAAUUGGGUUAAAAGGUGAUAACUACUACUCAAAAGUGUUUAUAAGAAUUAAUUACAAGCUAUGAAAUAACACUUUUUGAGUAGUAAUCAGGAUACAUCCUAGUUUUUCAUGGAAUUGAUAGUGGGUUGUUGUGCAUGAAUGCCACCAUUUCAACUAUGCUGUUGUUAUUUUUAAAAAAAAUAUGGAUUAUGCGCGAGUGGCAAUUCUCCACUAUGGAAAGUGGAUUGCUCCUUCAACCCAUGCAUGGCUACGUAUUCCUAUGUCUUUCUACUUGUGUUUGAUCCUCCAAAAAAAAUUUCGGUUUAGUGCUAGUAGAUUUUAAGUGGUGGAUCCCCAUUUUUUGAAAAUGAAGUGGCAGCCUCCCAUUUCAAGACAAAAUGGUAGCCUGCCUUUAAUCUUUGGAGAAAAAUCUGUGCAUGACCUUUUUUUUUCCCAAAAAAUCCGUGCAUGGUGUCCUUUAAUAUUUGGAGAAAAAUCUAUGUUGGAUCUUUUCUUUUCUAGAAACAUUUGUGUGGUCUUUUUUGUUAGCCCAAGGGUUCUUCUAAUCAAGUUUUGAUGAUAACAAACCAUGGUUAAGUGACUAAUUGGUUUAAUGAUUAAGAAUCUCAAACAUAAAAUCGAAAAUUCAUCAAAGGACCAAAUGGAUACAAGAUCGAGACGCUUGGAAGACUUGUAAUCAUAGGAAACUAAUGUAAGAUGAAUGCAUGAGUGCACUUAGGAUUUUCACACGUUUCAUGCAACUUAGAAAACCCAGUUUAUUCUUUAAAACUUCAUCCCAGUUUAUUCUUUUUAUGGUUGUGUGUGCUUUCCUUGAUACGUGGCUUAUUUAUUAAGGAUACAUCCCAGUUUUUCAUGGAAUUGACAGUGGGUUGUUGUGUGUGAAUGCCACCAUUUCAACUGUGCUGUUGUUAUUUAAAAAAAAAAAAAAUGGAUUGUGCGCGAGUGGCAAUUCUCCACUAUGGAAAGUGGAUUGCUCCUUCAACCCAUGCAUGGCUACGUAUUCCUAUGUCUUUCUGCUUGUGUGUGAUCCUCCAAAAAAAAUUUUGGUUUAGUGCUAGUAGAUUUUAAGUGGUGGAUCCCCUUUUUUUGAAAACUAAGUGGCAGCCUCCCAUUUCAAAACGAAGUGGUAGCCUGCCUUUAGUCUUUGGAGAAAAAUCUGUGCAUGACUUUUUUUUUCCCAAAAAAUCCAUGCAUGGUGUCCUUUAAUAUUUGGAGAAAAAUCUAUGUGGGAUCUUUUAUUUUCUAGAAAAAUUUGUGUGGUCUUUUUUGUUAGCCCAAGGGUUCUCCUAAUCAGGUUUUGAUGAUAACAAAUCAUGGUUAAGUGACUAAUUGGUUUAAUGAUUAAGAAUCUCAAACAUAAACUCGAAAAUUCAUCAAAUGACCAAAUGGAUACAAGAUCGAGACGCUUGGAAGACUUGUGAUCAUAGGAAACUAAUGUAAGAUGAAUGCAUGAGUGCACUUAGGAUUUUCACACGUUUCAUGCAAUUUAGAAAACCCAGUUUAUUCUUUAAAACUUCAAUUUCAUUAAAACCCGAGUUUUUAACUAAUGUACCUUAGGCAAAAUGUUUUAUAAUUGGCUUAAUAAUUCACCUAAAUACAUUUUCUAAGUGUUAGAAAAGAAAGGAAUUAAAAAAAGGUUUUCGGGGCAAAAAAGGCUCAACCGGUCGAGGCUAUGGUCAACCGGCUCAACCGGUUGAGGAACCAAUCGAUCGGUUGUGCUUGUCCGAUCGAAGACCAAUCGAGGGAUGCCAAAAAAUUUCUCUCUCUCCUAGUGGCCUUCUCUUCCCGGUCGAGGUUCGGUCUAGGCAACGGUAACAUGUCAAGCAUUAAAUGCUCCGACGACUAGUGAAUCGGUCGACCCCUAGCCCGAUCGGACGAGGUUGCCUUUUGCUGUUUUUGACUCCCGAGCUUAGAAACCUAUAAAUUGAGAGCUCCACUUCAUUUAUUGAUAAAAGAGAACACUUGCAUUCAAUAGUCUACCUACCUUUUCUUGAUCAAAAAGCUCUCAUUUCCUUCAUAGUGCAUUAAAUCAUCACUUGCAUAUCCUUUAGUGCACUAUUGUGUGUCAUCCUAGCUUUGUUUUGUAUUUGAGCUAUCCUUAAGCUAGGUUGAGGGAUUAUUUCUUAUAAAAAUCUGAGUGUUAAAGCCUUCAAGAGAUUUGAAUCUUGAAGAGAUUGUGUAAGAGCCCAUUGGAGCCGGAGUCCAAGUGUAAGAAGAUUGGAAGCUUGGUUGAAGCUUCAAGUUAGUGGAACCCUCACUCGGUUAGGAGGUUGAGGAGAGUGGACGUAGGUAAGGAAGUGUCGAACCAUUAUAAACCCGAGUUUGAAUUCUCUAACUCUAUCUCUUUAUUUUGCUUAUAUUGUGUUUGAAUUUGUUGUGAUUGAAAAGAUUUUAAAAACCUAAUUCACCCUCCCCCCUUUUGGGUUUUUUUUUCUUAAUUAAGCAUAACCUUUGUUUUCUAAUUUUCUUUUUAGGAAAAUCCAUGCGUGGUAUGUCCAAACUCUCCAAGUGGCAGUCUGCCUUCUUCUAAAAAAUUUGUUUCUAUUUCUUUAUUCGACUACCUUCCAUGUCUUCCUAAUGAGUGCUUGUGCUCAAUGGUCAAUCCCUGGUGGUUGCCUCCUUUUCCCAUAUAUACGUGUUGCAAAAUCAACAUCCCACUAUAUGUGGGUUGCCUCUAUGGCAAGUUCACAUUUCCCACAUGAAACCUAUGAGUUUCCACCAAAAAUUGCCAUGAAAAAGUCUUUAUAUGCAUCUCAUGCAAUAAAAAGUCAAGCCAAUACUCAUCUUAUCUCGAAAAAUAAGUAACCAAAAUCAAGAUCAUGCCUAAGUGAACUAUGCCAAAAGAAGUGUCCAAGUGACCUAUUAUGAAAAAAGUGCCUAAGUGACCUAAGGUGAAUGUGUGUAAGCUGGAAGGUGUCUAGGAUGUUUAGGACAAUGCCUAAGCCUAAAAUAGGGUUGCCAAGGGUCACAAUGGGGUUAGAUAAAUCUCUCAAUCAGAGUCUCCAAGGUGGCUCAUAAAAGAUAAGCUACACGAGUAAUGAUGGGCCACCAGGGAAUUAUUGUAAAGCACCAAACGAACACAUAAUAGGACAUGUGUUAGAAUGAAAAAAUGGAGGGUUUACAAGUGGUCUCAUGGAUGAGCUUGAUAAUUUAAAUGACUCACAUAAUGAACGUAUGUGAUGUUUCUCUCCAAUAACAAGCAAAACAUCACUAGCAAUAUGAUGAAUGUCUCCUAAAUCACUUGAAGUAGUCCUAGCAAAUCAAUUAGAAAAAUCACACAUAUUGCUCUAAUGUAAUAUUAUAUACAUCUGUCAAUGAAUGGGAGAACUAAUGACACAACCAUCAUGUUGAUAUCUCGAACCCUCUAAUCUCAUAUGUAGGUGGGAUCACACUUAGAAACUCAUAACACAGUAAUGACCAAUCUAAGUCAAAAUGUGUUGGUGAUCGGAGGCCCAUGAAUAUGAAGUUCUAGGAUGAUAAUGACAUCUUAUAAAGUAAUGAUCAUCUCCUUAAUAGAUAGGUGAAAUGUGUGUGUCUUAGGACACCAUCUCUCAACAAGACUUGUGAUCAAUCCCCAGUCUAGUGUAACAUGCCUAUUAUGACAUCCAUCGUAAAAUCUAGACUAGAUAAUAUAAGGACAAAUGUGAGGGUUCAUCUCCCUUUCCCACAUAAAUUUAAAAAAUUAUUAUUGACAAGUUAAGACCAAACUAAGUUGCAAAAUAUAAAUAAGUCCAUUAGAUAACAAAUUUAUGUUUUCUCAUUUUCUCAUUUUUAAAGAGAUAUUAUGUGCUUCCAUGUACAUACAUGCUAAAGUCAAUUAUACGAGACUUAUAUCCAUCUUGUAGAACCAAAUCGAACCUAUCUAAUAGAUCCAGAUUAGAAGUAUGUCCUCUAUACUCCAUAUUUAUAACACAUUUAUAAAGAUAAAUGCUAAAAAAAUGUUAAAGAUAUAAAUUUAAUGAACCAUACUUUAUGAUUUUAAUUCUCAAUUAUUGUUCAUAUUUAUAAGAGAAAAGUUAAAAAAAUUGAUAGAGUUUUCCCUCUAUCAUGGACAUUAUCCCAAAUAAAAAUAAAUUGAUUAUGCAAAUUACAUUAAUAUUUGUAACCAAAUGAUCAAUAACUAUCUUGUAUCAAUUUAGUAAAUAAAUUUAAGUAUAUCUUUUCAUUUAUGACUAACAAAUAACUCAUACUUGUCCAAUAAAAGCCACACCUAAUUUCUAAAAUUUUGUCUUCACCUCAAGUGAGUGUUACAUUGAGAAAGAAAAAAUAUGAAAGAAAAAAUGAACACCUUUUUCUUUUAAUAAAAAAAGGCCAUAACGAAACAUUAAAUCUCACUGUUACACCUAUCUUCAAUGGAAACAUGAGGAUGUGAAUGGUGGCGGUGAUAUUCUUUGCUUGAAGCUCAUAAACAAAUAUUCCUUACUAAGCCUAUGCCAUUUAGUAUUUCAAUAGUGGACCCCCCCCCCCCCCCCCCCCCCCUCCUUGCAUUUCAGAUUUAGCAAACUUAGAACCAAAUAACAAAGUGCAUUUGAACCCAUAAAGAAGUAAUGAGACUCUCCUAUAUUGGCAAUAGAAGAAAUUUUUGGAGGUAUAGGAGAUUCACGGAUGAAGAAGUUGGGCCCCAAUUGAGAUAAGACCCAAGAAAAGAUGGGGUAGAGAGGGAUGGUUGGAAAUUGUAAAGUAAGAUUUUCAAAAUGUAGUUGAUGACUAAGAUUUUGACAAUUUAAAAAAGGUUUAAAAAUGUAGUUAGCAAUCGGGGUUUUGUAACAUUUAAAAAAUAAAAUAAAAUCUCAGGCCACAUGGUAGCCCAUGUGAUUCAGAAGCUUGAGAAUUAUUUUAUAAGAAGACUUAAUUUGUGAUUUUUUUAUAACUAUAUUAUUUUUUUUCUUAACACACGAAAAAAAUUAUGAAAUAAGACAAUUUUCCUAAGAAAGCAUGUAAGUGACUCUUGGUUAUUUUAUUUAACUUCUUCUAGUUUGGAGAGGAUUAAUACCUUUGCUUUUACUCACUUGCUUGGAUAUGUACACGUUGUUCAUGUCACUUUUCAUUUAAUUUUCUGAUUAAGGGAAUUGGAACCGUACGUAACUGUCUUUAUUCCCUCUGAAACUUGGACUUGGAGUUGGACUUUCAAUCUCAUCAGUCGUGUUUCCAUAAAAAAGAAGAUGGAUUAACCAAUUUUCCUAUGCCUACUAAUCAUACACAAAACUCCACUUCCAAAUAAAAAGGAAUGGGAUAUCACUUGUUAAUAGUGGCUAAAGACUAUUAAUAACCAUGCAAAGAAAUGUCACAUUUUUUGUUCUACGCAAAUUUUAUUCAUCAACUACUAGAACCAUUUCAUACAAUAGUAGCUUUUCGAUCCUUUGAUAAAUGGACACUUGAUGUGAUAACACCAACUACACCUAUAUAUUCAAGCAAUCAUGCGUAUAUAAUAGUGGAUAUGGAUUACUUCUCUAAAUGGGCAAAAGUUUUGUCAUUCAAGGAAAGUGAACGAGGAAACACAAGUUUACUUUCAUCGGAACUAAUAUUAUAUAUUGAUAUGACUUCCCAUUAUUACUUACGAUGGAAUAUGCUUCCAUAAAAUGGCCUAGAUGAACAAACUAUCCAAGAAGUUUGGGAUCAAAUAAUAUAUAUAUAGUUCAUGUGUGAUUCUUUGGUUGACAACCUUGUUAAGGGGUGAGUGAAGCACUUUGGGCAUACCACAUACUACAUGCUAGACUUCCACCCAAGCUACCCUAUAUUCCUUAUGAACAAAGUAGAAGUUGUCAUCUCUCUUGAAUACCAAAUCCUUUCACCUAAUAAUGCUAUCUAAAAAGGUCUUAAAAAGGAUAAAAAUGCGCAUAUUUGAAUUUUUGAAUUAGGAGUGCUACUUAAAAAGAAGCUAGAUAUACAAUAAUAGAAUGUUAUCAAGCAUAUCUCUUCAAAGUUUUUGACCAAAAAAUAUAUGAUUUCUCAUUUUAGGUAGGAGACUUAGUACUCACUAUUCAAAAACCAAUUAUCAUUACUCAUAAAAACUAAUAGAAAGUUUGGGCCAAAGUAGGAUGGACCUUAUAUUAUGCAACAAUUAUGCCUAUAAAAUUGUUGCAAAAGAGGUUUUAGAAUCAAAUCAAUGAAUGAAAAAUUAUUAAAGCAUUACUAUGCUUGAAGGCUAGUCAUUUUCCCUUAAAGUGCAAUAUUAAGUUGCAUAGUACUAUGUGGAUCCGCAUUUUUCACAUGCGUUCCCACUCAUUGUCGAGACUCACUUUUUAGAAGUGAAAAAUUAGUUUUAUUAAAGUCGAAGUUGCCACUGGGGAUUUGAACCCUAACAAAAGGUUCAAUUUAAGGAUAAAAAUAUCGAUAAUCACAUAUAUAUAUAUUGGUACUUUGAUUUUAUGAAUAUAUUGAAGAAAUAUGGACAAAUAUUUUGACACAAAAUAUGUACAAAAUAAAAAUUAUAUAAAAAGUAAAAAUAAAUAUUUUAAAAUUAUUUUUUUAAAUAUAUAUAUAUAUAAUUUGACAUAUUUGAUAAUAAUAUAUAAGGGUCUCCAAAAAGCCCGUGGCCCGCUUUAGGCCCGGUCCGACCCGACAGGCUAAAGCCCGGCCCAAGCCCGCCGGGCCCAAGCUCGGCCCGAGCCCGUUUAUGGGUGGGCCGGGCCGCGAGCCCGUAGGCCUGCUCCUUUAAAAAAAAACUACAAAAAUAAAAAGUAUUAAAAAAAAUAUUCAUUUCAAAAUUUUAUUCAUUGAAUGUAUAAUUACAUUUGAAAAUGUGGGAAAAGUUUACAUCACUACAAAAUAAAUACAUCCCAACUAGGUUGGCACCUAUUUAUUUGUCAAUCAUCUGUAUUUUUCAACCACAAAAAAUAAAAAUAAAAAUAUAAUAUACAUUUAGUCAUUAUUUUCUGGCGGUGAUGGCGAACUAUCAUGCAUCCAUGAAGAUCUUGAUAAUUUUAAAGAUUCCAUAUCGGUAAGCAUCUUUGUUUCUCGAAUGGAAUCAUACAUCCUUUUAUCUGCUAUUUCCCAAUCUUUCACACAUAUCCCUGCUUUAAUAACAUCUGACGCUAAGUUGCAUCGUUUUUUACUAACUACUCUUCCACCUGCACUAAAAGCAGCUUCUGAUGCAACUGUACUCACAGGAACUGUUAGUACAUCACGAGCAAUUAUAGAAAGCACAGGAUAUUUGUGUUGAUGUGAUUUCCACCAUAUUAAAAUAUUAAAAUCUUCUUGAUCUUCAAAUGAAAUUAUAUCAGUAUUAAGAUAUUUAUCUAAAUCAGAUGUAUUAUUUGGAGAAUUAUUUGUUGUCUUUUUUCGACUUUUCAACAUUUCUAGAGCUCCUUUAUAAAAAGAUGAGGAGUUUGUAGAUGUAGGUGGUAAUUUAAUAGUAUUAAUAUCAUUACCAUAUUUUUCUUUAUAAUAGUUAUAUAAAUUAUAUAAUAAUGAAUUUAUUUCAUUUUUAAUUUCUUCAAUUUUUAUUUGGUCAUUAAAAUAAAUAAUUGUUAACCAUUCAUCCAAAGCUUCAAAUUUCAAUCUAGGGUCCACAAUUAAAGCAAUAUAAAAAAUUAAAGGUAUUUCUCCCCAAUAUUUUCUAAAUUUUUAUAUCAUUACAAAUAUUGUAUCAUUAAAUAUUUCAAAACUUAAAUAUUUUUGAAGUACAAUAAAAAUAUUAGUUAUUUGCGUAAUAACUCGAUUUGAAGUUGGAUAAUAUACACCACAAAAAAUGUUUGUUGAAGUAUCAAAAAUUUCAAAAAGAUCUCUUAAAACAUCCGCAAUAUGCCAAUCAUAAUCAUUUAAUGCAUAAAUAUCUGCUUCAUAAUCAUUGUUAAUUAAUUGUAUUUCAUAUAAUUCGACUACUUUUCUAUAUUUUGUAAUAUUUUCUAAAAGUUUAUAUGUGGAAUUCCAUCUAAUAGCCAUAUCCAAAUUUAUAUUUUUUCUUUUCAUAUUUAACAUUUUGCAACAAUCAAAAAAUAAUUCAUGUUUUGCUUGAAAACUAUUAAUACUAUAUGCAAUGCCUCUAAUUUUUUUCCAAUGUACUAUCAACAUUUUUUAAUCCAUCCUUUACAAUUAAAUUUAAAAUAUGUGCACAACAACGCACAUGAAAUAUUUUAGCAUGAUCUUCUUUUACUUGCCAAUAUCGUUUUAGUCUAUGUAUUGCUGCAUCAUUAUUAGCAGCAUUAUCUAAUGUUAUUGUCAAUAUUUUAUCACGAAUGCCUAAAUCUAUAAUUUCAUCAUUUAUUAAAGAUGCUAUAUUUUUACCACUAUGUGGAGUAUUUAUUAAUUUAAAUAAAAUUAUUCUUUUAUUUAAUUUCCAUUCAUUAUCAAUGUAGUGAACAAUUAUAUAUAAAAAACCAGUAUGAGUUAAAGAUGUCCAAAUGUCAGAUGUUAAACGAAUAUUUCCUUCAAAAUUUGCAAAAUUUUUUUUUAAAAUUUCUUUUUGUGUAUAAAUUUUUUUCAUAAUAUCUCUUUUAACUGUAUUUCCAGAUCAACCUUUAAAUUGAGGAUUAAUACCUCGUUGAAUUGUUCUUGCAAAAUCAUGAGUUUCCAUCAUGUUGAAAGGUUGUUCUGCUCUUAUUAUAUAAUCAAUCAUUUCUUCACAACAGUUAGAUUCAUCAUAAGAAAAUGUUUUUAAAUUUCCACUUUCAUUUUUACUUAAUUGCAUAUAAUUUCUAAUAUCUACAUUAUUUUUAGUUUUACAAUUUUCAUGAUGUCUUUUUAAAUGACUUGUAUCUGCAUUUGAGCCACCAGUAAGAAAUUUAUUACAAAUUUUACAUUUUGCUUUUAUUUUUUUUUUAUUAUUUUCUAAAAUUAUUUCUAUUCUAUCAAAAAAAUUCCAUAUAUUUAAAGUAAAUUUUUUGUUUGAUGAUAUUUCAUCACAUGGACUAGACGAAGAAGCACUUGUCAUAUUAUAAUUAUUGAUAAAAUAUUAUGCCAAAAAUAAUAAAGUAAUAAAUAUAAAAAAAAAUGUAACAAAAAAAAUAAAGUAGUAGGGGUGAAGUAUGUUACUCAAUUAGAGAACCUAUGCAGAAAUUCCUAGCAAAUUUGAACUCUUGGAGCCACCAAUGCUUGUUUUGCACCAUCAACAAUAUUGUAUAAUUUGAGGGAAAAAUAAAAGAAUUUAAAAUAUUGUAGAAUGUGAGAGAAAUAGAGAGAAUUUGAUGAAAAAAUGAAAAGGAAGAAAAUGUAUUUAUAGGAAGGUUAAAAAUAAUAAUAAUAAUAAUAAUAAUAAUAAUAAUAAUAAUAAUAAUAAUAAUAAUAAUAAUAAUUGGCCAUGUGACCGUUGGAGGCUUAGCUCCAACGGUCACAUGGGCUGGAGCUAGGCUCCAACAGUCACAUGACCGUUGGAGCCUUUAAUUUUUUUUUUUAAAAUAAUAUACUUUAUUUUUAUAUAUAUAUAACUAACUCAAUUAAUAAACAUAAAAAGAAUAUAGUUCAGUUGGUUAGAACCUUGAAGUUUAAACAUGAGGGGAGGGGUUUGAAUCCCUCCCUCUCCCUUAGGGGCUUUUUUAAAAGCCAUUUUGGCUUAUUUCAAAAAGCCUGUCGGCCCGACCCGCCCUGCAGCCCGCGGGCCUAGCAUUUUAGCAUGGCCUGGUCUGUUGACUAGUCAAAUGGCUCAUAGGCUCGGCCCGAACUGGGCCGCGGGCCUCUUAUUUACGGACCGGCCCGACCCGGCCCGCCCGUUGGAGACCCUUGAUAAUAUCUUCUAUAUUAAGUUACAUUAUAGUUUAUUUUACAAUAUUAUUAUGAUAAUAUGUCUAAUUUUAAAAUAUAUUUAAUAUUAAAAUUAUGAUCUAUUUUAAUUUAAAUGUAUUCAAUGAUAUCAAAUAAAUAAUAAUAUAUGUAUAAUUCUUUUAUUAUUUAUAUUUAUUAUUUUUAAUAAAUAUAUAGAUUAUAUAAAAAAGACCGGAUAUAUCUUUUCAAAUUUUGUAUCGCUCUCCAAGGAUAUUAGAUGUAUGGGAAUUUGUAUUGCUAUCUACGGAUACGUUGAUAUAUGGGUGAUUUAUCAGGAUAAUUAGAAAUUCUAAUUAUGUAAGCAGGUACGGAGUUCUGUGUCGGUGCGAUCUUGUCGACAACAGCUCCAAAUUGUGCAUCUUGCUCAUAGAGAGUAGCGGAAUGCACCAAUCGUAGGCUCAGAGUACCACUGAGUCGUCUGGCAGAGACCCAACUGAAGGUGCCUGUGUUGUUCCUGAUCUGAUCAGGCUUCAAACUACAAGGUGGAAUACUGGUUCCCCUAUAUCAGAAGCUGGAGAUACCCACCCCAUAUGCUCGUCUGGAUGUGCUCCUACCCUUUGAAGCCUUCUUCCGAGUCAAGUCCGAAUUGAUAAGGCUAGUGAGUUCCCAACCAACUGUACUCAGCAUGCUGCCAGGUGGAGACCCUCCAUAUUUGAUGGCUUCCUAAUAUUAAAAUGCUGACCACUGGUCUUCAUGUUCCACAGGCUUAAUUGUGUCCUUUGCUGAAAGAAUGGAUAGUGAUCCAUUUUAACACAUGAUUCACGCCGUCUUUGCCAUUCUUCAUGGUCUAGCCCUUUUAUAUAUAUGCUUCCUGAACUGUUGCUAUUAAUAAAAUGUGGUAUCUAUCCCGUACACCUUCCUGAUGGCCAGCGAAUGCAGAAGCUACAGAAACGGUUCCAUCUUUUGCUUCCGCCACUUUGGCAUCCUCCAUGAUGAGAUCGAAGGUGAAUAAUCAUAUUCUGGGGAUUUAUGUCCUGGAUAUUCUCAGUAAUGCCCAAUUUCCUGGUGCCGGCCUCAUUUCCAUGGGAACUGAUGGAUAACUUAAGGCUUCUACCAUCUGCGUGGUUCGCUUCUAACACAGGAAACUUCACGGCUAAAAGCAAGAUACCAAGAACAUCAAGGCUGUGACAAAAAUUAGUAUUUUUAACUUGUAGGAAUUUGAAAGGCAACCAACCAUCUAGCUCUGUUCUUAAAGCUCCCAUAGGAGGAUCAGAGGCUGGAUUGCUCAAGAUGAACUCAUCCAUUGUUGCACUUAAAAAGAAUUGGCAUGAAUUGUGGCCGCUCUAAUAGGUUCCCUAAACCAUCAUCCAAGUGGGCUUGCGGAAGGUAGCGAGUUUAAAACACCUAGGGCGAUGAACAGUGGACUGUGAUGCUCACAAAAGAGAAAAGGAAGAAUUCAAUAAUUCCUAAGAAUCCAUUUGCCUGUCAUCCAAAUUUUUAUAUUCUCUUCAGUCUGACGCGUUAUGCCAUAUAUUAAAAAUAGCGGCUUCUUCCAAGCCGAGACAGACUGUGCAAAGUUCGCAAGGCCAAUCAUCACCAUAAUCUGAAGUUGGCCUCCUCAAUCGCAGCUUGUAUCCGAAUGCUCACUUCACGGGAUGGAUUGUAAUGAAAACUAAUCUCAGUCCCAGCUAUGGCAGCAUCCUCACUUGACAGCAUUUUCUGCAUAUUCUAGAACAAAGCAAUAAACCCUCAAAGGCUCCUUCGGAUCAGAGUUAGAAGACUGUCCCUCAGGAACGUGAACACUAUGGUGGUUCUGAUAAGCAGUGAUAUUGCAUUAGAGCCUUUUGGAACAAGAGGAUCUUUUCAGGUGGAAACUGUAAACUGCUUCAUGUUGGGCUGCAACCUUUUCUUCAAGCAAUACUUUCUUUCUGUAUCACGACUUAUGUUGCUUCCGGAGCCAUCCCGUGUGGACUGCCCUUCAGUGAAAGAAUAUGUGUGUUGACAUGUUGGAUUGUAAUCUUUGUUCCACUCUAAUGGCUUUUGGUCCUCCUCUUUCUCUUUAUGACAGAGAACCAUUUAGUGAUCCAUCUCUAUAUUGUAGCAUUGCUGGUGCUUUGCAAUACUACACUCUCACCAAGCAUAACAUCUAUUUUUCCGUGACCAAAGUAUGUCGGUUUAUGCAUGCGCAAACUCUUAUUCAUUGGCAAGUUGUCAAGCGUAUCUCAUGAUUUCCCAAAGCCACAAGUUCUUAUGGUCUUUCUGUUCAAGCUUACAAUGAUCUAUCUUUUCUUGGUUAUACUGAUGUCGAUUGGGCUAGUUGCCCUGAUAACAAGCACAAUACUAGUGGGUACAACACUUUUCCUGGUCCUAAUCUCAUUUCAUGGGCAUUUUCAAAGCAGAAGGUUGUGUCUCACUCCAAUAACGAAUCUGAAUAUAGGGGACUCACUAAUUAAUGUUGUUGCCAAGGUCACUUGGAUUGAAUCUGUCUUACGUGAGUUGCGUGUUUCUCUACCCCAACCACCAAUUUUGUUGUGUGACAACAUUAGUGCUACACACUUGGACAAACCAUGUUGAAAUACACUAUCAUUUUAUCCAUGAAAGGCUUAUGCAUCACACACUCAAAAUUCAAUACACCUCUUCUAUAGACCAACUAGUCAAUGCUAUGACCAAAGCUCUUCCUUCAUCUCACUUGUACAAUCUUCAGUGCAAGCUGAUUGUUCUUCCCAAACCACUCAACUUGAGGGGAGAUGUUAAGCCAAUUUAAUAAAUUGAUUUCUUUUGGUUAAUUUGUUAGAAUCAUUUUUAUUAGAGGUUUGUUUGUACAAUUACAUCCAUUUAUCAGGAGAGUACACGUGUACAACUCCUCUUUUAAUCUCACCAUUGUAUAUAUAUGAUACACGACCUUACUCAGAAUUGCAUAACAUUUCCUCUGCUCAUUCCUUUUCUUCUUUGAAUUUUCCCUUACCUCACUGAUUUUGAUUUAUACCUGGUGUUUUCACCUUUGGUCUCUACCUUUCUAGCCAGUUUUCUAAUUAAUCCGUAUAUGGUAUACCUGUCAACUAAUGAGGAGAAAGAGAAAAGGGGAUUGCUGUUCCACCAGCUACAUAUAAUAAUUAAUUACAAUCAUGGUAAUGGAUCCUGAAAUCCAUCCUUUGUGGAUUUUGUACGGAAUAUUGUUGUUAUGUAUGUGGGCUCACUUAGAUGUAUAUUGCUAGCCUGUCUGGGAAAUGUGAUUGCAGGUCCAGAUUAUGAUGUUGAUAUUAGUGGGAUAAGCAAGAGAUGCAGUUAACACGUAUGUGAUGGACUUGAGUAACUUUUCCAUUUCAGUCCAUUUUUUAAGAUUAUGCUUAGUCUUAUUACAAGGAAAGACCAUAAGAAUCAUGAGUCAUUGGCAAGGUAAUAUCAUUCCCUCUUUACAGGCUUCUUCACCUUUUGGUUUUUUUAAUAUCCAUCAAGAUCUUUUAAUUGGAGGACAAUUACAAGUAUAUAUAUAUGUAUUAAAAGGGGAAAAUAUUAAAACAGGAAAUUUUAGGGAAAAUAUAAUAAUUAUUUCUUCCUUCUUUCCCAUAUAGAACUACACAAAAUAAAACUUUAAUAAUUUUUUCUUAUCUUUUUUAUUAUUAUUUUUUCUUAGAAACAUCCGUGGUCUCACAAGCUUGUAAUCCUAGAUUGUUAGGCUCCUUUAACAGUGCCCCAACAUCGUGGUCCAAUGACAAGCUUCCACGCCUUAAAAUCAGAAAAUGCCAUUAAACUUUAUCAGACAUUACAGUUCAAGACAAAGCUUUCAUUUGCUUAAUGUGAUAAUGAAAUUGUUAAUUUCAUUUCGUGGGCAUCUAAAUUUGGACGAGCAAGACCUCUGAAUUCCCUGUUUUUAUCACCAGCAGAGGAGAUAAAAUCUUAAUGGUGAGAAUCUCCACGUGAAAUUUAUGUGUACUGUCAACAUAUUUUUGUUUAUAUAGUCCAGUAGCUGCAGGAAGUCUAGAUUAUAUAGGUAGCAGUAGCACUAUUUAUAGCACUCGAUAUUCGCUGUAUGAAUACAUUAAACCUUGUUUUCAAUACGCAUCACAAGCAAGUACUAGAUACUACAAGGAGUGACAGUCGCAUCAACAUUUCUUGAUAAUAGCAGUGACUGAUUUAUACACAGAACAGUACUGUACACGUACCAGUCACCAGAGAUAGGAUCUUAUUCCUACAUACGACUCUUAUUGAUCGAAGUCACUCAGUUGGGGUAGCCUGGAGUUGGAGGUUUGUGUGGUGGCUUCUUCUUUGGAGGAGGCUUUAUCUUUGGAGGCAUCAUCUUUGGAGGCAUCUUGUGUGAGUCUUCUUCAGCAUUCUCUACAGGAGGAUGGCCAGGCUUAUGACCCUUAGGUGGUUUGCCAACUGGGAUUGGUGGCUUGUGUCCUGAGAGUGGCUCCUCUUCUUCGGGAGGUUUGCCAACUGACGUUGGUGGCCCGUGUCCUGGGGGUGGCUUGUGUUUUGGGGGUGGUUUCACUCCACCGGGAGGUUUACCAAUUGGUGUUGGUGGUUUGUGCUCAAUCGGUGGCCUCUCAACUGGGGGGCGCUUGGGGUAAUCAGCGAGUGAAGAAGUGGUGAGAACCACCACUCCAAGCAACAACACUAGCAAGUAUGUGGAAGACAUCUUUGAGUUUGGCUCAGAUGGUGUAGAACUAGAAUCCUGGGUGGCCUUUUAUAUUAGUUGGGCCCUAUGCCCGAACGACAAGUGUCAUGGUGACACAUAAAGUGAUGGGGUCGAUUUGGGCCUACCGGAUUUGAAAACUUGGACAAUUCGAGAAGCGUCUCCUGACUCCGGGUUGUAAAGUGAAAGAUUAGGUAUCGACCAUUGAAGUAUGAUCACAACUUUUGGCCUUUGGCUCUCUCUACUGCCGUAUAGCUUUUUUCCUUUGGAUAUUUUUCUUAGCUAGACACAAUUAUUGAGCAGUCUAAUCUCGAAAUGGGAUUAGUAUAGCUUUAAGCAAAUUUAUUAUAGUUAGUGGAGGACUUUUAAGAGUGCAGACGACAUUUAACACAUGCAUGCAGUAGUAUAGGGGACAUAACACUAUUCUUUUUCCAAAGAUUCACAUGAUUUUUAUAUUAUAGUAUUGGCACAUUGUAUGUAGCUGGUUUUGUGGUUAAAAUUCCAUAUGUAGACACUGGCGUUUCUCCAUUUCUCACAAUUGAUGUUUACCUCCACGAUUACUAGAUUAGAUAUACCAAACAAUAACACAUUGUAUAAUCUAUCCGCCCUUCAAAAUCUACUGUAUGAUGAAAUGUUUCAUGUGUGUGUGAAGUGUUAGAAAUGCACUAUAGGCAACAUCAUCUUCUUUUGUCUAGGCUUGGGCCUCAAAUUAUACUCCCAUGCCAUGAUAAAUUUUCAUGUGCAUUCUCUAAAGAAGAGUGUCUUGAAUGUGCCAAAUCAUUUUGAUUGAUUUUAUGAUGUUAAUUGCUCCGCAUAUGGAUGGGUAUGUGCUUUAUUUGCUUAUUCAAUCCACAAUUACCUUGAACUGAAGUCCUAUUGGAGCUCUAUUAUUUUAGCAACGUCCUGUCAAAUAGGCUGCUAACUUGGGGUGGUAUGGACCCAAUGAUCCAUCUUAAUCUUGGGUUGAUUUUGUCUGACUCUAUCUAUCUCAGAGAGAACCAGGAUCACCAGUGCUGGUCUGCUUAAAGAAGACUCAGUACUGGAUUAAUAUUGGUUUGGGUCAAUAGCUUAUAAUGCAUUGAAUGCAGAAUAAACAAGAUCAAUGAAACCCAAAACACACUGCCCACACAACUUCACUCUGGUGUCUGUUAUUCAUCAAUUCUAUUCCCACAUGAACUGGUUCAAGUUUAAGAAAAUGACAACGGAUCCACUGUAUUAACUUGGUUUUGCUUGGUUUUGAGCUAGUUGCCAAACCAGCCAUGAGUUUUACCUCUAAUGUCAAUGAACAAACCCCAAAUGAACAACUGCAACAGCUUAAAGAGAAGGAAUGGAGAUGAAAAUCCCUGUUUCUUCUCAUUCUGGGGACAAAUUAGAACAUAACUACAAAGGUUCUAUUAAUUGACUUACUCUACCAUGAAUUAUGGUUCUUUGGUUUUCCAAAUUUAAAUUGUACAUGAGAUUAUUUUUUUCCUUUAUAUAUAAACAUAUUAAGGUUUUCUUAUUUCGUGGGCAAAUGCGCUAAGGAUGAAAGUCAUUUCAUUUGGCUGCAACAGCAUCUUAUAAUCAACAUGCAUAAGCAGCAGUUUUAAUUGAUCGAUUGAACACCGACUCACAAGAAUAGAUAGAAUGGUACAAGACAGCUCUUAUUAAUUUAUACUCGUUACUCAUUUUAUGUAGCCCCAUUAAGAUGGCUGGCUGGACCACCGAGGUCUGGGGGUGGUGUUGCUUGUGUGAUGCAGCGGGCCGGGCAGACACUUCUCUAGUUGCUUCUAUUUGGAGUUAGAGGAUCAGUCUCUGCCAACCUUGAGGACUCUCUACCUCAGAGGGUCCAGGUGGUGGACUCUGGUGUCGGUAGCUUUGAACUCUCAGUAGACUAGUGUGUCUUAAUCAGUCACUGCCAGAGGCUGGCGUAGGCAGUGACGAUAAGGUGAGACAAAUUACCGAAUAGUCAAUAUCGACUGCACUUGACCAUUAUAGAUUUGUUCUGACAAAAGUGAGAAAAGGGAGAAAAUCGGAUGUUGACCUUUAUAGAAAAAGAUAAGAUUUACUGCAACACAGAGCACUGAUUUGUUACUUGGAAACCAAGUUAUGCUAUUAGCUAGCCUCCAUUAGCAGCAGGGUACCUUGCUGCCUGAUCCUAAUCUGAGUUCCCAAGGUUUCAAUCUUCGUUUGUUAACGCUUCAGGAUUUGGAUAUUUCAGCUUCGUUUCUCCAUUUAGCCAACGCUGCCUGGUUUGGAUUUCAAUCCUCAUCUGGAACAUUCUUUUUUCGGUCUGAUUCAGGAAGUGUUUGGUGAUAGUUGAUUAAAAUUAAACAGUACUAUCAUACAAAUAAAGCUGAUCUAAUUUUGGUGGGCAAUAUACCAACUCAUUUAUUCUUGAAAACACCAUGGGGAAUUGGAGGUCCAUCCGAAGUACUAUUUGAUGGGACUCACAAAAAGAACAGGUGCACAUUUAUGAGAUCCGUGGAAGAGAUAACUAUGACAGCUAUGCAUGUACAACAGAUUUAUGUCGAGUUCACCUCGUAGAUAUUUUGUUUUCAGUGUCGGUGGACCCCAAAAUGGAAAUCGGAAAUUAAGGUUAUAUUUAUUUUUUUAUUUAAUUUUAAAUAGAAUUUUAAUUUUUAAUAAUAUUAAGUAUUAAAUUAUUUUUUUAAGGGUAUUUUAUUUUUAUUAAGUAUUAAAAAGUAAAAAAAAUUAAUAUGUUGCUUUUUUAUUUUAAAAAAAUUAUAUAUUUUAAUUUUUUCUAUUUACUAAAAAGUUUAUAAUAAAUUAUAAAAAAAUAAAAAAAUAAAAAACUUAAAUUCUGAAAAUAAAUUAUUUUUAAUAAAAAAAUCCAAAAAAGCAAACACCACCUAAAUUUGAGAUGACUCAAAAUUUUAUAUUUUUUUUCACCUAAAUUAUAUUCAUAAAUUUAAAAUUAAAAAAUUAGGAAGUUGAAUUUUAUUUUGGAUAAUUGGAAACUACAAGAAAUCAAUAAAAAUAUUUGGAAAAAAAAGAAAAAGAAAAACUAUCUAUAUAUUCACCCCCUUCUAAGAAACAUAACUUUAGUUUUUAACUAUUUUUUAAAAUAAUUUUUGAAAAAUGUUAUAUAAUAUUUUAUAAAACAAAAAAUCUGUUUGACAAUUUGAUAUGUCUUUAACUUAUUUUUAAUAUUUAUAUAUAUAUAUUUUAAAAAUAAUUUUAUAUUUAGAACUUUAUCUUUAAUUAUUAUAUAUAUUUAUAUAAUUAUUUUUUUUAAAACAACUCUUAAAAAAUAAGUGAAAGUAAUUGAAAACAACUCAAAGAUAUUUGAUGAAAACACUCUAAUUUGUAUUUUUGAGAAUAAAAAAAUAAAUAAAUAAAUUUCUAGUUAUCAAAUGUAUUUUUUAAUUCUUUUAUUCUAAAAAAUAGAAAAUCGUUUUUGAAAAUAAUUAUUAAACAACAUUCUUAAAAAUUCACUCGUUACAAUCUAGAUUUAAUGCAAGAAUGAUUGAAGGAGUCCUCCAAUAGAACCCAAAGUUAUAAACAUGAACAAGAAGCCCUAGAAACACCAAAGAUCUCAUAUGGUAUAUAUAUGAGCUUGAUUGAGAACUGUUUUAAAUUCAGUUUUUUUUUUUUUUUUUUUUUUUUGUUUUCAAAGUCAAAACAAGUUUACUUUUAAUUUUUACUUCUUUUUUUUAAUUUUAUAAAUAACAGUUUUUUAAUAAUUUAUUUUGAAAACAUGAUUAUUUUUAAAACUUAUAAUGAAAAUAGGAAUUUUUUUUUUAAUAUCAUGGUUAUUUUCCCUUCUUUUAAGGAGGGCUAUUUUAAAAAUAAAUUUACAAAUAUGAAAAAUGAUUCAAACUAAAGCAGUACAAAUAAAAAACAUUUUUAAGAAAUAUUUAAAAAUAGAGAAAAUUAUUUGAGAACAUUUGAAGUCCUUAAAUAGACUUUUGUUUUAGAAAAGGCAAGAUAAUUAUUUUUGAAAAUUGUUUUCAUAAUGAUAUGCAAAAACCUACGUAAAAACCAUAAUUAUAAUCGGCCACAUAUCAAAUCUACUAAAUAUGAAAAGUAAGUACAUAAUUAUAUUUGACUUAGAUGCAAGGAGGAAAAUGUCGCGAUAUUAUCGCCGAAAUAUCGUGUGUCGAAGGGUAUCGACACGAUUUUUCUUGCAGAAAUAUCGGCCAGUCGAUUUUUCGGGAUAAAUCUCGAGAAAUCGGCAAUUUAUCGCGAUAUAUCGGCGAUUUUUCCUCGAUAUAUCUUCUGGUCAACGCGGGUCAACGGAGUCAACACGCUACAGUGAAAGUCAAAUGUGCUACAAUGUCCCCGCUACAAUCACCUCCCCAAACAAAUUGCCAAAUUGCUUCCGAGGGGAUUUGAACCAGCCUUCUUGCCAUUUGGGCUAACUCGCCCUUAUGAUAUAUAUUGCAUUAAACAUAUAUAUACUUAAAGUCCUUAUAUAAAGAAAAUGUUAAAAAAAUAUUUUAAAGAGCAAAUUAAUUAUAAUUAUUUUAUAAUUAAAAGCAAAAUUUUCUUUUAAUUAAUUACCAAAAAUAUAAAAAUUAUAUAAUUUUCUUCAUAAUGUUUUUAAUAUCAUUAAUAAUUAAUUAAAUAUUAAAAAAUUAUAUAUAUAUAUAUAUAUAUAUAUAUAUAUAUUAUAAUUUAUUUUAUAUUGUUUAAUACAAUUGAAUUAAAUGGAUCAUAUUUUAAUAUUAAUAUAUAUUUUAAAAUUAGACAUAUUGUAAUCAAAUAUCAUAAUAUUAUAUGUAAUUUAAUAAUAAAUGUACACUUAUAAAAUUCAUAUUUUUAUCGAUGCAUACAAUAUUAUUAUCAAAUAUGAUAAAUCAUGUUAUACAUAUAUCAAAAUUUUCAAUAAAAUAACUUUAAAAUGUCUAUUAUACUUCUAAUUAUAUUAUUAUGAGGUUUUCUUUACAUUUUCAUGAGUUUUAAACAAUUUUAAGCACCAAUAUUUUUUUCCAAAAUAUCCACCGAUAUAUCUCCGAUAUAUCCAAUAUAUCUCCGAUAUCUCCGAUAUAUCCGUAAAAUCGAAGUACCGAUAUAUCCGUGAUUACCGAUAUUUUCAUCAUUGCUUAGAUGCAACCUUCUUCCAAAUGACAUACUUUAGUCAAUACUUAUAUUUUUUCGUUUCACUUCUUUGAUACAACACCUCAUGGAUUUAUUGUUUAAUUUAUUUGUAAUUAUAAAACUAUUUUUCAUUUUUAAUAAGACUUGAAUUAAUUUAAUAAAUAUUAUAUAAUUUGAAUUUAUAAUUCUUUUUAUAAAAUCAAAGUAUAUUAAAAAAAAAACAAUUUAUCCGAAGAAAGUUUUUUAUUUUUUAUUUUUUAAAACCGAUUUUAAAAAUAACUAGCUAGACACCCUUAUUUUGAUAAAAUACGAAAUAAAAGUGUAAAAACAACAUGGCCAAAUAGGGGCUUAAAUUUUAUUUUUAAAACAUUUUUUUACACUAAAGUGCAUUUUAAAAACACCAUCAAAACCAACUACAAGUUAUGCUUCUUCCCGUAAUAGAAAUAUUUUAGGCCAAAAUAGAACCUCCCCAAAUAAAGACCCUAUACUAAACUCCUUUUCAUUUUAUUAAUACAAAAGUGGGGAAAAAAGGUCUAUGCUCACCUAAAAAACAUGAAUAUUGUGAAUUCACCAUUUCUAUAAGGAAGUUGAAAACUUCAAAAUUUUAUCAACAAAUUCUCUAAAAUCCUCAAAAUAUAUAGGGCCUGUUUCACAAAGUUUUUUAAAAUUUGUUUUUAUAAAUUGCUUUUAAAAUAUAGAAUAAAUAACAGUUUUUUAGAUUUUUUGAAAAAUAAGAGUGUUUGGUAAGAUGUUUUUUUUUUUUUUUUUUUUUUUAAGAAUUAAAUAAAAAAUAAAAAAAUUGUUUAGAUAAAAGAAUUUGUAUUGUUUUUAAAAACAAUGUCUUACUUUUAUGUUAUAAAAAUUUUAUUAAUUUAAUUUAUAAUAAUAUGAAAUGAAAUUCAAGUUAAGUCUUAUUAAAAAAUACAAAUUAAAUCUAUAAUUAUGCAUGAGUUAAAGAUAAAUAUAUAUUUUUUAAAACUAUAAAAUAAAUUUUCUAUUAUAGUGAAACAAAAAUUACUAUAAAAUAAAAAUAAUUUUAAUAUUCAUUUUUAAUACAAGUCAAAUAAGUACUUUAAUUAAUUUUUUUUAUCAUGAUUUCUUAUGUUUUUUUUUUUUUCUAGAAAUUAUUUUAAGUAAUAUAACUAAUUUUUUUUUUAAUGUUUUAUAAAAAUAAGGAUAUUUGGCAAGUUGUUUUUAUAAAAGGAUUUUAAAAAUAAAUGGAUUUUUUUUUUUUUUAAAAAAAGAACAAAAUGAUUUGUUUGAAUAAAUUGUUUUGAUUUUGUAAAAACAUUUUAAAUUCAAUUUAUAUAAUAUUAAUUAAUUAAAUUAAAUUGAAGUUUUAUUGAAAAUAAAAAUAAUUUUGUAAUUAAAAUUAGAUUAAAAAAUAUAUAGGUUUUAAUAAAUCGUAAAUAGUAAUAUUAUAAUAAAAUUAUAAAUUAUAUUUUUAACAUAAAAUAUACUAUUUAUUACAUAUUAAAAAAAAUAUUUUAUUAUAUUAAUAAUUUUAUGGUAUUAAUGAGUUUAUUAUUUAAGUUUUAAAUUAUUUUUAAAAAUUAAUAAAUUUGUUAACAAAUGCAAUGUACUAAAUGUGGUUUAAUUUGGAGUUAAUUUGUUUAGGGAAAAAAAUAAAAAAUAAAAAUCUUAUGUAAAAGAGAAAUAAUAGAGUGUGUGUGUUUUUUUUUAUUAUUUUUAAAAAUCAGUAAAAAGAACUUUUACUUAUUGCCUAAAAAUUAUUCUCUAUUUUAUUUUAUUUUUUAAAUCUAGAAAUAGAUAACAAUAAUAAAAAAAAUUAAAAAAGAAAAAUGUUUUUUAAAACUCAGACUUAUAAUUGCUUUUGUUUCUCAUUCGCACCCCUGGAUUCCUGGAUUCUAAACACAAAAUUAAGUUGAAUCGUCCAUCUAUCUUGUAAGCCAAGAAUUCACAUAGAAGAAAUAAUCGGAAUUUGAUUUGAUAUCAGAUUUAGAGUGGCUCACUACUCAUGCAUUGUCCCACAAUAGUAAUGCUUUGGGCCGAGAUAAACCCAUUUGUGGGCCCAAAUAAAACCCCUGGUUUGAAAACAUCGAUUUUACAGUGGCCCAAAAGAUUAUCUAUGAGGGGAAGAUAACUUGGAAGUCAAGCAAACACAUUUAUCGCUAACUUUUCUCUAAUUAUAAAAUUAUAACUUGGUCUUCUACACGUCUCACUUAAGAGGCGGAGCCACUUGGCACUACCUUUCCAUAUUGUAAAAGGAGAAGAAGCAGAAGGAGAAGAUUCUUAUGCCAUUCCACACACCAUGGCUAGUACUGCUAUGCUGCUUGGCCCGCCGGCUCUCCGCCAUCCUAAUUCUCCCGCCGGCACUGUCUUUGAAGAUGGGGUCAUUCUAACGGAUUCCCUGAUCGUCCGCACCAGUAAUCUGGAGCUUUCUGAAAAACCGCCACUGGAAUCCCUGGCGUAGUGCUCUGUCAGUGGGGAUAUUGCUAUGGAUUGUUUGGAUUCCCAAGCCCACAAUCUUCAUCUUCCCGGGAAACCGCCGAUGGGCUUAACGGAAAACAAGUCUCCGACCUUUUUGUCUUCCGGGAACCCGUGCUUGGACUUCUUCUUCCAUGUGGUUCCCGAUACGUCGUCUGAUGAUCUGAUCCGACGGUUUGAGUUGGCUUGGGAAUUCAAUCCGCUGACGACGUUAAAACUGAUAUGCAACUUGAGAGAGGUGAGAGGCACCGGAAAAUCUGACAAAGAGGGUUUCUACACGGCGGUUCUCUGGCUCCACGACCACCAUCCCAAAACCCUAGCCUGCAAUGCUAGGGUGUUGGCCAGCUUCGGUUAUUUCAAGGAUUUUCUCGAGAUUCUCUACCGGCUUCUGGAGGGCCCUAAAAUUCGAAGAAUCGAAAAGAAAGACUGGCUGGAUCGAAAAGGAAGGAAGAAAAAUUCCCGGAAAAGGAACUCAAUAUUCAAGCGAGAAAAUAGGCCUGGAGUUGAAUUUCCUGUAGAAGAGAAGGAUGUGGAGUAUAUGGUGGAAGAAUUUGUGGAUAAAGAAAAGGCUAGGGUACUGAGAAAGGAGAGAGAACUUGCUCUUGCCAAAAGAGCCCUGCACAAGUAUUCUACUGAUUCUAAUUAUCAGUUCUUACAUGAUCAGAUUUCAGAUUUAUUUGCUGAACUUCUGAAAUCUGAUAUUCAGUAUUUAAACUCCGGUGAGCUUUACAAGAUUAGUCUCGCAUCCAAAUGGUGUCCCACAAUUGAUUCUUCUUAUGAUAAAUCCACCUUGAUAUGUGAAAAUAUUGCUCGAAAGGUUUAUUCUCGCGAGGAAUAUAUAUCCAGAAUACCAAGGAAUUGAGGAGGCUCACUAUGUUAAUAGAGUCAGGGAUAGGUUGAGAAAACAAGUACUUGUUCCAUUACGUAAGGCCCUGGAGUUGCCAGAGGUUUUCAUGUGUUCGAACCAGUGGGGAUCACUUCCCUACAACCGUGUGGCUUCAGUGGCCAUGAAAUCAUACAAGAGCCUCUUCUCAAAACAUGAUACAGAGCGGUUUGGUGUGUAUCUUGAGAAAGUGCAAACUGGGAAGGCUAAGAUUGCAGCUGGUGCAUUACUUCCCCAUGAGAUUAUAGCUUCAUUGAAUGAGGAGGAUGGCGAGAAAGUUGCAGAGCUUCAGUGGGCGAGAAUGGUGGAAGAUUUAUCAAAGAAUGGGAGGCUCACAAAUUGCAGUGCGGUAUGUGACGUAUCAGGAAGUAUGAGUGGAACUCCAAUGAAGGUGUGUGUGGCUCUGGGGCUGUUAGUUUCAGAGCUCAGUGAAGAUCCAUGGAAAGGUAAUGUAAUUACUUUCAGUGCAAGUCCUGAGCUUCACAAGAUCCAAGGAGACAGCCUUGUAUCCAAGACUGAAUUUGUGAGGAUGAUGGAAUGGGGUGCGAACACUGAUUUUCAGAAAGUUUUUGACAGAAUCUUACAAGUAGCAGUGGAGGGAAAUCUGAGUGAAGAUCAAAUGAUAAAGAGGGUUUUCGUUUUCACUGAUAUGGAGUUUGAUGAAGCUUGUGGGAGGUAUAACUAUUGUGAAUAUGACUAUGAUAUGGAGGAAAUUGAUGAGAGUCAGAAGGCAUCUCAGAAGUGGGAGACAGAUUAUGAAGUGAUACAGCGGAAAUUCCAGGACAAAGGAUAUGGAAAAGUUCCGGAGAUAGUGUUUUGGAACCUUAGAAACUCAUCAGAGACUCCAGUGAUGGCCACAGAGAACGGGGUGGCCUUAGUAAGCGGGUUUUCGAAGAAUCUGUUAGACCUUGUUUUUGGAAGGAGGUGGAAUUCUGACCCCUCAGGAUGUGAUGGAAUUAGCCAUCUCUGGUGAAGAUUACAAGAAACUUGUUCUAUUUGAUUAAGAUAUCAAGAGAUUUAUCAAUAAUAAUAUGUUUUUUUUUUUCUAUGUGAAAUACAUGUAAUAUUAACUAUGGAGUUAUCAAAGUUCUGGAAAUUUAAUUAUUUCUUCUUUUCAAGUUUUGUUUGUCUUUGUUAGGAAUUCCCCUUGGGCGGACCCAGCUGGGGACUUGGAUUGAGGAAGUAAGGAGGCGAAAUUGUGUUCUUCUAUGGACAGAGAAAAAAGAUAAAAAUAAAAAAUAAAAAAGGAGGUUAUUUGCAUUUGGAUGUCAUGUGGUUUCAGGGUACAACUACAAGUUCGAAAUUGUACAUAAUGUGAAAAUUCCUGUGUGGAGAACAGCAUAAAUAUGUAUCUCAGUGUGUUUUGUUUGAGCUAAUUGGCAAAUUCGCUUUAAACAUGGUCACAUGGAUGCAUAUUUAUUUGUGAAAUGAUAGUAGUCGAUUACUUGGUCAGUAAGGUUUGUAUCUCUAACUCCAACAUCUUAUUGUAGUCUUUUAAAAUGUCAAAAGUUUAAUGCUAGCUUGAGAAAUUUUGGAAUGGAGACAUUCUAAACAAAGUUAAUAAUCCAUGAGACUUGGUAAAACCGAUCAGAUGAUGCUUACGUACAUGAAUGCCUUCUUUAAGCCGUAUCCUAUUUUCAUUGAAUGAGACGUGCCAUCUAGUUUUGUUCUUGUCUUGAUUGGAUCAUGAUCCCGGGAAUUGAUUACUGUUCUGAAUUUGCGAAUGUUCAAGGUAUUAGAGAAAGUUAAUAUUAUCGUUAAUUUACAUAUUAGUAUUUAUCUAGUUAUUAUAUAUUAGUUUGAAUUAUAAUAUAAUAUAGAAUUUGAAUCAAGUUUACUAUUAGUUUGAAUUACAAUAGGAAAUAAAGUUUGAAUUAUAGUAUAACUCAAAUAUAUUUGUAUAUAAAUAUCCAUCUUUAUCAAUGAGAAUAGUAAACCAUAUUUUUCUCUAUCUUCUUCUUUCUCUAUAUAUAUGGUAUCAAAGCCUCCAAAUCCUAAACCUAGUCUCAACUUAGAGCAAAUUUAGGGUGCAGGGUUUAGGCCCCGCCUCCCCCAACCCUUACCACAAAUGGUAGUGACCUUGUUAUGCCUAUGUAUUGUCAAUGCCUCAUUUUCUAUGGUCUUCAAUACAAUAUCUAGUUUCAAUGUCUCUUUCCUUACUAUCUCCAAUGCAAUAUAUUGAUUUCAAUAUCUCUUUACAACCAAGAGCUCCAAAUUUUCCUGGUUCAAAUCUACCAUAAUUUUUAUUCUCCUUUGCUUUUUACCAAUAUUAGUUCCCCUAAUUUAAUAUAUAUCUCUUUAUUACCUUCAACUCUACCUCUCUCUUUCUUUAAAAGCUUCCUCAAAGAUUUGAUUGCUUUCUUGCAUGUUUUGGGAAAACAAACAUGCUCAUAUUCUAUUACCUCUACUUGAGAUCUGCCUUAUACUCUACCUUCUUCUUUACCUCCUAUAUCAUCUACUACAUUAGCUUCAAAAACAUUAUUUAGUUUGAUGCUAAAUAAGGCUCCUAAUCCUACCCUUCCUUCAACUAACUUUCUUUUACAAGUCCCUCAAAGUUUUUUUUUUUUUUUUUUUGGAAAUUUGGCUUAGAAAGAUUUCAUUACUCUUACCUAAUCUUUCAACCAUCAAGUCGAAUCCACUUAUCUCUUGAAUCCAAGGAGACUACCCUCCACAAAAACAAGGAGAUUGACCCCCACAAUAACAAAGAGAUUGUCCUCCAUAGAAACAAAGAGAGCUUCCUUCAUGGAAGCCGAAUACAUCGCAAUCUAUUUUCUUUCUCUCAAGAUCAAAUCUCCAAUCGGAGCUCCAUCUUGUGGGGAUAUAUUAGAAAAAGUUAAUAUUAUCCUUAAUUUACAUAUUAGUAUUUAUCUAUAUUAUAUAUUGAAUUAGAAUAGAAUAUAGAAUUUGAAUUAAGUUUACUAUUAGUUUAAAUUACAAUAGGAAAUAGAGUUUGAAUUAUAGUAGAACUCAAAUAUAUUUAUAUAUAAAUAUCCAUCAUUAUCAAUGAGAAUAGUAUUCCAUAUUUUUCUCUUUCCCUGAGGCUUCAGAAUGUGAUCUUGAACAUUUGAUCUUUUGGAUUCUUCUUGUUUCGGUGGUUUAAUAUAAUGGAAUGUUUAAUUAUAGCCUACUUUAUCACCAUGGAUGUGCUCCUGCAGAUUUCUUGAGGGUGAUGGUUAUUUUGUCAUGUUUCUUGAAUGGUUUGCAUCAGCUGCCUGAGCUGUUGUUGCUGGUCACUUUUGCAACCAGGGAAAGAAUCAUGGCUUUGGAGAAGCCAGCUUCUGUUUUUGUUGCCCAGCUGUUAGUUCACUAAGAUUGGGGGUCCUAACAUGUAUGUAUAAUCAUAAGCAAGGAAAUUUUAUGUCUUACGCUAGAUAGGUACCAUGAUAUGAUGUUUGAUUGAUUUAUUAACUCUACCUGUUUCAAAAGGCAUCAACAUUAAUUUUACCCUUUUAACACAUUGGAUUGUUUGACCUUACGAGAUUUUCUAUUUCUGUACUAUUUGAACUGCAAUCGUUAUGGUCCUUAGGUCUCUAAACCUUCGUUUAAAAUAAAAGUAAGGAGCACACAUAGUAAAAGUUAAUUUUGGGUAACUUUUAAAACAAAGAGAAAAGUAAAAGUUGUUUUUGAGAAAAACAUAUAGAAAUUGAAAGAUUUUUUAUUUUGAGAAAAAAAAGUCAUAGAAAAGAAAUAAUAUCCCCAUAUAAGUAGAUAUGAUCUAUCCGAAGUGUAGCUACUCUCCUGGAUUUAUUCUAACAUUUUAAAAUUUUUCUCAAUGGGCAAAGGAAUAUCAAAUCAAGCUUGAGUAGGAUUAAUUUCUUAAUUUUUAAAAUAACUUAUAAUUAAAAUUUUUUGGUGUUUUCUUUUUUGGACAAUUUUUUAUGAAGACUCUGAAUCAUGCAAGAGAUAUGGUUAUUUUAAAAAAAAAAAUAAUUUAAAACUCAAAUACAUAAUCAAUGUCACAAAUUUAUAAACAAAAGGUUUUUAAAAAAUACUAUUAUUUCCCCUCUACACAUAAUUUUACUUUUCCGAUUUAUUUAUUUUUGUUGGAAAACAGUCUUCAAAUCAAGUAAAAUUAAUAUGUUAAAUUUGUUAAACAAAUAAAUUUUAAAAUACAAUUUGGAACUCAAAAAUCAAUUCAAGUAAUGCUAAAAUUCAAAAAAUCAAAUUUGGAAUAAAAUGACUUUGUAAAUUUUUUUACUAAACAAAUGAAUUUUAAAUCAAGUGAGAUUUAAUACAUUGGAUUUUUAUGAGAAUAGUAAUUUUAAAAAUUAAUUUGGAACUCAAAAAUAGACACAAUAAAUACCAAAAAUCAAUGAACCAAAAUUGGUUUGGAAUAACUCCAUAAUUUUUUAUUUAUUUAUAUAUUUAUUUUUUUGUGCACACGAAUUUCUUACUAAGCAUAUUGCUUCCAAAUUGAGAAAAAUUUACUAUUUAGAUUUUUUUAAUGAGUUUAAUGGUAUUUAAAAAUAAUUCAAAAAUUCGAAAAUUGACUAAUUUAAUAUUAUAAAUUCAUAAACCAAGACUAAUUCAAAAUGCAUUGGGGGCUAAGGGGGUUGAAAUUAAUGCUCCAUUUGGUUGUGGCCACCAAUUGGCAAUGGCCACCAAUCAACCAAUCAAGGUGGCUAAGGGGGUUGAAAAUAGGGACAAUGGGGUGGGUUUGGGACAGGACACUCAUAUCCCAUUCCCAUCCCAAUUACACAGUUAUUUCCCAUCCUUAUUCCAAACUUGUGUUGGGGCAAGUUGAUUUGUUCCCAUCUUUGUUAACGAAAUGACUAAUAACCUCAUCCUCUCCUUGUCUUAGAUGUACAUUUUCUCAAAUUUGGUCAGGUAUGAUUGAUUCAAGCCCUAACCUUAAUUGGUAAUGAGUGGAUACCACACCUAAUUGCAUUCUUCUUUCGUUGCAAAAUAAUGAGAUUAUAAUAAUCUAGCAAAUAAGAAAAAAUAGUAUGGAAGUUCAAAUUAACACCAUAACUAUCAAUAAUUUUAAGCUUAUAGAUGACUUAAAUGAUUGAAAACUAAUGCAAAAUACUAAAAAAAAAAAAAAUCAUCUAAAGAAUUCACAAGAGAAUAGAACGAACAAAACCAAAUAGGAACAUGGGUCAACAUUAGUUACAGAUUUUGAUCCCUUUCAAGGCCAAUCUUUGAACCAAGACUUCAUCAAAUCUACUACUUCAAAGGCUUUUGUGUUCUUCUUGAGUUGUACUCUGGAACAAAGACUUCGAGGUGAUGCUUUAGAUGAUUGCAUUACACAUAUUUAGGGUAGGGAGAUUGGAGAAGCUUGAAGAUGCCAACGAUGGGUACAAUUGAGUGGUCAAUAAGAACAAUGUGGCCUAUGACUAGUUUGAUGUCAUGGUAUAGGAGUUUUGGGCAUUGAGGUGAAAGCAAGAGCAACAUGGAAUUGAUUUCAAAGUCUUUCAAUUAGUGUAAAGGAGGAAGAAGAAGUGGUAUUGAUCCUAGAAAUAGUGUUUUAGGUGUUGCAUUAGAGGAAAAGAAAAAGAAAAAGAAGGAACCAUUGGAAUUAGUACGAGUGUGAAGAGAGAAGUGUAUACAUAAGGGGAAGUAAAAGCAAAGUUCUAAAAAUUUAUUUUUUUAUUGGUGGUGUAUGGUUGCAUGAUUAUCCCUAUAAAUAAUAGGAGUUUUUUGGUGUUCUACUAGUAGUUGAAGGAUAAUUUCAUAAGAUAAUAUUUAGAGCGGGGUGGGGUGAGUUGUGACAAAAUCCAUACCCGUCCCAAACAUUGGUUCAGGUUUUUAAAAUAUUUUCAAACUUAUCAUAUACCCAAUUUUAUAUUUCAUACUUGUCCUAAUAGAGACAGGUUAGUCAGGGUUACUUGAGUAGCCUACAAAACUAUCAUCCCUAGUUGAAAUGCUCUUUUUGGCAGUGGCAGCUAGAAGCUCGAUCGAUUGACCUACAAGACUAGUUGUCAUCAUUUUAAAAAGAGUUUUGGCUUUGGUUGUGAGUGCAAUUGAAUCUAAACUAACAUUUCCUUAAUGCAUCUACUUCAAUCCUAAACUUCUUACUUAAGCCUCAAUUGUUGUUAAGAUUUUGGAAAACCCAUUUCCUUAAAUUGUAAAUUUAAGAAAAAAAAAAUUAAAAGUGAGACAUUUCUUGAUUGAAUGUUGUUAAAGGUCCCUUGGAAUUAAGACUUGGUUGAAGCCUUGGAAGAUUAGCAGAACUCUCAACUUAUGUUUGAACCUUGAGGAGAGUGGACGUAGGCCAAAAUUUUGUCAAACCAUUAUACAAAUUGAGUUUGAAUUCUCAUUUCUUGAUUUCUUAUUUAUUUGCUUUUUCUUAUUAUUACUUGAAUUGUCAUUUGCAUUCAUUAAUGUUAAAAUUGGUUAUAAUUAGCCAACACUAAUUCUCUUUCCCCUUCCCUUAAUUUCUUGGGUGUAAACCUAGGUUGGAUUAACUAGAUUUUAUCAAAUCUAUUAAGAUGGUAAAAGAAUAAUUAUUCUUAACAUACAUAAGAUCAUCUUCAAUCAAAUGACUCAUUGGCUGAUAUGUUGAAUUUGCUUAUUACUUGCAACUCAAAAUUGUGUUCUAGUUGAUAUGUCAAGUCCUGAGUGUAUGGACAUUAAAUUUGUAGUACGUGAUGAGUAUUUAGAUGGUCCAAUUCCAAGAAAGUGAUUGAAAACUAGUUCAAGAAAGGUGCAAAAGGGAAUUGUUUUGGUAUUUUCGUUUUUAUUCUUGAAGGUGGCAGAGCUAAAAUUUGAGAAAUCAAGCAAAACAUACUGAAAUUACAUUGAAAGAAAGAAAAUGGGAGUUAAUGUCUUGCAGUACAUGAUAAGGACUUCAUGCAUGUAGUGUGACCCAUGUCUUGGACUGAUGCCACACUCACGGUUACACUUAUACCCUUAGUUCUCUCUUUACUACCUUAGCUAACCUAGAUCAGGUUAUGAGAUAGGCACCUCACCACACCAUUACUUGCCCAUUAAUUAGUGACAUUUUCAAGCAAUGAGGUAACAUGGUGACACCAAGAGGGUAUAUUCCUCACCCCCAACAAGCCUAGACCUGGUCUAAAAAAAAUGGAGAAAAAUGACGUGUUGUUAUGCAGAAAUAUAGCAACCAUGCCUUCCUCAUUACUUAGAUUCAGAAUGUGAAGGUGAAAUUGAGAAACAGAAACUCUUGAAACCAAAAUGAAAAUUGAUACUUUUACGAAGAAUUACAACAACAUUAGAGGAAGACUACAUUCUUCCUCUUUAUUCCUACAUUUCUACACUACUUCUACUCCACUCCAUAUUUCUACAUACAUCUUUAAUCAGUCUUCCCUCCUUUAUAUAGAGCCAUCUUCACACAAAUUCCGCAAGGUAGAAAAGAGGAAUGAAACUUGGAGCAAGGUUCGACUACUGGCUGUAGCUUGUCAAGGCUGAAAGUGAACUUUUUUUCUUGGCUUUUCUGGGCAUAGGUAGUAACUUGUAGGUUCCUUUUUGGAAUGAAAAUGGUACGGCUAGAACAUGUGGCACUCUCUUGUUGGAUGAUGUGUCAAGCAUGUGGCAGCCAUCUAGUGGAGAUUAUGUCAAUUUUGGGAUGGAGAGUUGGCAUCCAAUUGCAAAGAAAUAUGACAUCUACCAACAUGCAAUGUCAACCUAUGUAGAUCAUAUGAAGAUAGAGAGGAAAAAUAUAGAAAUGGAUAUAUAACUAGAACUAGCUUUUUAUUAAAUGAGACGGAGAGCCAACAAUGAAGGAAAAUCAAAAUUUUUGGCUCAUAUCAAAGAAUUCACAUUGUGUUACCCUAGGUUUUCUUAAAACUUACUUUUAUGAUAAUAAAAAAUCAUUAUUGUUUAAUCCUUUGUUUUAAACGCAUGUUUAGCAGGUUGUAAAAUGUAAAUAUCUUUCGAAAUUCAAAUAUGAAGAUAUGACAUCAUUUCAAGCAAUAUAGUCUCUAGGAAUUAAUGUAAAGCUAAAUUAAGGUGCAAUUAAGUUAGUUCAAUGCAUUAUUUUAAGAAACUUGACCUAUCAAAACCUUGUCUUACUUCAAAGCCUCUUUUUCUUUUCUUCCAACUAACAUUUUAAUAAGUGAUCGCAAAAGUACAAAAUUAGAUGAAAUCCAUUUCAAUGGUUAAAAUGAUCAAAUUCAAACUUUUUCUAAGUAUCUUUUAAAAGCAUCAAUAUUGAAAGACAAUUUUAUAUUUAGUCAAAGCUUGGACAGAGCCAAAAAGCACACAAAAAUUUAUAUUUUCUAGCUCUCUACCUUGGAUGGUCUCUUGAUCCUACUUGGAGAUGUGCAUAAAUAAAAGGAUUUGAAAAUGACAAUUGACUAAGUAUGUAGUCAAUCAAUUACUCAUUGAUUGACUAGUUGAUCAAUUAACUUUGCAACAUCAUAUGCAAUCCUAAUAGCUAGUCAUCUAAUCAACUAGGUAGUAAAUCAAUAGGCCAAAAAUAUGUUUAUAAUGACUAUUUUGUACAAAAACCACUUAUAUAGUUAAAUAUAAUGCAUUUCAUUUAUAAAUCUUCUAAUUCUUGAAUAACAAUCCUAUCAUCCUUUGAAAGUUUUUAUUACACCUUUUCUACAUUUGUUCUAAAACUUAUACAUCACCCUUAAUUGUACCAUGAGAACCUAGCAUUUUUUUUUUUUUUUUUGUAUUUCAUCAAAGUUAGCUCUUGUACUCAUUGUUGUAUUAUUUUUAUUGUAACUUAGAGAGCGAGUGUUUUCAAGUGAGUGAAAUUGACUUGUAAAUAUUGUAAAGAUUCAUUGAUAUGUAUCUCAAACUAGGUGUACAAGUUGAAACAUUUGCUAGUAGAUUUUCUCAAGAUUUAGAAUGAGCUUAAGGCUAUCGAAUUAGGUGGGGUUGCGCCAAACCAUAUCACAUCGUUGUUUGCACCUUUUUUUUCACUCUCUUUUACUUAGUUGCUCUAUAUAUAUUGUCUAGCAAUAUCCUAAAGGCUUGAUGGGCUAGGGAGCAUCCCUCUGAAUGAAAAAUUUUCAUUCAAUUCUUAGUUGUAUUACGCAUAUAUAAAAUGCCUCAUUGUUUUAAUGGUAUUCAGUCGUGGCACCACAGAUAUGGACAUCUAAAUUUUAAAAGUUUGAAACUUUUAGCUAAAGAAAAUAUGGUGCUUUGCCUUUUUGGAAAGCAUGUUGAUGAAAUCCAUGAGAAUUGUAUACUUGGAGAGCAACAUCGAGAUAACUUUUUUUUUUUCUUUUUUUAUAAUGCAUUGUUUGUCCAAAUUCCGUACAAAUUAGGCCACCACAUGUUCAUAAUUCUCCCUUCUUGAAUUUGAAAACUCGGACAAUUUGACAAUGCGACACCUAAGUCCGGUUUUUAAAUGCUAAAGUGAAAGGGCAGGUAUGGACCAUUGAAAUGUGAUAACAACUUUUGGCCUUUUCCUUUUCUCUGUAGCCAUGUUGUCUCUUUUUAAUUUCUUUUGCAUGAUUUUCUUACCUAAACAGAAUCAUAGACUUGUUUAAUCUCUAAGUGGGAUUUCAUCCACCUUAAGCUACUGUAUUAUAUCUCGGUGGAGGACAACCGACAUAGAGCACAUGCAAGUGGGUAUAUGGGACAUGAAAUAUCUUCUUAUAAAGCUUGUUUUGCAGUUAAAUUAAUUGGAUAAGUAGACACUGGCGUUUCUAAAUUUCCCACCUAAGAUAAUGACCUUAUCCUUGACUGCUAGAUACACAAACAAUUAUACCUUCAAAAUCUACUGUGAAGUGCUUCAUGUAUGUGUGAAGUAUUAGAAAUUUCUUUCUUGGCAACUUGUUUUUUUCUUUGCGGUCUACUGAUAGGUUUGACUAAAAUUAUAUUCCCUGUCCUGCUAAUUAAUUUUCACGUGCAUGCUCAAAAGAAGAGUAUGACCUUAGUGCACCAAAAUCACUUUCAAUAAUUUGUGAUAAGUUUUUUUGCAUGACAUUAACCUUAUUCAUUUAGAUAAUGUUUAGUUCUCAUAAAUAUUAAGAAAAUGAAAAUAAAUAUUAAGAAAAAUAUUCUUAUAUUUGAUUGUAUUAUGAAAAAUAUCAUAAAAAAUCAAAUAUAAUUAAAAUUAAUUAAUAAUUUAUAUAUUUUAAAAUUAUUUAAUUUUUAUAUUAAAGAUAUAAUAUAAAUGAAAUGAGUUUUAAGUAUUAUAUAAAAAUGAUUUAUUUAUUUAUUUAUAUAUAUAUAUAUAUAUAUAUUUAGUUUUUCUCUUUAUUUUAUUUUCCUUAUGUUUUCCUCACAUUUUCCGGAAUCAAAGAUAGGGAAAUCCACAAUUACCUUCAACUGAGUAGAUUCUAUUGUUUUAGCAAUGUUAGGCUGCUAACUUGUGGUGGUACGAACCAAAUGAUCCAUGUUAAUCUUGGCUUGAUUUAAUUUGGCUCUAUCUCAGAGAACUCAAGGAUCACGUCAACUCUGGUUUCUACUAUUCAGGUCCAUUCCCAGAUGAACUGGUUCAAAUUUGAGAAAAUGGUAACAGACCUUUAGUGAUAUUGGUUUGGAGCCAGUUGCCAAACCUGCCCUGAGCUUUACCACUAAUGUCAAGGGACAAAGCCAUUUGAACAAAAACAAUAGCUUCAAGAGACUGAAUCGUGGAUGAAAUCUGAUCCACAUUUCUUCUCAUUUUGGGAAAAAAUGAGGACUUAACCACAAAGAUUCUACUGCCUCAUAGUGCUUUUCCUGAUCUAAGGUUGGCUCGUUUCCCAAAUUGUGAGGUGCACGUGCCACUCUCACGCUCAGGAGUGUAUCCACGUGGUGGACAUAAGAUGGUGGCUUAAUAUCUGGUGUCGGUGGCUUUACUUUACUAGGAGAGUAGUGUGUCUUCAUCUCAUUCACUGCCAGAGGGUGGCGUAAGCAGUGACGCUAAGGUGGGGCACAGUCAAUAUCAUUUGCAUUUGACCAUUAUAAUUUUCUCCCGGCUUUAAAGUAACCUUAUCGUGAUAAUGGAUUACUAGCACUAGUUCAGAUGACAGUCAUGUUAAAUUCGGACCAUGUUUGUGUCACAUUAUCAGCAACCAUGUGCUUGUGGUUCAUGCUAUCUGCAACUAAACUUGAUAUAUAACCAGGUGAACUUCAAUCUAAAUUCUGGAAGUACUCAUGUGAUAGAUGGUGCCUGUCUGCAGUGAGUGUAUCUAUAAGAGGGAAGGCUUGGCAAAUGUUCAGUUUUCUGGGAAUUCAACAGGGAUCUAAAAUAGAUUGUUUUCUUUGCUGAUUUCAAUGGUUGAAAUUUGAGAAGAUUGUGUCCACAUAACACAACUAUUACUGGUCCUUCUGUUGCAAUUUAUCCUCUAAGGCUCUAACAUGUCUUCCAAUUCCCACUUCCCACUUCCCUGUUACUCCAGGAAAGCUGUUUCUGUCAUUGUGAAGAAGAAAAGAGACUGUACAUAUCGAUGCUUUUAAGUGGACUGGAGAAUUCAUAUCAGGUGGUCUGCAGCCAUACAUGCCACUUUGUGAAGGUUGGAACAGUCAAUCACUAGGCUAUAUUAGUGGGGCCCAGCCACUUCAAUCAAGGACAAGUCUUCAUACUUAAAGUCAAAUUCUGCCUUUAGUCUCAUUAUAAAUUGCUGUUUAAAUAUCAAGCAAACAUUUGUUUAAUGCGAUUAAGACAGCACUAACUCAAUACUUGUUCUAUUUUUGGAUGCAAAUGCUUGAUAGUUUCAUCAUUGGAGGGGAUAAAGGUGCAUUCAUGAUUAUGAAUACUUGUAGUUAUAUUUUCAUUCUCUUUUUUCUCAAUGGGACUUGUUGGCACAAUUUUGCUGUUCAGAAACCUACCUCUCCAUGGAAAAUCAGUUGUGAUUGAUAUUACUGGAUAUAUUCAAGAAAGCUAAAUGUAGAUAGCACAAAAUAUUAUCGACAUAAAUAGCAUUAACAGCGUACGUAUGUCUCAAUGCUCAUCAGCUAUAAGCAAGGGGCAAACACUUACUAUGAGCAACUUACGUCAAAAUUCCGGAAUAGGACAUAGAAGUGACAGGUCAGUAAAUAUAGAACACUGCAUAUGAGUCACAAGAAAGGAAAUUACGGGUACAUAGCAGCUCUUAUUUUACAUCCUACUCAUACUGAUCAAAGUCACUCAGUUGGGAUGGGUGGGAGUGGGAGGUUUGUGGGGUGGCUUGUGCGGAGGAGUUGGCAGCUUCUUUCCAGGACCUGGUUGCUUCUCUGCUGGAGUUGAAGGAGGCUUAAUCUUCCGAGGUGGCUUGUAUGAGUCUUCAGCAUUCUCAGCAGGAGGGUGACCAGGGUUGUGACCACAAUGUGGUGGCUUCUCUCCCUUAGGUGGUUUGCCAACUGGGGUUGGUGGCUUGUGUUCCGGAAGUGGCUUCUCUUUGUGUUCAGGAGGUGGCUUCUCCACUGGAGGCUUGUGUUCAGGAGGUGGCUUCUCCACCGGAGGCUUGUGUUCAGGAGGUGGCUUCUCCACCGGAGGCUUGUGUUCAGGAGGUGGCUUCUCCACCGGAGGCUUAUGCUCUGGUGGUGGCUUCUCCACCGGAGGCUUAUGCUCUGGUGGUGGCUUCUCCACCGGAGGCUUAUGCAAUGGUGGUGGCUUCUCCACCGGAGGCUUGUGUUCAGGAGGUGGCUUCUCUACCGGAGGCUUAUGCUCUGGUGGUGGCUUCUCCACCGGAGGCUUAUGCUCUGGUGGUGGCUUCUCCACCGGAGGCUUGUGUUCAGGAGGUGGCUUCUCCACCGGAGGCUUGUGUUCAGGAGGUGGCUUCUCCACCGGAGGCUUGUGCUCUGGUGGUGGCUUCUCCACCGGAGGCUUAUGCUCUGGUGGUGGCUUCUCCACCGGAGGCUUGUGUUCAGGAGGUGGCUUCUCCACCGGAGGCUUAUGCUCUGGUGGUGGCUUCUCCACCGGAGGCUUGUGUUCAGGAGGUGGCUUCUCCACCGGAGGCUUAUGCUCUGGUGGUGGCUUCUCCACAGGAGGCUUGUGUUCAGGAGGUGGCUUCUCCACCGGAGGCUUAUGCUCUGGUGGUGGCUUCUCGAAUGGGGGAUGCGUAGGGUAAUCAGCUAGUGAGGGGGCGGUGAGAACCACCAGGCCAAGCAACACUACUAGCAAGUAUGUAGGAGACAUCUUUGGGUUUGGGCUCAGAUGGUGCAAAACUAGGAGAAUUGGCUAGCCUUUUAUAGCGGAUCGUACCCAAUAAUGAAAUGACACGUGUCAUUAUGACCCAUGUGUCAUGUGGUCGAUUUGGGUCCUACAGUGUUGAAAACUUCGACAUCCACUUUUUUGGCCUUUUGCUUUCUCUACAGUCGCCUUGCUUUUUCCCUCUUUUCUUUUGUUUUCCUCCUGCCCCAUUCUAUCAACUAAUCACAAUUAUGUAGUUGUUUAAUUCUUAAAUGAGAUAUUAUCCGUCAAUCAUAUUAUCUUUUAUCAAGAGAGAACGGAGUGAAAAGUGGCAAUCCAAAGAAAGAAGAUCCAUAAUGCAGCUGUAAUUUUAUCGUUUACUUUUAUCUCUAGGACCACUGCAUUUUUGUUGAGAGGUGCAAUAAUACACGUCUUUAUCUGCCAUUCAAUGUUUACAGUAAAGAGAGGGCACAAAACUCUUCACUGCUCUGCAUGUGCCCCAAAAAUGCAAUUGGACAAAUUAUGAUUUGCAUGCUAAAAAGAGGCAAAUGAGGUUAAUUAGCACCAAAAUUAUUUUGUUUUCUGGACACCCCGGGGCCCUUUGGUUGGUUUGGGGGUCAGAAAAUGAACAUCAUAGGGGGUUUUUCCCUAAUGUGCAUUUGCAUUUGUAUCUGAUGGCUUUAACUCGCCUUGUUACUACAAAGAAAUUGUCACAGAUAGGAACUUAUUCCAGGCUGAGUAUCUCCGCAUGGACCCUAUAAAAGAAGACAAGUCAUAAUGAACAUCUAACCUUUGUUCAAUUUGAUUCAAUGCCCCUAUUGUGUCCAUCUCACAAAUCUGAAUUAUUAUAUCCAUUGAAUACAUAAAUUAAUGAAGAAAAUAUGAAACCCAAGAUACAUCUCUGCACAACCUCAACCCUGGUUGCUAUGUUUCACUUCUAUUCACAUGAGGAUAUUGAUUACGGAAUAAGGAAACCUAGCAAGGGUUUACUCGGCUCUGGUUUGAUGCUAAUUGCCAAACUUGCAACAAGCCCUGAGUUUGACACCUAAUCGAUGGGCGAAUUAAAAGUCUCCUCCAAACAUAUAUUCCACAGCUUGAAGCUCACAGAAGAUGCUAUACAGGCAGGGAAAAACCUUCAGAGUUAGCUACCAAAGAUAAUUAUCAAGGAGAUAUCACCAAGAGAAUUCCAUGGAGUCUGAAUCAAAGACAAAUUGCUCGCUCGUGGGGGUUCUUACUUAAUUUCUUUUGGGUAUAACUCACUGAGGGCACUGGCUUUGUUAUUUGCAUUUCGCAUUUAGAGUUCUGUUCUGGAAGGUUUGUUCUGGAAACAUAUAAAAGGAGCAUCAUUUUGUUCUAGGGUAACCCAUAGUUGUGAGUGGGUCCAUUUGCAUGCUACUUAGUUGAAAAGUUGGACAAUUUGCUCCGACGCCUACCUCCUGGAUUCCAUGCUCGGAUAAAGCAAGAAUAAUAAAAUAUUUAUAAUUUACAAAUGGGGGAAAGAAAAAAAUGUCAACAACAAACUAGGAAAAAAGAGUAGUAAAAUUUAUGCCACAUGCUAUUGAUAGAAGGGGCAUGUAUUAGAUCCAUCACCAUUUGGUAAGAUUUUAGUAUUAUAUUUUUCAAGGUUCAUUAUUUGAGGGUGUGUUCUUCAUCUCUGUUGCAUUGCUUCUUACUAGGCCCACUGAGGUGGGUUCUUCACCUUUUGUAUAUUCUCUGCACUAGAUCAAUGAGAAAGGGGGAAUUUUGGUGAAUUUGCAGCCGUUGGAUGAUUGAUUCUAGGCUCAGUCCACCAAUGAUGCUCUCUUCACUCUUUCUCAUCUAGUGUCAUUCACAACUAUGUUUUGAUUCAUAUUUGUACUAUCAAAGAUAUCUCAUUAUUCUAGCUCAUUAGGUAGAGUUCCUAAUCUUCCUCCUUUUUGGUCUAUGGACAGUAUUGGCUUCAUAUUAAGAUCAUGUUUCAAUAAUUGCACAUUAAUGAAUGGAUCAUGACCCACAUAAACAGAGUCAGGGUUGAGUCAGUGAACCCUAAAAUUUCACAAUUCUAAAUUUGGGUUCUUUAACAAUGCAGGGUCAAGGACGCGUGGUGAUGAAGGAAAGCUGGUAAGCUCAGUGUUACUUCAAUUCCUGCCAUGUAGGAUGGUGAGGAGAUAUUCACUAUGCAAUUAAUAAUAGACAAUAUUCACUAUGCAAUAAUAAAGCAUAAAUUAAGUUGAAUGAAAAGCAUUUUCUUUGCAAGGAGUUGAUUUUGGUUUCAUAGUUUGUUCAACUGCUAUUUUGGAUAGGAAAGUGUGAGGAGAAGAAAAUAAAAAAUAAAAAUAAAACAAAAAAUAAAAAAUAGAUUUUAUAAAUUCAUUUAAUUUAUUUUUUUUUUAUAAAAAUUAACUAAUUUAAAAUAUAUGUAAAUUUCUAAUUAAUUUAAUUACAUUUUUUUUUUCAGUUUUUCAUAAUAAACCAAAUAUUAGAAAAUUAUUUUUAUUAAGACACCCAAGAUGAGGUAAUAUGCAAUGAAAACAUGAAUUAUAUUAAAAUUCAAAACAAAUUAAGAGAAAUCGGAAAAUAUACAUAGAUAUCUAAACAAAGAAAUUUAAAGAGAAGGAACCACAAACUUUAUUUACAUAAUUUGAAAAUAAAAAACAUAAAACAUACUUAUAGUAAGGAGAAAUUGAAUAUCUUACAAUGGAAGAAGGGAGAAAAGCUUUGAAGAAAGCUUUUGCUUGGAAGCUUACAUGGUGAGAGGUAGAGAAAGGAGAGAGAGAGAAGAAAAUGAAAAAUGAGAAGUGGAGAAAAUUGGAAGUUUUGUGUGCUUACAACUGAGGAUAGAGCCUCCUUAAAUAGCAAAAAAUGGAAUAUUAAAUAGUACCAAUCAGGAGACAAAAUAUUGUUUGCUUUUGAAACCCGUGCAUGAAUAGUAAUCCCGUGAGUGAAUAGUGAAUAAUAAAAGUGAAUAGUAAAAGUCACUUUCUACUAUAGCACUUUAGACUUUUUCAUCGAGAAUCUUACUUUCGGCUGAGUGAUGAUAGCUGAUAGGUUGCUUUGGAUUGUGGAGUCAUAUGUUUGAUGUUUUCGGUGCUGAAACCGCUUAGUUGGAGAAUAAUCUCGUCAGUAGAGCAUCAUGAGAAGCUUGAAUGGAGAGAGCUUAAUGAUGCCAUAUGAUUGGAAGGAAUCCUAUUUUAAUUUCCUUAUUGGAGGGAGAAUACCCUCACAAUCAUCUUCAUUAUCUUGAAGGUAGUUUGAUAUAGAGUCAUCUGACUCAGCAUAAGAGUCCUCUUGGGAGAAGCUUGAACUGCUUUUGUCAAGGAUUUUCUGAAAUUCUUGAGGGGUUUUUGCUAUUGCUAACAUGGUUUGGAGUUGCUGUUUCUUAAGAAGAAACUGUGCAAUAUCAUAAGAUGAUGAAGCUUGUGUAGGAUGCUUUAGGAAAUAUUGCUUUAUUGCUUGUAGUGAGGUAUCAUUUUUCAAGGCAUCCCACCACUUAGACUUGAAAGUCCUUCCAAGGGUUGGAAAGGCUGCUGAUUCAUCUGCUAUAAUGAUAUAAUCCCACUGGACUAUCCAGGCAAGGCCAAAUUCACUAAAAAAGAAUAAUAAUUGGGGAAAACUGAAAGUUCUCUAGGGAUAACAAAAGAACUUUGGAAUAGCUCAAAGCCAUCCAAAAUGGGUUUUGGGAGAAUUUUAAUAGUUGGACCAAAAUAUGUCCACCAAUUGUGGAACCAAAAUGGAAAAGAGGGGAGUUGAUGCUUAGAUGGGAAAUAGAACAUCCCUGAAUGAUGGAAGUCCUUGUUCUGGAUCAGAAAAGCAUUGAACCAUACUCUUUGGUAGUCUCAAUAAUUGAAAAUUUUAGGUUUUGAAGGCUUAGAAAAUUCUCUUGAAAAAUUAGGAUUCCCACCCCACUGCUUAACUGUAAGGAUUUUAUAAAUAUGGUAAGUGGAGAAUGCCAAAUCCAAAUUGCUGAAUUUAUCAGCAUUGUGCUUGAUUUUAACAGAGCCGGUUUCCAUAAGGAUUGCUUCAUAAAAUUCUCUUGUUUUUAAAAGAUCACCAAAGGGAUAAUGAAAAUUUUCAUGAAAAGCUUUUGCUGCAAUAUCUCUAGGGUUUUUAGAGAAAAACUCUUUUUCAAUAACCAAAAGAGGUUGAUUUAAAUCUUUUUGCCAAUAUCUUGCUUUUGCUGAAAGAGGUGUGGGGUUGGCUACCACCACAAUUUGCUUAUUUGAAAAAGAAGAGCUUGAUGCUAAUUCAUUUUGAGAGGGAUUAGCUUUAGUAACCUGCUUAAAGGUCUGAGACACAGUAAUAGUUGGAUACUGAGUAGCCUUGACUGGUUUAGAAGGAUUCGAAGGAUCAUAGUACAAGGACAAAAUCUUAUUAGGCAUAUGGUCAGAAGAAUGAAGCCUUGCUUCUUCUUCUAGCUCAACUUGUUGGCUCCAAAGUAUUUUAUGGGGAGAAGGUUCUUUGCUGGUUUUAGAAGACUAGGAUUCUGGAAGUUUAGGAGCUUGGGUAUUCUUUUUAGGGGCCAUGGUUUCGUGAAUCCUGUAAAAUUCACAAGUUAAGAAAUCAGGGCUCGAAGAAUGUUCUCCUUUAAUAUACUCAAUUUGUAAAUUAAAAUUGCUUAAAAUAGCUUGAUAUAUAGCAAAAAUAUGCUUAGAAGUUAUAUUCUUAACAUCCUUUUGUAAAACUAAUUUUGCAAAUUUACAAUCAACUCUUAAUAAAAACUUUUGAUUCAAAAGAUCAUCUUGAAAUUUUGAAAUGCAUAAAACAACGCUUAAAGUCUCUUUUUUAAUGAUGUUAUGAAUGAGUUGGGUAGUAUUCCAGGUUCUUGAAGUAUACCUAACUAACAUCUCAAGGUUACCAACACUUUGCUUAAGAAUCCCACCAUAACCUAUGUCUGAGGUAUCGAUCCCAACAAACUCAAAGGUUUCUGGAUUGAUAGAGCCUAAACAUGGUAGGGUCUUGACUUUGGACUUAACAUCAAUAAUGAAAACAAUGGUGAAAACAGAAAACUGGUUAAAGUUUUCAUCCAUUAUAUUCUGGAAUUCUGAGGUGCAUUCUUAAGAUCAAAGGGCAUUAUGAACCAUUCAUAAUGUCCAAGAGAUACCACAAAGGUGGUCUUAUUUGGAAUAGGACACCUAAUCCAACUUAAUGUAUCAUUAAGAGGCAUGUAGUUGACGACUAGUCUAGGUGUUCCUUUUUCUGAUUCAACUUGUUCCUGAACAUAGAAGGUUGAACAACUCCAAAGGGACUUAGACUUCCUUAUCAACUUUUUAUCAAGAAGAUCCCAAAUCUCCUUAUCACAAUAGCUUAACAAACCCUUGUUCAUCUGGAUAGGUCUUGAUUUAGUGGGAAUAUUCUUGUCACUAAAGUCUAGUUCAUAAGGUAAUUCUACCUCAUGUUGUUUCCUAUGCCAAAAUGCAUUAGGAAUGUUAGAGCAAACUUCUUCAACAAUCAGAUUAAUUUCUUGCUCAUGACUUUCCUUAGCUUGAAUCACCUGAUCCCUUAAGGUGUUUAUAUUUUUCUUAUUAGGUGGUUGGCAAAUUCAAAAAUAAUUUCCUUAUCUAAGAGCUUUGUUCUUAUACUUUGGUCAUCUACCCACAUGGGAUAGAUGGAGCUUAAAAAGGGGAUUCCAAGGAGAGCUUUCUCCUUAAGAUCCUUAACUAGAAUGAAGGUUUGCUUGAUGCAAAUGCCUUGGUUAUUUAUGUGAGCAUCUGACAGCUUAUACUCAAUGUCAAGCCUUUUACCAUUAGCUCCAAAGAGAGAUUCUUUGGUUUUCUUACAAAACUUAAUAGGACCUAGACCUUCUUGUAGGCAAUUCAAAGCUGUUCCUGAAUCAAUCAAAGCAACAAUAUCAAUGACAAAUUUACUCUUAAUUACUAUAGUAAGGGAGACUUUCCACCUCUGGAAAAUAACCCUACUAACAGUAUUUAAGUAUCCAUCCGUCUUUUCAUCAUUAGCAUGUGAAGAUUCUAGAACCUCUUCAAGGUUUUCCUAGUUAUCAACAAGAUUUUCUAUAACAAUCCUAUUUAUUUGUUCUUGGAGAUCUGAAAAACCUAAGCUUGUGUAUUGUCUUAAAUCUUUAAUUUCCUUCUUAUACUGUCUUACUUCUUCUUGAAGAUCCUUAAUGGUUACGUCUUUGGUAGACUACUGGUUAAAUCUUCCUAAGAUUUCAUUUAAGUUAUAAGAAUUUACUGUCUUCUUAAUCUCUUGCUUAUCGACAAAUUUCUUAAAAACUUCAUAAAGAUCUUGUUUAGUUUUUUCAUCUUCAACUUUCCUUAAAACAUCUAGGACAAGUUCUUGAUCUUGGCUUAUGACAUUUAUAGUCUUAGGUUGGCAAUCACAAUUAUCCUUAAUGUAUUCUUCUUGGUCACUAGAAGUUUGGCUUGAGAUUUCCUCACCACUACUAUCUAGUUGGUUAAUACCAUUUUCAUUAUCUGAAUCAAUCCUUGAUUCAGACUCUGUGGAAUUUAACAUUACUUUACAAAGCAUAUCUUUUAAGUCUUCUGUGACAUUUAAGUUAUUAAUUUUCUGCUUAACCCUACAAUCUUUCUUAUAGUGGCCUAUCUUACCACACUUAAAACAAACUGGCUUAGAUUGUGAAGGAGCUUCUAGCUUUUUAUGGGCUUCUUUGUUCAUCAUUCUUUGGAUGUGCCUUUGUUUCUUAGUUUCAUUCAUCCUAUAGUUGCCAUGAGUUCCUCUCUUGUUGUGAUAGGACUUUUCCUUACUAGGCUUUGUACUUACUUGUUUCUUACGUUGCUUAGAGGGGGGCUUAGUUUCUUUUUGGUUGAAUCCAAACUAGCUACAAAAUGAACCAAACUCAUUCUUGUAGAUCCUUUGUUCAUUUUUCAUCUGUUGCUUAAGCUUAAAGUCAUUGCACAGUUUAAUUGCUUCUGAUGUGACAAUGCUUAUAAUUUCUCCAUAAGAAAGCUUAUCAUAAGGGAUUUGUCCAUUAAACUGUUCCCUUAUCUUAAUCCUAAUCCUCUCAGAGAAAAGUCUAGGUAGUCCUAAGAUGAAUUUUUCUUUCCAAAAAGACUGGUUAUAGUUUGAUCUUAGUAUGACUUUGGUUAGGAAAACUUCUCUAUACCAUCUAAAGUCAUGAAGCUUGGGACACUUAAGGUUGGUUAAGAGAUCUACAAUCUUAUCCUUAAUCUUUGCAGGAUCUCCAAUGAAGUGCUUUGAAAUUGAAUAGAUUAGAGUAGCCACUACAUCCUCUAUAUCUUGUCCAUCUUCAUCCUUAACCACUUCAUUUUCCUCAUUAAUCCUAUAGGCUUUUAGGAUACCAUUUCUAUCCUCAAAGGUGAGAUAAUUAUCCCACCAACCCUAAAGUUGACCUGUAAACCCAACAACAAUUGUUUGAGCUACAGCAUGGCCUGACAAUCUAUUGUUUAACUUAUAGGUUGUACUAACCAUGGUCAUUUCUUGAAGCUUAGUGAGUAUGUUGUACUCAAUCAUACCAUCUAUGUUCCAUUCAUAGAUAGUGUCACUAGUGUAGGAAGCUUGAGUAUGCUGGUUUCUUUCCUCAUACUACAUAUCAGGAAAAGUUGGUCUAGGGUAGUAAUUCCUAGUUCUUGGUUGUUGAUAAUCCUCAUAACUGUUUGGUUAGGAGGUUCCUUAAAAAUCUUAAUUAGUUCAUCAGCCUCUGCUUCAGAACUAAUUUCUCCUUUAACCAUAUUGAUUCUCUUGUGAGAUGGUUGAGGUGUCUCAGAGACAACAAGGCUAUCCUUAACCUUUUGGCUUAUCCUAUCAAUGAGGGCUUGAUCAAUAUGGAGAUUCUCUAGGAAUUUCUUAGAGAAUUCAAAAGGCUUAAAUAAAGACUUAUUAUCUUUCUUAACAAACGUAGUCUUAAUGUAGUCUUGUGUUUCAAUGAUAUCCUCAAACUUGUUGAGUUGAUCGCCUGUAGUCUUAAGAAACAUGUUAGUGUAGUUGUUUUGUUCCAUGAUUCUUCUAACGUCAACAACACUAUCAAUUCCUUUAUUCUUUGGCCUAGUCUUAAAAGGUGAAGCUUUGACUAUGGUUCAAUUAAUGUUCUUUUAUAUCUUAGCUUCUAGAGGGUGGAUGGAUUCUAUGAUAGUAUCGUCACUAGUUUUCCAUAUCUUAGUUUUUUUGGAUGUGUCAUUGACACGCUUACUAGGGUAAUCUAGAUAUUCCUCUUGUUUGAAGAGUUCAAACCAGAUCCAAUACUUAAUGUUCUUCUUUUCUUGUCUUAAGUAUGUGUAGAAUUCUUCUUGGUAGAGGGUUCUAAUGUCUUUAAGGACCUUGCUAAAGAACCAAACUCUCCUUUUCUUAUUGACUUCAGAAUAGAAGUCUUUCCUUAAGAGGUCCUUGUUGAUUCAAAGUCUUCGUUAAUUAGGCUUACAGUGUUAAUCAACUGAGAAUAAGUAGGAGACAUAUCAGGAGAUUCGUCCUGAUGUGAUUCUUGAGUAAACUCAUUUUCCUCCAUGUAAAAGGGUUUGGCCACGUUGGUGUGACUUCUAACACCUGUUAGCUUAAUAUUCUUAGGAUUUGCUGAACUAGAUCCUUCCUCUAUCCUAGUGGUUCUUAUUGGGAUAGAUGAACUUGAAGCUCUAGAGGGCUCAUAAUAUGAAAUUCUAAGGCUGCUAGAAUGAUGAAAAGAGUUGGAGAAAAUUAGAUCUCGUUCUCCAUCAGGAUAUUGAACAAUCUGUUCAAUUCUUUCAGAUCUUUGCUCUAUGGCUGGGACAACAUUAGCAAAAUGCCAAUUUUCUGGAAACUCAACCUCAUUCCACUUGAUUUUCAUGGGGACUAUGAAAUUAGACUUGUUUAUCAUAUCUAAGUGGAAGAUAGUGGUUUCACCCUUGGGACUGGUGCACAAUGCUCCAAAUCCAACGCUUAUGGUCAUGCUCUUAUAGGCAAAUCUGGUGAUGAUGGAAACAUGAUUGUUUCCUUGCUUGAACUUAAAGUCAUGGGUCUUAACAUGAAGGACAACUGAAUCUAAGAUGUUGACAUCUCUUAGUCUAACUGUGAAGUUAGGGAAACACUGGAAAUAAACAGGACCAUCAUUUAAUCCUGCUUGGGUAGCUCCAAUAAUAGAAUCUCGGUAAUCAAGAUGUCUAUUAUCUCUUAAACACAUGACAAUAAAGGUGUUUAGACCUAGUCUUGUCAAGGGCUUAGCUGCAACUUGAAUCAUGCCAAAGUGUAUGAAGUUGUAGUCUCGCUUAUGCUUAUCAAUGGACUUACUAUCCAAGAGUCUUAUGACUUGAUCGUCGUGUUCUAAACUUACUGACAUUUCAGGGGUUUUAAUGGUGUAAUCUGUAAAGAACUUAAAGGUUCCUUUCUUAUAAAUUUCUUGAUUAGGUACCUUGGGUAACUUCCAAUCAUCUAAAUCAUCUUGGAUCUUAGGAUAAUUGAUCUCUUCAUUGUUUACUCUUGAGAAUUUGUGGAUUUCCUAGACAUGGUUCUGAAAAUCAAACUCAUUUUAAGGUUUUAAUCUAGAGCCUAAUAGCAGAUUAACAGACCUAGUGAGUAAUCACCCCAACCCUUUUCCAACCUUAACAAACGCCUAUCUCCAGCUAACAAUGGGCUCAACUCGGCAAGGAUCGCACUCAGGCACACUACUAUCUUUCCUAGGAUAGAUCAAAACACCCAAAACAAACCCGACUUCCUUUUCCUAGGAUAUAUAUAGUAUUUUGGGUUUGAGUAGGAGUUCAUGUUUUGUAUGUAAUUGUAGUCUACGUUGGACUAGGUUGUUUGCUCCUAAUUGAAAUAGGAAUGGUUGGUGUCACAUCUCAUUCAUUUUCUCAUCUAUUUCCAUGUUUAGAUAACUCAAGUAAUCAUAGGAAUGAAAUUAAGAAUGAUUUGAGGGAAAUGAAAUCUCACUUGUAAGUGGGAUCUCAAUUCAUCAUUAAUAGAAGGUAUUUUGAUUACAUAGUGCAAGUUAUUUUUAAAAACACUUUUCAAAAAUUGAAAAACCAAAAACUCUCUUGGAUAAGUUGUUUUUAAAAAGAAUUUUUGUAUUUUUAUUUUGUAAAAAAAAAAAAUAGUAAUUCAAUUUAUAUAAUAUAAAUAGACUUUAAUUUUAUUAAAAAUAAAAAUAAUUUUUUAAUUACAAAUAAAUUAAAAAAUAAAUAUUUGUAAUAAAAUAUGAAUAGUAAUAUUAUAAUAAAAUCAUAAAUAAAUUAAAAAUAUUUUUAAAAACAAAUAAGUUUAAUUUUUUUGAGGUACAAAUGAGCCAAAUUUUUCAUUAGGUACACAACCAACAAUUUUUAUUGGAAACAUUCCUCAAAAAAGAAUUCGUUUCCCAUAUAGCAAAGAUAUUUAUUAUUUAGUAUCUAACCAUCCGUAGUAAUCAUAUCAAUUCUACUAAGUUAUUUAAUAAUUCAUUUAUAUAUAGUACUCAAUUAUGAAUUUUUUUAUUUGAUGUAUAAUUAAUUAAUCAAUGUUUUGAAUUUUGAAUUAUUCUUAAAAUUUAAAACAUUAAUUAUGUCUAUUACUUUUUAUAGUCAUUAUAUAUAUAUAUAUAUAUAUAUAUAGAGAGAGAGAGAGAGAGAGAGAGAGAGAGCUUAAAUUUAUCUUUAAAAAUUAUUAAAUUUAUUAAUAAAUUCAAUACAAAGACUCAUUUGAUUUGAAAUUCAUUUCUUUAGUGAAAAUUUUGAAACUAAAUAGUACUUUGUUUUACUUUGUUUUUAAAUCAUACUCACAAAUAAGUUUUUAUCAUUUAGCCAAAAAAUCUCAAAGAUGUUUCUAAUUUUAUUUAUUUAUUUAUUUGUAAAUGAAAAUAAAAAAUUAGUUUAAACUAAAUAUGCGGAUAUUAUUGUUAAUUUAUUUCAUUUUUUAUUUCCAUUGUUAUUUAACAUUGAAACGGAAACAAAUAAUCAUUCCAAUCUUACAUUCUUAUAUGCAUCUAAACACAAGAAUUGAAAUCACCAAAUUCAUAUUCAAGGCAAAAUAGAAAUGGAAAAAAAAUAUUCAUUUUCAUUCCUCAUUCUCAUGUGCUAAACAUGACAUUAGUUCUACUACCUAUUUCACCAUUCUUCUUGAUAAAUUUGGUAUAUGCAAUAUUGAUCUAAGUGUGAGGUGAAUAAGAAUGAUGAUGGGAUGGGCUUGGAAAUAAGGGCAAAGUUUCUAGGUGCUAUCUAGAGGGGCAACGCGACUUUUUCAAAUUUCGAAUAUUUGUUCUCAACAUAAAGCAAAACUUUACUCACACAAUAGAUAAGACUCUGUUUGUUUUCUUCAUCCACGACUAUAUAAUGUAUAGCUCUUACUCAAGGGAUGAGCUACUUACUAUUAAGGAUUGGGUAAGAUAUUGCCUAAUGGCCAAGAAGGCAUGUCAAAAAAUAAAUCUAAUCACCAUAAAAAAUAAUAGGGGAAAAUUAAUAUAUUAUGAAUGAUGACUUUACUAUUUCUCUAUAUACAUAAUUAUAUAUUUUGAAUUUUCUCACUAGGUAAUGAGAUUCUAAAUCAACUGAAACAUAAUUAAUAAUUUAUAUUUUUAAUGAAUCUUUUAAUUUUUAAAAAUAAUUUAAAAUUUUAAAAAACAAUUCAAUUAAUUACAUAUUAAAUCAAAACAUUUCAAAAUAUUGUGUUUGUAGAUGAGUACUAAAUGCUUGCAUAUAAUAAUAAUAAUAAAAAAAUUGACUCAUUUAGAUGUUAAAAAAGUUAAAUGUUUUUCAUUAUUCAUUUUAAGUAAAAUAUUAUUGACAUUAUUAUUAUAAAAUUAUUAUUAUUCAUUUUUAACAAAAAACAAAAUAAGUUAUUCUUUUACCAAGAUGUCAAUAUCUAUAUUUUUCUAACAUAUAUUAAAAUAGUAUACUUUUCUUUUAUUAAAAAUAAUAAUUAUUAUUAUAUUAUUAUUCAAGUUUUAUUAAAAAAAUUUAUCUUUUAAUUCAUUUGUAAUUACAAAAUAAUUUUAUUUUAUUAAGAAUUUAAUUUAAUUACGCUUUUUUUUUUUAUAAAAAAAACAGUUAUGCUUUUACCAAGAUGUUAAUAUUCAUAUUUUUCUAGCUAACAUAAAUAGAAUAGUACACUUUUUCAUAUAAAAAAAUAAUUUAUGAUUUUAUUAUAAUGUUACUAUUCACAUUUUACUAAAAAUAUUUAUUUAUUUUAUUUAUUUUUAAUUAUAAAAUAAUUUUAUUUUCAAGAAUUUAAUUUUAAAAAAAUAGAAAUCAUUUAUUCUUUUACCAAGAUGUUAAUAAACAUAUUUUUCUAACAUAUACUAAAAUAAAAAAGUUUACUUGUUCAUUAAAAAAUAUAAUUUAUGUUUUUAUUAUAAUACUACUAUCUAUGUUCUACUAAAAAUAUUUAUUUAUAAUUAAAAAAUAAUUUCAUUUUUAAUAAGACUUGAACUAAAUUAAAUUUAUAAUUUUUUUUUAAAAUAAAAUAGAAAAUUAUUUUUUAAAAACAACUUAUUGAAAGAAAUUUUUUAUUCUUUACUUUUAAGAACUGUUUUUAAAAGCAACCUAUAAACCCCUUUGGGUCUGUUUGGCUAUGUUUCAUGCAACUUGUUUUUAAAAAUUGUUUUUUAUUCUUUAAUUUAAUUUUUUUUAAGUUAAAGAAUAAAAAACAACUUUCUAGUGUUUUAUAAAAAUGAGAGCUUUUGACAAGUUGUUUUUAAAAACCAUUUUUAAAAAUAAAAAAUAAAAAACUUAUUUAGAUAAAUUGUUAUAUAUAUAUAUAUAUAUAUAUUUGUAAAAACAUUUUAAAUUCAAUUUAUAUAAUAUAAAUUUAAUUUAAUUUAAGUCUUAUUAAAAAAAAAUUGUUUGGAUAAGUUUUUUUUUUUAAAUAGUUUAUUAUUUUUGUUUUGUAAAAACAUUGCAAAUUCAAUUUAUAUAAUAUAAAUUAAUUUAAUUCAAGUCUUAUUAAAACCAAAAUAAUUUUAUAAUUACAAAUAAAUUUAAAAAUAAUUUUUUUAGUAAAACAUGAAUAAUAAAAUUAUAAAUUAUAUUAUUGUGGACCCUGCAUUUAUGCUCAUGCGCUUCCACUUGUUGGCGAACUCAUUUUUUAUUUGAAAAUGAUUUAUUUUUUUAGAAAAUGACUUAGAGUCGCCACUUAUUUUUGUUUUAUUUUUAAAGGGCAAGCAAAAUAAGAAAGAAAACCCUAAGUGUGACUCCUUAUUCGAAAAAGGUAGUCUGUGUAAAACCGGAUCAGGGUUCAGGGAUCAGGUUACUUAUUGGGAAGGUAUGACAAUGACCGUAGCACUCCUCUAAGUCCUUAAAAACGGGCCUCUACUAAAAAAAAUAAAGUAAUCAUGGCAAUCAGUAAGGAAAUCACUGGAUACCCAGAACAAUUAUGCACAUGUGAGAAUUAAAACAUGCAUAAGAAUGGACAAAGUGAGAGUGGGUGCGUACCUUGACAACGAACCACAAUGCGUUAUCAAGAAAUGGGGUUAGUGCACGAUCAAUGAACAUAAAACACGUCACACAUGUCACUAAGCAGAGUGAGAAAUCAUCAGAUAUUACAAUUCAAUCAAAUUUAUUUUUAGAAGAAACAUCUGUUGAUGUAGAGCCCCUACCAAAGCCUAAUUUAUUUUUGCAUGAAUCAAUUUCAUAAAUUCAAUCGCUUGGAAUUACAGAAUUAAAUUCAUGCUUAUUUUAAAACAUCUUUUUAAAAUCAUGGAAGAUGUGAAAAUGGUUUUCCAAAGAGAAAAUGACAACUGAUUUUAUUGAAAAUGGGAUUUUGGGGACCUAAACGUUAAAGAGGGAUUAGGAAUUGAAAAUUAAAUCAUUUGAAAAUUGAAUUUUUCAAAAAUCAGUUUUGAAAGCAUGCAUGCAAGUAUGGACUGUGAAAGUGGGCCUAGGGAGGGUGGCCAUGCAAAAUGAGGUCAUACACGUGGGCCUUGGGUACAAUUGGGACUACUUUGCUGGUGCCAGUGGUGCUUGCAGCUGUCAUCCAUGAUUUCUUCAUUGGGAUCAAUUUCCAUUCUUACUGCCAAACAUUCCAUAACAAUUGACCAAACUAGUAACCCUGACCUUGCAUGAAAAUGAACGUUACCUAGAAACUCACUGCCAGUGAGAUUCAUUGCUCUUUCAAAAGGUCUCAUUUUCUUUCUCAUCCAAUUGCUUUAAGGAGCAUUCUAGCGUCACGAUUGGUGACUGCGCAUCAUCUAGAGCCUUCUUUCUUCUCAGAAUCAGGUUUGCGUGCAGAGGCCUGUGCUUGUUCAAGGUUGACCUAAAUUCAUCUAGGUUUAGAACCGACCAGUUGAGCUUGGGGAGCAACGACAAGAAUAUCAGUCACUUGCGAAGAGAAAACUCGAGAUCUUUCAAGUAAUGCCUGACAUAGAUUCCUCCAACCUGUGGCCAAUAUCUCAUUCCUUGUUGGCCAGACGCCUAUUAGGGCGUAUCUCAAUCAAUAAUAUGAUUUUUCGUUUGUUCACAAUAAAGACCGGAAGCCAUGGUUGUGAUUUAUGCAGUACAGAAGAAGUUGCCAUGGCUGGUAUCCUUACAAAUUCUGGUGUUUCUGCUAUCUGUUCAAGUGCAAAACACAACAGCUUUAUCAAGUUUGUCCCUAACAACUGAUAUUGAGCCCUCUGGAGGAAACCUUGAUAAAUUCAUAAUCACUUUUGACUCAUGCAUGGGCUGCCCAUCAAAUUUUCCUAGCAACGAGACGACUGCUGUCAUCUACUGCAAAGAGAAUUUCUUCUCGCAAAGACAAGAGGAGUUUAAGAAUACACACUAUUCUGCCAUUUCAUUUCCUCUUUCUCCACAACCAACAUAAACCAUAGUGUCUACAUUAGAGUACUUAGAAAGAGCUUAACUGAUGACCGUUUUUCCACAACCAAAUGCCCCAGGUAUGGCACAAAUUUCACCGAAAACAGAAGGGAAAAGGGCAUCAAGAACACGCUGUCCUGUAAGUAGUGGGGUAUCAGGACUACUCUAGGGAAGUUAUUUCUGUCAUUUUGAAAAAGAAAAAUUAAAGAAUGUACACAUGCUUUCAAGUGGACUGGAGCAUUCUACAUAUCAGGUGGUCUGUAGCCACAUGUGCCACUUUGUGGAAGUUGGAACAGUCGAUCACUAGGCUAUUUAGUGUGGCCAAGCCACGUUAAUCAAGGACAAGUCUUCAUACUUAAAAGUCAAAUGGUGCCUUUAGUCUCAUUACACAUGGCUAUUUAAAGAUGAACUAAUCUUUAGUGUAAUGUGAUUAAGACAGUACUAACUGAUCAAUAUUUUUUCUAAUUUUGGAUGCAAAUGCUUGCUGGCUUCAUCAUUGGAUGGGAUAAAGGUGCAUUCAUGACUCUGAAUACUUGCAGUAAUACUUGCAGUAAUACUUCAUUCUCUUUUUUCUCGAUGAGACUUCUUGGCACAAUUUUGCUUCUCAGCAACCUACCUCUCCAUGGAAAAUGAGUUGCGAUUGAUGGUACUGGAUAUUUUCUAGGAAGCUAAAUAUAGAUAUAUAGCACUCAAUGUCAACGAUAUAUAUAGCAUUAACAGUAUAUGUCUCAAUGCUCAUCAGCUACAAGCAAGGGACAAACACUUACAAUGAAUAACUCACGUCAACAUUCCUAAACAGGACAUAGAAGUGACAGAUCUAUAUAUAGAACACUGCAUAUGAGUCACAAGAAAAGAUAAUACGGGUGCAUAGCAGCUCUUAUAUUACAUAUUACUCAUACCGUUCAAAUUCACUCAGUUGGGAUGGGUGGGAGAAGGAGGCCUCUGGGGUGGCUUGUGCGUGUGAGAAGUGGAAGAAAGUUGAAUGGAAUGAAACUGAAAAACAGGGUAGAAUAGAGGUUUCUUGAAUCUUCUGAAAUCUUUAUUUUUCUGAGAUUUAUUCUCUGUUUUUGUGAGUCGUGACUCUACAUAUAUACAUGUAUUUAAAGUUAGUUAUGCCUUAUAACUAAUUAUCUAACAGUACCAAAACUAAUCAUCUAGUUGCAUGUUUCUAAUUAAUGCUAUUUAGUUACAACUAUAUAUGGCUUAACAUCCUCUCUCAAACUCAAAAGUCUAGCUAGAACAGUGAGUUUGCUUCAUAGAUUGAGAAAUUGUUGAAUAGGUAAGGCUUUGGUAAGAGCAUUAGCAAUCUGGUCAUAAGAAGGAAUGUGUUGAACCACCAAAGUCUUAUUGAGCACCUUUUCCUGAACAAAAUGGCAAUCUAGUUCCACAUGCUUAACUCGAGAAUGAAAAUAGGAUUGGCAGCAAGAAAGGUGGCUGAAAGAUUGUCAUAGAACAAAACAAAAUAGGAGAAUAAGAAGAUGAGAUAGAAAACUCCUGAAGAAGAUGUUGAAUCCAUUGAAGUUCAAAAGCAACAUUUGCUAAGGCCCUAUACUCAGCUUCAUUGCUGGAACGAGACACAACUUUCUGCUUACUGGAGUUCCAGGAGACUAGAUUAGAGCUAAAAAAGAUGCAAUGACCACUUGUACUUCGACGAUCAUCAGGGCAACCAACCCAAUCAACAUCAGCAUAAGCAGUAAGUUGAAAAUCAGGAGAAGAAUAAAAGGAAAGACCAAAGGAAGUAGUGCCCUUAAGAUAAUGCAACAAUCGUUUAACAACUUGCCAAUGAAGAUCAGUUGGUUAUUGCAUGAAUUGGCAAAGUUUAUUGAUAGAGAAAGAGAUGUCAGGCCUUGUAAUGGUACAAUAUUGCAGGGCUUCAACAAUGUUGCGAUAUUGAGAAGGGUCAGCCAAGAGGGAACCUUUAGAGGCAGAUAAAGUGUGAGAGGUAGUCAUUGGUGUAUCAAUAGGUUUAAAAUAUGGAAGACCAGCACGAGUUAACAAGUCCUGAAUAUAUUUGGUUUGGGAAAGAUGAAGAGAAGAUCCUUGCCAACAUACUUCUACACCCAAGAAGUAAUUCAGAAUACCAAGGUCCUUGAGAGCAAACUGAAAGUGUAAAGACGAAACCAUUUGGUGGACUAGCACGGUAUUAAGACCACUAACAAUAAUGUCAUCAACAUAGAUGAGAAUAAUGAUCAUGUCAGUCCCUUUCCGAAGAGGAGCUUGCUUCAGACCCUACAAGGCUUUGCGAAGUUUACAGAAAAAACCGGGUUUAGAAUGAUCAACAAAGCCUGGAGGUUGAACCAUGUAAACCUCUUCUUCUAACUCACCAUUGAGAAAGGCAUUAUUAACAUCUAAUUGUUCCACUAACCAACCAUGAGAAAUAGCAAGAGAAAGAACAAUUCAUAUAGUAGUUGGUUUAACAACAAGGCAAAAGGUUUCAAAAUAAUCAAUACCAUAUGUUUGAUUAAAACCCUUUGCAACUAAGUAGGCUUUAAAACGAUCAAUUGAGCCAUUAGCUUUGAGUUUCAGCUUGUAUAUCCAUUUACAACUAAUAAUGCGUGUAUUAACAGGUUUAGGAACCAAUGUCCAUGUGGAAUUGGUGAGAAGAGCAUCAUACUCAGUCUUCAUAGCAGCUUGCCAAUUAGGAUGCAAUAUUGCUUCUUUGAAAGAGGAGGGUUCGACAACAGUAGUUUGGAUAGCAAGGCUAAAUAUUUUUUUGGGUUUAAAAAUACCAUUUUGGCUACGAGUAACAAUAGUUCGGUUUGGAAGUGAAAGAGGAUCAGUGGAGGAGGCUGGAACAAGGGAUUGUGGUAAAGUAGGAAAGGAAGGUGGAUGAGAUGGAACAAAAUCAGUAGGGACAAUAAUGGGAGAAGAAAAAUUAGGUGGAGAAUGAUGAGGAUUCCUUGAAGAUGGUGUAGGAAUAGAGAGAAUACCAGAAUCAAGAAGUGUUAAAGAAGAGUUGGAUGAUGAUACUGGUUGACAGGAUAAAGACUUUGUUAAAAAUGGAAAUCGAGUUUCAUCAAAUACAACAUGACGAGAAGCAUAUAUCCGAGAGGAAGCCAUAUCCAAACAGAGGAAUCCCUUGUGUUUAGCACUAUAACCCAAAAAACAGCAAACAACAAAUAUAUUUGCUAGCUUGUGAGAAGCAUAAGGGCGAAGAUAAGGAAAACACAAGCAUCCAAAACUUCAAAGAGAUGUAUAAUAAGGUAAACGAUUAUAAAGAACUCCAUAAGGAGAAUUUUGUGAAAGAACAGCAGAGGGAAGGCAAUUUAUGAGAAAAAUGGCAGUUUGAAAUGCAAAUGACCAAUAUUUGAGAGGGUAUACCAGCUUGUAUUAACAAAGAAAGACCAACUUCCACAACAUGACGAUUCUUUCUUUCAACUCUUCAAUUUUGCUAAGGAGUAUAAUGACAAGAGACUUGAUGAAGAAGACCAUUUGUAGCCAAAUAAUUCUGAAAAGCUGAAACUGAAACUCAUCAAAUUGAUUUUUAGUAUCAAAUUUUCUUCAGACUGAACACAUUGAUUUUUAGUAUCAAAUUUUCUUUCAACCAUGGCUUGAAAAUGUUGGAACAUAAGUAAAGCUUCAUCUUUAGUUUCCAAAAGGUACAACCAUGAGAAUAUGCUAAAAUCAUCAAUUAGCAAGAGGAAAUAUUGAGCAUUACCAUUGACAGAAACUAUAGGAGUUGCACCCCAAAGAUCAACAUGGAUGAGACCGAAUGGUUUUAUUGCUCUAGAAGUGGAUAUUUCAAAUGGAAAACGAUGGCUUUUAGCCAACUGACAAGACUCACAUACAGAGUUAUUAUUGUCAUGUUUCAAAGGUAUUUUAUAAAGAGAUAAGAUUUUGGAAACUACAUUAAUAGAGGGAUGACCAAGUCUAUUAUGCCAAAGCCUCAAAGAACCAACGGCUAAAGUACUACUAGUAGAGUAAAAUACUAGUGGAUGACCAACAACUCUUGGUGUAGCAAGAAGUUUAUAGAGACCCUUCUCAAUUUUUCCUUGAAGAAGAGCAAGUCUCGUUUCCUGAUCCUUUACCACAAAAUGAGAAGAACGAAAUUCAAUAAAGGUGCCAUUGUUUGAGUAAAAUCGUUGCACGCUAACUAAGUUGGUGGUAAUAGAAGGAACAUGUAAGACAUCAUUGAAAAACAAAGAACCACUUGAAGAGGCAAGAGAAAAUUUACCAAUAUUUGCAAUGGAUAAACCCUUACCAUCUCCAACAAUUACUUUGUCACCACUGGUAAAUGGAUUAUGGAUUGUUAAAUUGUUAAGAUCAGAUGUGAGAUGAUGGGUAGCCUUUGUAUCAAGAAACCAAUAAGUGUCUCCCAUUGUUGCAGAAGUUGUAGUCAUAGCCUCAGGAUUGUUAGAGGUGGAAUGUUUAGAAUCUUUUGGCUGAUAAUCAGAGUUAAACCGAUACCAGCAUUGUAAAGCGGUGUGUCCGAACUUACAACCGAGAGAAAUAAUCUUUACUUAUUCUCUAAAAACUGUUCUUUAUUCCACACAUUAUUUCUAAAAACUGUUUCUAGAUAACAAUGACAAAAUAGUAUUAGGAAUUUUUAAAAAUAAAAAUUGUUUUUAAAUUACAUGAUCUAUAUCAUUCACAUUUGACCAUUAUAGCUUUGUUCAGGAAAACACUUGAAAGUAACCUUAUCGUGAUAAGAGAUAUAAGUUGGCUGUAGUUUCAAACUGAAAACAGAGGAUGGCAAUAGAAAGCAAAGCAUUAGUUAUCUGCAAUCAGUGGUGAUCAUGCCCCAUGUCAAUUUCGGACCCAUAUCUUAAAACCGUAUAAUUUGCAUUUCAACAUUUCUGAUUUCUCAGAUGUUUCAUACUCCACAGAAGAACAUUGUUUGUGAAAGCAUGCAUUUAUGCUGGAUUUUGGAUGAUGUGGGAACUGGGGCAAGGAUCAUAUGGAAGAGUGGUCGAUUUUUUCUGUACUUUAACAUUUGAAAUAGGAGCAGCACGGGCAUUUGUGGGGCUUAAUUGAUUUUGAAGCCUGAAAUUGCGUUUCUGUCAUUUUGUAAAAAAUAUGGCAGAUUCCAUGCUCUCAUAUGUUUGGUCUGUGGCCAUGUAUAGAUGCCACUUAGUGACCAGUUUGUAACUGUCAAUCAUAGUGUUUUGACUCUGGCUCAACAACAUCAGCCAUUGACGGAUUUUCAUACAUGCAAAUCAAAUAGUCUUCUUCCUCCCUUAGGAAUUUCGGUUUAAAUGUUAUUAAGCAUACAUUUGGCUGACAAUUAUUAACCACUUCAUGAUAUGGUUUCUUACCCUUAAUCAAUGGUUUCUAAGUGAAUAUAUGCAGAAGGAAAUCUGAACUGUAGACAGCAGUAUUGAUAAUUAUCAAUAUUCUUUAUAUAAGAGAAUAAACAACGUCAUAGUGAUCGUCGCCUACAAGAAAGGUACAUUUCCCAACAAGAUGUAGUUGUGACUGGUACAUGGACGUAAUUAACUCGUAGAAAAGGAUAAGACCAGUGCACGGCAGCUCUUAUUUUACAUGCUAAUUAUGCUAACCAAAGUCACUCAGUUGGGAUGGGAGGGAGAUGGAGGUUUGUGCGGUGGCUUGUGGGGCGGAGUUGGUGGCUUCUUUUCAGGAGCUUGUGGCUUUUUCGGAGCUGAAGGAGGCUCAAUCUUAUGAGGCGGCUUGUACGAGUCUUCUUUACUCUCGACAGGAGGGUGGCCAGGGUUGUGACCAUAAUGUGGUGGCUUCUCUCCCUUAGGUGGCUUGCCAACUGGGGUUGGUGGCUUGUGUUCAGGAAGUGGUUUCUCUCCCUUGGGAGGUUUACCAAUUGGGGUUGGUGGCUUGUGUUCUGGGAGUGGUUUCUCUCCCUUGGGAGGUUUAGUGGGUGACUUGUGUUCUGGAGGUGGCUUCUCCACCGGAGGCUUGUGCUCCGGUGGUGGCUUCUUGGUUGGAGGGGGCUUGGGGUAAUCAGCAAGAGAUGGGGGGGUGAGAACCACCACUCCAAGGAACAACACUAGCAAGUAUGUGGGAGACAUUUCUGAGUUUGAGCUGAUCAGAUGAUGCAAAACUAGAAGAAUUACGUGACCUUUUAUAGCAAGUAGCUCCCAAUACCCACAUGACACGUGUUACUGUGACCAUAAAUAUUAUAGGGUCCAUUUGUGCCCUACCGGGUUGAAAACUUGGACGCUUGGCCGAGGACACACCGAACUAUGGAGGACUAUUGACGUGUGAUCACAGCUUUUGGAUUUUUCUUCCUGUGCAGCUGUCUAGCGGUUGGCAUUAUUUUUUUAAUCUUAAAUAAAGGCAUAGUUAUAGAGUACAUUUAUAUAUCUUCAGAUAGCCAUUAAUAUAUUUGAUGAAGAAAGACAAGUGCAUACAACAUGUAUACGGCUUGCUUCAAUCGAGUACAUUUAUGAUCAGUUUUCCAGUGCAAGUAAACCAGUUUUUUGUUCCACAACUAUUUUGGAAUCUUGUUUAUCAGUUUCUAUCAUUAUAAUGUCACAUAGGCUGCAAACUUGGGCACCCAAAGAUCUAGUUGGGCAAAUUUGUUUCAGAAUUUCAAUGGUGGAUUCAGUAAUUGUUAAAAGGUGUUUCUUCAUUAAGGAAAGAGUCCUGUAAAAAUAUUGUUAAAAGGUGUCAUAGAAACUAUAAUAAUUAAAUAACUUCUUUUCCCCGUGGGUGGUGUUUCUUCUGGGGAUACCCAAAAUGAGUUCAGAUUAAAAUUGGUUCGAGUCAAAGCUGUCUCUUUUGUCCAGAAAUCAACUAUUUUGCGCAUUGCAUGAAUCGAUAAAGAAAAAAUGAAAGCCAAAUCACACCUCCCCUGCAAAACCUAAACCCCGGUUGCUAACUUUCUAUGUUUCAGUCCUAUUCAUACAGGAAUAUUGGUUCAAGUUUGAGAAAAAUGGCAACUUACCUAGGGAUUACUUGGUUGUGGUUUGCGACGACUAUUUACGCAACCAACCAUGAGUUUGACUUUAACGUCAUGGGUUGAAGCCUCCUACAAUCGUGUAUGAUAGUUCAAAGCUCGUAGUAGAAAUUAUACAGGAAGGAAGAAACCUCCAAAGCUAGCUCCAAAAGAGAAUUAUCACAUCGAUAGCUCCAGAGAUUCCCAAGGGGACUGAAUCAAAGACAAGUUCCUCACUUUUUCUUCUUUUGAGGCCAAAUAUGAACCAAGGAUCACACGACCUCAUUCAACUUCAUAAGUUUGAUUUCAUGCAGUUGAACACUGGGUGAAGGCCAUGACAAGAAUUGAUUAAAAAAUUCUACCACUGUUUUAAGUAAUGGAAGAUUAUUAUCUCUGAUUGGCACCACAACAGCACAUGCUGCUAGAUCUUUCUAGACACUCCAUGCAAUGAAAGUACAAUGGAUCUUGUAACGAUAGAAACUAAGCCAUGCUACAGUACUAGAUGACGAGGUAAAACUAUUAGACAUGGGUGGCAGCCUAUAUGGGAGGGACACAAGUCUAAUUGAUUUGCAUUUCAGCGUUCUAGAUGGGUAUGUUUUGGAAGAUUUGUUCUGGAAAUACCGCACCAAGUAGGAUUCUUUUUUCUCUUGAGUGGGUCCACUUGCAUGCCAAUUAUCGAGUUGAAAAGUAGAGCACCUACCUCGUGCUCGUGGAACCGAAGGUCAGUGAAGUGGGGCUCCUUUUGGCCUCUUGUGUUUCUGUUCCAACCAAGGCGGCGGAGGGAAAAACAGCAAUAUGUCUCCGCUAAAUAUCAACGCAUGAUAGCGAAUGAGGGAGAAAAAAAGUAAUUGGCAUCUCAAUCUCACAAACUUGGUACAGUAGUGACAUUAAUAGUCUUCCACAUGGUUUUUAUUUUAUUUUAUUUUAUAUUUUAUAUUUUCCAUUUUUUUAUUUUUUUGUAUGUCAAGGCUAAUGAAUAAAAUGCGUUAGCUUGUUUUGUGAUUGGAACUGCAAAUGUCCAAAUUGGAGUUUCUCCAUUUCUCAGUUCGGAUGGUUAACUUUAUAAACAAGAUAUAGGAAACAUGUGAACGUCUUGAGGAACAAUUCGAAUUAUUGAUUAGAACUCCUAGGUUGAGUUCCAAGAUUUAAAUCAGACCCCUCUAGCAGCUUCAGGGGUACCUAGCAAUUAGAACAUAUUAAUGAAGAUUUAGGAUUUAGACUCCGGAAUACAAAUUAAUAUGUAUCUUAUGCUCUGACUAGCUUCCCUGCAUAUGCACAAAAUGGAGAUGACCCAAAAAAUAGCAGAAUCGCCUUAGUUUAUGUGGUUAAGGUGAUUCUCCGGUUAAUAUCCACAUUGGCUCAUUAUGCAAAUCAACUGAGCUAUUUUUUUUUUAAUGUCAAAUAGGAACUCCUAAUUAACCUAACCAUUGGCCUGUGUAAAUUGAUUUCACAUGCACAAUGUUGUAGUAGAAGUCCACAUUUUGAAUUUUAUUUUUGGAAAGGUAAGGAAAAUGAAGCAUUGUGUAAUUAUAAAAAUAACUUCAUUGGAAUUCACAAGGUUCACCCAAAAUGGAGCUACAUCCGUAUUCUAUCUUACAGUAGACUAUAUAGAUUGUACAAUAGUAAAUUGCAAAUACAAUUAAUAAGUCUUGUGUUUCCUUACUAAUAAUCCUUUGACAUAAACAUUGCAGCACUAAGGUCCUCUUGGGCAGACACCUUGCACCCAUGAGAGCACUAAGAGGAAGCAAGGCGGAGUCAUGGGUGCAAUGUCAUGACUUGUUGCACUAAGAGAGGCUUGGUGAUGGCAUAGUGCUGCAGUAGCAAGAAUGUUGCCUUGGCAGGGACACGAUCUAGGGACAGAUGCCAAGAAAGGCUUAGCACUCACAUGAGUUGCACAAAGAUGAAUGAAAUAGAACAUCAAAGAGACAUCUUGGCAAGCUCAAGAAAGACAUGUGGGUUGGUAAAUGAAUGGAUGCAAGAGGCAACAACAUGAGGAGUUUCAAAUGGAUAGGGAAUGAGUCAAAGACAUUUGAAAGCUACAAGUUGGAUUCUAAUUACGAUUGCAAUUUGAGUUUGAGUAGGAGUUUAUAUUAUGAUUGUAAUUGUAGUAUGAGUUGGACUAGGAUUGCUUAUCCCUAGUCAAAAUAGGAGUUGUUCAUGCCACACCCUAUGAAAAGAGUUUGAGUAGGGACUAGGAUUGCUUGCUCCUAGUCAAAUAUGGAGUAGGUGGUGCCACACCUAUAAAAAAAAAAGGGACAACAUGAGAGAGAGAGAGAAUGAAUUCACCAAAGAUAUUGUGGGAGUUUUGCUUUGUUACAUCUUGUAUUAUUAUUUAGAAUAGUAAUAAAAUACAAGUUGGGGCUAGAGCCCCAUAAUCUCGUGUGCCUUUGUGGGUUAUUCUUUAUUUGCCAUCUCGUGUGGAUUGGAUUAGAUUGAUGAGGCGAAAUAUUAUGUGGGAAAUUUAUGUUGGGACACUUACCAUAACCAGGUAAAAUCUACCAAGUCUUUUGUAAUAUCUUCUACAAAUAUUUUAGACCAGUUCUUCACAAAACAUCAUAAUAUGUUUUGUGUUUCUCUUGGAUUUUGAGUUGAAUUGUCUUAGAUCAAUUGAAUGCAUCUCAAUAUUAUUAUCUUGUUUGAAGGCUUGAUGAUUUUCCAUUUAACUUUACUUUCUUUAGGUUAUGCUUGAUUCCUUAAAAGUACUAAGGAAAACAAAAAAUAAAAAAAAAUAAAAAAUGCAGAGGGUUAGGACAUGUGUUAUCUAAUUGUCCUAUCCAAAGAUAUUAAGAAAGUCAUGUAGGAAAGUAAUUGAAAACUAGGUCAAGAAAGGAGCAAAAGGGAAUUGUUUUGGUAUUUUCUUUUUUAUUCUUGAAGGUGGCAGAGCUAAAAUUUGAGAAAUCAAGCAAAACAUACUGAAAUUACAUUGAAAGAAAGAAAAUGGUAGUUAAUGUCUUGCAGUACAUGAUAAGGACUUCAUGCAUGUAGUGUGACGACCCAUGUCUUGGACUGAUGCCACACUCACGGUUACACUUAUACCCUUGGUUCUCUCUUUACUACCUUGGCUAACCUAGAUCAGGCUAUGAGAUAGGCUCCUCACCACACCAUCACUUGCCCAGUAAUUAGUGACAUUUUCAAGCAAUGAGGUAACAUGGUGACACCAAGAGGGUUUAUCCCUCGCCCCAACAAGUCUAGACUCGGUCUCAAAAAAAUGGAGAAAAAUGAGGUGUCGUUAUGCAGAAAUACAACAACCAUGCCUUCCUUAUUACUUAGAUUCAGAAUGUGAAGGUGAAAUUGAGAAACAGAAACUCUUGAAACCAGAAUGAAAAUUGAUACUUUUACGAAGAAUUACAACAUUAGAGGAAGACUACAUUCUUCCUCUAUAUUCCUACGUUUCUACACUACUUCUACUCCACUCCAUAUUUCUACAUACAUCUUUAAUCAGUUUUCCCUCCUUUAUAUAGAGCCAUCUUCACACAAAUUCCGCAAGGUAGAAAAGAGGAAUGAAACUUGGAGCAAGGUUCGACUACUGGUUGUCGCUUGUCAAGGCUGGAAUUGAACUUUUUUUCUUGGCUUUUCUGGGCAUAGGUAGUAACUUGUGGUUCCUUUUUGGAAUGAAAAUGGUACAGCUAGAACAUGUGGCACUCUCUUGUUGGAUUAUGUGUCAAACAUGUGGCAGCCAUCUAGUGGAGAUUAUUUCAAUUUUGGGAUGGAGAGUUGGCAUCCAAUUGCAAAGAAAUAUGACAUCUACCAACAUGCAAUGUAAACCUAUAUAGAUCAUAUGGAGAUAGAGAGGAAACAUAUAGAAAUGGAUAUAUACCUAGAACUAGCUUUUUAUUAAAUGAGACGGAGAGCCAACAAUGAAGGAAAAUCAAAAUUUUUGGCUCAUAUCAAAGAAUUCACAUUGUGUUACCCUAGGUUUUCUUAAAGCUUGCACAAAGCCAAAAAGCACACAAAAAAUUAUAUUUUCUAGCUCUCUACCUUGGAUGGUCUCUUGAUCCUACUUGGAGAUGUGCAUAAAUAAAAGGAUUUGAAAAUGACAAUUGACUAAGUAUGUAGUCAAUCAAUUACUCAUUAAUUGACUAGUUGAUCAAUUAACUUUGCAACAUCAUAUGCAAUCCUAAUAGCUAGUCAUCUAAUCAACUAGGUAGUAAAUCAAUAGGCCAAAAAUAUGUUUAUAAUGACUAUUUUGUACAAAAACCACCUAUAUGGUUAAAUAUAAUGCAUUUCAUUUAUAAAUCUUCUAAUUCUUGAAUAACGAUCCUAUCAUCCUUUGAAAGUUUUUAUUACACCUUUUAUACUUUUGUUCUAAAACUUACACAUGUACAUCACCCUUAAUUGUACCAUGAGAACCUAGCUUUUUUUUUUUUUUUUUUUGUAAUUCAUCAAAGUUAGCUUUUGUAUUCAUUACUGUACUAUUUUUAUUGUAACUUAGAAAGCGAGUGUUUUCAAGUGAGUGAAAUUGACUUAUAAAUAUUGUAAAGAUUCAUUGAUGUGUAUCUUAAACUAAGUGUACAAGUUGAAACAUUUGCUAGUAGAUUUUCUCAAGAUUUAGAAUAGAGCUUGAGGCUAUUGAAAUAGGUGGGGUUGCACCAAACCACAUCACAUUGUUGUUUGCACCUUUUUUUCACUCUCUUUUACUUAGUUGCUCUAUAUUUGUUGUCUAGUAAUAUCCUAUAGGCUUGAUGGGUUAGGGAGCAUCCCUUUGUGAAAAAUUUUCAUUCAAUCCUUAGUUGUAUCACGCAUAUAUAAAAUGCCUCAUUGUUUUAAUGGUAUUCAGUCGUGGCAUCACAGAUAUGGGCAUCUAAAUUUUAAAAGUUUGAAACUUUUAUCUAAAGAAAAUAUGGUGCUUUGCCUUUUUGUAAAGCAUGUUGAUGAAAUCCAUGAGAAUUGUGUACUUGGGAAGCAACAUCGAGAUGACUUUUUUUUUUUUCAUUUUUUAUAAUGCGACACCUAAGUCCGGUUUCUAAAUGCUGAAGUGAAAGGGUAGGUAUGGACCAUUGAAAUCUGAUCACAACUUUUGGCCUUUUCCUUUCUCUGCAGCCAUGUUGUCUCUUUUUUCUUUUGCAUGAUUUUCUUACCUAAACAGAAUCAUAGACUUGUUUAAUCUCUAAAUGGUAUUUCAUCCAGCUUUAAGCUACUGUAUUAUAUCUUGGUGGAGGACUUUUAAGAGUGAAACCGACAUAGAGCACAUGCAAGUGGGUAUAUGGGACAUGAAAUUUCUUCUUAUAAAGACUGCAUGGUUUUUAUAUUAGAGUUGUUGAGGCGCAAUGUAUUUAGCUUGUUUUGCAGUUAAAUUAAUUGGAUAAGUAGACAUUGUCGUUUCUAAAUUUCCCACCUAAGAUAGUGACCUUAUCCUUGACUGCUUGAUGAGAUACACAAACAAUUAUACCUUCAAAAUCUACUGUGAAGUGCUUCAUGUAUGUGUGAAGUAUUAGAAAUUUCUUUCUUGGCAACUUGUUUUUUCUUUGCCCUCUACUGAUAGGUUUGACUCAAAUUAAAUUCCCUGUCAUGCUAAUUAAUUUUCACGUGCAUGCUCAAAAGGAUCACGUCAACUCUGGUUUCUACUAUUCAGGUCCAUUCCCAGAUAAACUGGUUCAAAUUUGAGAAAAUGGCAACAGCCCUUUAGUGAUGUUGGUUUGGAGCCAGUAGCCAAACCCGCCCUGAGCUUUACCACUAAUGUCAAGGGACAAAGCCAUUUGAACAAAAACAAUAGCUUCAAGAGACUGAAUCGUGGAUGAAAUCUGAUCCACAUUUCUUCUCAUUUUGGGAACAAAUGAGAACUUAACUACAAAGAUUCUACUGCCUCAUAGUGCUUUUCCUGAUCUAAGGUUGGUUCGUUUCCCAAAUUGUGAGGUACGUGCCAUUCUCACGCUCAGGAGUGUAUCCACGUGGUGGACAUAAGAUGGUGGCUUAAUAUCUGGUGUCGGUGGCUUUACUUUACUAGGAGAGUAGUGUGUCUUCAUCUCAUUCACUGCCGGAGGGUGGCGUAAGCAGUGACGCUAAGGUGGGGCACAGUCAAUAUCAUUUGCAUUUGACCAUUAUAGUUUUCUCCCGGCUUGAAAGUAACCUUAUCGUGAUAAAGGAUUACUAGCACUAGUUCAGAUGACAGUCAUGUUAAAUUCGGACCAUGUUUGUGUCACAUUAUCAGCAACCAUGUGUUUAUGGUUCAUGCUAUCUGCAACUAAACUUGAUAUAUAACCACGUGAACUUCAAUCUAAAUUCUGGAAGUACUCUUGUGAUAGAUGGUGCCUGUCUGCAGAGUCCAUCAAUUGAAAAAUGGAGUGAGUGUAUCUAUAAGAGGGAAGGCUUGGCAAAUGUUCAGUUUUCUGGGAACUCAACAAGGAUCUAAAAUAGAUUGUUUUCUUUGCUGAUUUCAAUGGUUGAAAUUUGAGAAGAUUGUGUCCACAUAACACAACUAUUACUGGUCCUUCUGUUGCAAUUUAUCCUCUAAGGCUCUAACAUGUCUUCCAAUUCCCACUUCCCUGUUACUCCAGGAAAGCUAUUUCUGUCAUUGUGAAGAAGAAAAGAGAAUGUACAUAUCGAUGGUUUUAAGUGACUGGGGCAUUCAUAUCAGGUGGUCUGCAGCCAUAUAUGCCACUUUGUGAAGGUUGGAACAGUCAAUCACCAGGCUAUAUUAGUGUGGCCCAGCCACUUCAAUCAAGGACAAGUCUUCAUACUUAAAGUCAAAUUCUGCCUUUAGUCUCAUUAUAAAUUGCUGUUUAAAUAUUAAGCAAACAUUUGUUUAAUGCGAUUAAGACAGUACUAACUCAAUACUUGUUCUAUUUUUGGAUGCAAAUGCUUGAUGGUUUCAUCAUUGGAUGGGAUAAAGGUGCAUUCAUGAUUAUGAAUACUUGUAGUUAUAUUUUCAUUCUCUUUUUUCUCAAUGAGACUUGUUGGCACAAUUUUGCUGUUCAGAAACCUACCUCUCCAUCGAAAAUCAGUUGUGAUUGAUAGUACUGGAUAUAUUCAAGAAAGCUAAAUAUAGAUAGCACCAAAUAUUAUCGAUAUAAAUAGCAUUAACAGCGUACGUAUGUCUCAAUGCUCAUCAGCUAUAAGCAACGGGCAAACACUUACUAUGAGCAACUUGCGUCAAAAUUCCAGAAUAGGACAUAGAAGUGACAGAUCUAUAUAUAUAUAGAACACUGCAUAUGAGUCACAAGAAAGGAAAUUACGGGUGCAUAGCAGCUCUUAUUUUACAUCCUACUCAUACUGAUCAAAGUCACUCAGUUGGGAUGGGUGGGAGUAGGAGGUUUGUGGGGUGGCUUGUGCGGAGGAGUUGGCAGCUUCUUUCCAGGACCUGGUUGCUUCUCUGCUGGAGUUGAAGGAGGCUUAAUCUUCCGAGGUGGCUUGUAUGAGUCUUCAGCAUUCUCAGCAGGAGGGUGACCAGGGUUGUGACCAUAAUGUGGUGGCUUCUCUCCCUUAGGUGGUUUGCCAACUGGGGUUGGUGGCUUGUAUGAGUCUUCAGCAUUCUCAGCAGGAGGGUGACCAGGGUUGCGACCAUAAUGUGGUGGCUUCUCUCCCUUAGGUGGUUUGCCAACUGGGGUUGGUGGCUUGUGUUCUGGGAGUGGCUUCUCCCCCUUGGGAGGUUUUUCCAAUGGGGUUGGUUUGUGUUCAGGAGGUGGCUUCUCCACUGGAGGCUUGUGUUCAGGAGGUGGCUUCUCCACCGGAGGCUUGUGUUCAGGAGGUGGCUUCUCCACCGGAGGCUUGUGUUCAGGAGGUGGCUUCUCGAAUGGGGGAUGCUCAGGGUAAUCAGCAAGUGAGGGGUUGGUGAGAACCACCAUGCCAAGCAACAGGACUAGCAAGUAUGUAGGAGAC
RNAcentral lists this long non-coding RNA (106450 nucleotides) under Vitis vinifera (wine grape). Its description in RNAcentral is "long non-coding RNA (VVIN_LNC001392)". Lineage: Eukaryota; Viridiplantae; Streptophyta; Magnoliopsida; Vitales; Vitaceae. The record is from RNAcentral.